UUGUGGUGGUGGAGAAGUGGAGAAGGAGAAAGGAUCAGUUGAGAAGAUUAUGAGUUUUAUUGGUCAGAAAUUUUCUGGGGUUUGGGGCUAAGAAAUUUCCAAUCAUUUUGCUUGAAAAUGGCGAGGAAAUUACAAGGACAUAAAAAGAAGAAAAUGCACUAGAUGACCAUGAUACUGUACUAUAUUUGCAAGAAUAUACAUCGCACUAUUUCGACACUGUUAGCAUUUUAAUAACCCGACUAUACCCCUAUGCUCCCUACUUAUUAGCAAGCAUCGCCGAUCUUGAUAAGAUUUUGGCGUCAGAGAGAAACAGUAAUAUAUUACACAAUAAUUUGAAAUUCAAAAAUCUUAUUAAUAUUACACAAUAAGCCUCAUCGAUCAAAGCAAAUGUCGAACACUGGUAAACAAUAUUUUUAUUAGGUUAUUUUAUUAAUUAGACUGAACCCAGAAGCUUCUUUCUCUUGUUUUCGCCGCCGUUCAUCCCUGGAAUCCAUUUUCAUCCAAUUUUACAGUUUGUAGUCGCCGAUUUCUGUAAGUAAGUUUUCGUUACACCGUUCUCAAUUUUGCACAUGAAUUUUUGCUUUGAUAUAUGACUAAUUGGUUUCGUCUGAAAUAUAUUAAAGGAUGCCUAACAUUCAAUUGCCUGAGAGAAUUUUUGCUGCCGGCCAAGAGCCCGUCGGAGAGAGGGUGAAUUCUUACCAAAAAUCAAAAUCGGUACAGGCUAUUAUGAAUUCUCUCGACGAAGAUGAAGCAAAGAGGCUUCGUGAUUCCCAACUUGGACGGCUCCUAGAGACGAUGGAGAAGCCUUCAUUUUCCGGGAGCUUUGGCUAUUACAUGCUCGCUCGUCUCUUGCGUGUGAAGAAGAAGCAUGAAUUAUGGUUUCUGUUUGCUGGUCGGCCAGUGAGAUUUUCUCUCAGAGAGUUUGCUCUAGUUACAGGGCUCGAGUGUGGGAAAUUUGCUCAGACGAGGAAGCUUAAAAAUCUUGUGGCCCAGAAACCGUACUGGCCUGAGCUCUUUGGGUUGCUUAAGACAUGCACUGUUGAUUCCGUCAUCCACAUGUUACAGAAAAGAAAAAUUACAGACAAAGAGAAGAGAUUCAAAUGCGCCUGCCUCGCUGUAACUGCCUCUGUUUUGGUUCCUACCUCGCAUGUUACCAAGAUUGUCCCCGAGCAUGUCGAGCUCAUAAGGGACAUUGAUUCAUUUCUUUCAUACCCUUGGGGUAGAGUUGGGUUUGAUUUGCUCGUAUCUAGCAUCAAAUCCAAAGAUGAAUUGGAACUCUCGCAGAAGACAAUCGCCGUAAAAGGAUUUUUUUAUGCCAUCCAGCUUGUAAUGAUGGCUGCAGUGCCGACGCUUACCGAGGUAGUUCAAGCUCCAUCCGGUGAGUCUGAUAGUGACUACGAAGAUGAAUGUGACACCGCCGCCGAUGUAUCCACCGGACAGGAGGCCAAUCUCGGCUGCGAUGCCGCGGAUCUGGCUGAAAGAGCCACAUCUUCCGGCGUUGUGAAAAUGAUGCUUAGUCCCAGCCAUGCACGAGAAAUCGAUGAGGAGGAGAAGGUAAAUUACCUCACUUAUUGAUACUGUUUACAAUCAUAGUUAACGGGUACAUAAUCUGAGCGUUGACAAAUUAAUAAGUAUCCUUGGGAAUAUCUGUCACUUAUUAUAAUAUCAGUUACAUUAUGUUGUUCAAUGAUACAAUUUCCUGUAACCUAUAACUUUCCCAUAUCAGGCAUUGGUUUAUUCCAUCAUCCCUACGGACGGUGUCUGUGCUAUCGAAGGGAUGGACUUACGUUGGGCUGNNNNNNNNNNNNNNNNNNNNNNNNNNNNNNNNNNNNNNNNNNNNNNNNNNNNNNNNNNNNNNNNNNNNNNNNNNNNNNNNNNNNNNNNNNNNNNNNNNNNNNNNNNNNNNNNNNNNNNNNNNNNNNNNNNNNNNNNNNNNNNNNNNNNNNNNNNNNNNNNNNNNNNNNNNNNNNNNNNNNNNNNNNNNNNNNNNNNNNNNNNNNNNNNNNNNNNNNNNNNNNNNNNNNNNNNNNNNNNNNNNNNNNNNNNNNNNNNNNNNNNNNNNNNNNNNNNNNNNNNNNNNNNNNNNNNNNNNNNNNNNNNNNNNNNNNNNNNNNNNNNNNNNNNNNNNNNNNNNNNNNNNNNNNNNNNNNNNNNNNNNNNNNNNNNNNNNNNNNNNNNNNNNNNNNNNNNNNNNNNNNNNNNNNNNNNNNNNNNNNNNNNNNNNNNNNNNNNNNNNNNNNNNNNNNNNNNNNNNNNNNNNNNNNNNNNNNNNNNNNNNNNNNNNNNNNNNNNNNNNNNNNNNNNNNNNNNNNNNNNNNNNNNNNNNNNNNNNNNNNNNNNNNNNNNNNNNNNNNNNNNNNNNNNNNNNNNNNNNNNNNNNNNNNNNNNNNNNNNNNNNNNNNNNNNNNNNNNNNNNNNNNNNNNNNNNNNNNNNNNNNNNNNNNNNNNNNNNNNNNNNNNNNNNNNNNNNNNNNNNNNNNNNNNNNNNNNNNNNNNNNNNNNNNNNNNNNNNNNNNNNNNNNNNNNNNNNNNNNNNNNNNNNNNNNNNNNNNNNNNNNNNNNNNNNNNNNNNNNNNNNNNNNNNNNNNNNNNNNNNNNNNNNNNNNNNNNNNNNNNNNNNNNNNNNNNNNNNNNNNNNNNNNNNNNNNNNNNNNNNNNNNNNNNNNNNNNNNNNNNNNNNNNNNNNNNNNNNNNNNNNNNNNNNNNNNNNNNNNNNNNNNNNNNNNNNNNNNNNNNNNNNNNNNNNNNNNNNNNNNNNNNNNNNNNNNNNNNNNNNNNNNNNNNNNNNNNNNNNNNNNNNNNNNNNNNNNNNNNNNNNNNNNNNNNNNNNNNNNNNNNNNNNNNNNNNNNNNNNNNNNNNNNNNNNNNNNNNNNNNNNNNNNNNNNNNNNNNNNNNNNNNNNNNNNNNNNNNNNNNNNNNNNNNNNNNNNNNNNNNNNNNNNNNNNNNNNNNNNNNNNNNNNNNNNNNNNNNNNNNNNNNNNNNNNNNNNNNNNNNNNNNNNNNNNNNNNNNNNNNNNNNNNNNNNNNNNNNNNNNNNNNNNNNNNNNNNNNNNNNNNNNNNNNNNNNNNNNNNNNNNNNNNNNNNNNNNNNNNNNNNNNNNNNNNNNNNNNNNNNNNNNNNNNNNNNNNNNNNNNNNNNNNNNNNNNNNNNNNNNNNNNNNNNNNNNNNNNNNNNNNNNNNNNNNNNNNNNNNNNNNNNNNNNNNNNNNNNNNNNNNNNNNNNNNNNNNNNNNNNNNNNNNNNNNNNNNNNNNNNNNNNNNNNNNNNNNNNNNNNNNNNNNNNNNNNNNNNNNNNNNNNNNNNNNNNNNNNNNNNNNNNNNNNNNNNNNNNNNNNNNNNNNNNNNNNNNNNNNNNNNNNNNNNNNNNNNNNNNNNNNNNNNNNNNNNNNNNNNNNNNNNNNNNNNNNNNNNNNNNNNNNNNNNNNNNNNNNNNNNNNNNNNNNNNNNNNNNNNNNNNNNNNNNNNNNNNNNNNNNNNNNNNNNNNNNNNNNNNNNNNNNNNNNNNNNNNNNNNNNNNNNNNNNNNNNNNNNNNNNNNNNNNNNNNNNNNNNNNNNNNNNNNNNNNNNNNNNNNNNNNNNNNNNNNNNNNNNNNNNNNNNNNNNNNNNNNNNNNNNNNNNNNNNNNNNNNNNNNNNNNNNNNNNNNNNNNNNNNNNNNNNNNNNNNNNNNNNNNNNNNNNNNNNNNNNNNNNNNNNNNNNNNNNNNNNNNNNNNNNNNNNNNNNNNNNNNNNNNNNNNNNNNNNNNNNNNNNNNNNNNNNNNNNNNNNNNNNNNNNNNNNNNNNNNNNNNNNNNNNNNNNNNNNNNNNNNNNNNNNNNNNNNNNNNNNNNNNNNNNNNNNNNNNNNNNNNNNNNNNNNNNNNNNNNNNNNNNNNNNNNNNNNNNNNNNNNNNNNNNNNNNNNNNNNNNNNNNNNNNNNNNNNNNNNNNNNNNNNNNNNNNNNNNNNNNNNNNNNNNNNNNNNNNNNNNNNNNNNNNNNNNNNNNNNNNNNNNNNNNNNNNNNNNNNNNNNNNNNNNNNNNNNNNNNNNNNNNNNNNNNNNNNNNNNNNNNNNNNNNNNNNNNNNNNNNNNNNNNNNNNNNNNNNNNNNNNNNNNNNNNNNNNNNNNNNNNNNNNNNNNNNNNNNNNNNNNNNNNNNNNNNNNNNNNNNNNNNNNNNNNNNNNNNNNNNNNNNNNNNNNNNNNNNNNNNNNNNNNNNNNNNNNNNNNNNNNNNNNNNNNNNNNNNNNNNNNNNNNNNNNNNNNNNNNNNNNNNNNNNNNNNNNNNNNNNNNNNNNNNNNNNNNNNNNNNNNNNNNNNNNNNNNNNNNNNNNNNNNNNNNNNNNNNNNNNNNNNNNNNNNNNNNNNNNNNNNNNNNNNNNNNNNNNNNNNNNNNNNNNNNNNNNNNNNNNNNNNNNNNNNNNNNNNNNNNNNNNNNNNNNNNNNNNNNNNNNNNNNNNNNNNNNNNNNNNNNNNNNNNNNNNNNNNNNNNNNNNNNNNNNNNNNNNNNNNNNNNNNNNNNNNNNNNNNNNNNNNNNNNNNNNNNNNNNNNNNNNNNNNNNNNNNNNNNNNNNNNNNNNNNNNNNNNNNNNNNNNNNNNNNNNNNNNNNNNNNNNNNNNNNNNNNNNNNNNNNNNNNNNNNNNNNNNNNNNNNNNNNNNNNNNNNNNNNNNNNNNNNNNNNNNNNNNNNNNNNNNNNNNNNNNNNNNNNNNNNNNNNNNNNNNNNNNNNNNNNNNNNNNNNNNNNNNNNNNNNNNNNNNNNNNNNNNNNNNNNNNNNNNNNNNNNNNNNNNNNNNNNNNNNNNNNNNNNNNNNNNNNNNNNNNNNNNNNNNNNNNNNNNNNNNNNNNNNNNNNNNNNNNNNNNNNNNNNNNNNNNNNNNNNNNNNNNNNNNNNNNNNNNNNNNNNNNNNNNNNNNNNNNNNNNNNNNNNNNNNNNNNNNNNNNNNNNNNNNNNNNNNNNNNNNNNNNNNNNNNNNNNNNNNNNNNNNNNNNNNNNNNNNNNNNNNNNNNNNNNNNNNNNNNNNNNNNNNNNNNNNNNNNNNNNNNNNNNNNNNNNNNNNNNNNNNNNNNNNNNNNNNNNNNNNNNNNNNNNNNNNNNNNNNNNNNNNNNNNNNNNNNNNNNNNNNNNNNNNNNNNNNNNNNNNNNNNNNNNNNNNNNNNNNNNNNNNNNNNNNNNNNNNNNCAAAUCGCCCCUGCAAACUUAAGGGAUAAAUACAUUCGUUAUAAACUUACUUUUAAUGCUAACGCUUAUCUCCCGUCCACACUUAUAAAAUCCUUGUUAAAUGAUAAACUUACCCUGAAUUCACCACGUGAGUAUAUACGCUGCUUACGUGGGCGUCCAGGAGGGCGCCUGGUGGCGGGUGGCAGUAGGGCAAAGUUUUGAAAUGAGGUCACCUUCUUCGCUGGGCGAUUGAUAAUCUGGCACUGGGUAAAUACUCACCGCGUAAGCCAUUCGCCAAAACUUAGUCGUUAAUUCCUCCCCGACCAGCUGUUCAACAUUAGCAUUUGACCUUACGGCAGCUGUUACCGCAUGCGAACAAGGGAUAGAUAAGAGUUGAAACUCGCAGCAACUGCAACUCUUCUUGCAUAGAUCCACACGGAAAGUGAACCCUGCUUUGUCUAUCACUUCGAACUCACUAUCGUUGAUGCGCUUUAACACAUACCCGGUCCCUUUCUCGAAGUUAGAAGCCACGAUUGCCUGAACUCUUUUCGUUAGGACACCAGAGUCGUUUGUAGCCUUCUCCCGCCGUUCAUUAAACCAACCCAUCAGGGUGGUGCGAAUGUGUUCCAAUAGAGCCAGAAUUGGAAAGCCUCGAGCUUCAGCCAUUAUAGCGUUUAAUGACUCAGCUAUGUUGCUGGUCAUGACGUUGUACCUCACUCCACUAAAAUGUGCACGGGUCCAUUGCUCAAAUCCUAUGGCGGCGAGGUAUUCUGCACAAGAACGAUCGAUUUCCACUAUCUGGUUAAAGUGUGUGUUAAAAUCCGAGAUGUGAUAUGCUCUGGCUGCCUUGGAUAUCAGGUAUGCUAGUUGCCGUUUUUUGAAGAUGGCUUGGACGUUCCUUUGCAAGUGAACAACGCAGAUCCCAUGUUUAGCUUGCGGGUACACCUAUAGGUAAACAAUAUUUAUUACUAUAGAGGUCUAACUUAACAAGUUACACACAACCUAAAAUUUCCCCAUAAUCAUCGAUUGUAGUUCAUACCUUGCUUAAGGCAGCGUAUAUUGAGUUGUGCCGGUCGGAGACAAAGACCACGUCGUUUGCGUCGGGAAUUACAUUCAGCAGAUUUUGAAAAAACCAGGUCCAGGAUUUGUCAUUUUCCCCAUCCACAAUGGCGAAUGCCACUGGAAAGAUAUGAAAAUUUCCAUCCUGCGCGCUCGCAGUUAGCAUACAGCCUGCAUAAUUACCCUUCAGAUGCGUCCCGUCCACUACAACCACCUUUUGCAUAUACUUCCAUCCUUGCACACAUGCGCCAAAUGCGACGAAAAGGUAUUUGAAACGCUGCCCCUGGCCUUCUUGAAUGUCGGUCUCUAGAUUAACAAUCGUUCCAGGAUUUGUUAUCACCAGUUGUUGGAGAUAAGACGGUAACAACUUGUACGACCCGCCGUUACUCCCCUUCGCAUAAUCCAUUGCCACCUGUCGGGAUCGCCAAGCCUAAAUUUAAAUAAUCAAUGUCUAUCUACAUUAAUACCAUCUAAUAACUUAAAUAGACAAUUCAAGAUAUCUUGCCUUCCAGUAUGAGAUAGGUACAUCGUGGUCAGCUCUCAUCAUCUCCCGCACCUCAUUUGGUUUUGGUCCCGCCCCGCGUCCUGCGUACCGUGCUCGCAUCAUGUCUCCUAUUACCGUUGAUGUGGCAUGUCUUUGGAAAUUCCCUCUCUCGUCAACCGUGCAUAAAUGAUCAGGUUUCACCCUCCUCACUUGGUACCACUCCGACCCACUCAUCUUCACCGCAUAAACCCUCCAUGUACAGCUUUUGCCAACACACUCCAACACCAUAACAGUUGGUGUAGACUUCUUGUGGGUGAACCGAAACUUGUGGUGCAAUGCGUACAUAGCCAUGUGGAGCUUGAAAGCUUCCCUGUUUUUAAACAUCAUACCCACAUACACCUCGUCGUUCCUGCUUAAUCCGUCCCCUGCUUGUUAACACCAAAUGUUACCAUGCGAUUUACAUAUUCAACAUUCGAUUACGACGUUAUUAUUAUAAAUACCCGUUAUCAAAUUUCUUACCGACAAAAACAUCGCCUAUCAUAUCUUCCUCGUCGGUGUCUUCAGCUAUGGGGUCAUUGUUCUCCGAUCCUGAUGGACAGGCUAACGUCAAAGCCAGAUGAGACCCACUCUCUGAGGUGUUCUCUUUUGCCUUCCUUUUCCCUUUAUCUUCACUAAACGUCAGAGUGUGUGGCGUCACGGCACCAACUUCUCCUCUUCCAACAACUGCAUUGCAUGAGUCACCGGUAAAUGUUAUAGCUUUAACUAAAUUUCCUAGCCUAUUCUCUUAACCGUACCUUUCACUGGGGUCAUUAAGGCUAGAUUGGCCAGUGCAUUGUCAAAACUCGCUGGACCCAUGUUGGUGUCCUCUUCAUCAGUAAGCCUUACGAUUUCUUCGUGUUGUCCAUCUCCAUUGCCGGGAUUGUUGCUGGAUCCCGCCGAAGACUGGUUGUCACUCAGCUGGACAACUUGGUUCGUUGUGGAUUGCUGAUGGGCAGCCAUGAGCUGUGCUUCCAGUUCCGUCGACUUCUUUAGUAAGAGUUCUAGCUCAUCUGACGUGCAUACCUCUUCCAACACACUCUGGCUGCACCGAAUCACAUCUCGUGAAAAGAACCCUACAUACACAAUUUUAAGUUACCUAUUUUGUUAUACACUAUGAAAAAAUCUUUAUUAGCAUUUACCAGUGAAUCUUACCACGGUAGUCGAAACUCCCAAACUGGAUUGGUAACGGUUGCACAGAUACCGGAUUAGAUGUUCCUCCAACGUCGUACGUAGCACGUUUCUGAAACUUGUAACGGUUAACGGCAUCAUUUCCUACGGUCACACACAUCGGUAGUUCGGGAACCUCCAUGCGCACAGCCAUGAAAACCCCCACGUCUGCGUUGUUCAGCACAUCUAUCGGCGGAGUUGGAGGUCCGGUGGGUACCAACAUCCAGUCAGGGAAUUGGUAGCUCAAAGCAACCUCUGUGGCGGCGUCAACAUUGCAUCGCACCCUAAUACUGUUCAUAAGCCCGUCGAAGCUCGCGUUCUCCGAGACCAUCAUGCAGAAGCUUUCACCUUCGCUGUCGACCUUAAAACUCCAAGCACCGACUUCCGAUCUUUCCCACGACCCACGGACAAGCAUAACCAAACUUCCAACCAUCUAGCAAAUAAACCAAAAAAAAAUAUUACAUCUACUCAUCAAUAUAUAAUUUCUCGGUAACUUUACAGCGAAAUCAACAUUUAUGGAAGUAUUUAAUGUUGUAAAACGACAGAUUUCAGACUUUAUUGCUCCGGAGUGGUAUUUACUAGGUUACAAAAGGAAUAUAUUGAAGACAUCUGAGUUUAUUGUCGGCUUACCUUUAACGGAAGAAACGGUAGUAUCUUUCUUGACUUAUUCAACUAGAAGACAACUUUAACUUGAGGAUAUCUGUGUGUUCUUUUUCGGAGGUGGCUGAUAAAAGGGAAAUUGGGGACGAUACCUAUUUAUAUAGAGGGUAAAAAACCCUAAUAACAUACACAUACAUACAUACAUCCCAUGACAUGCCACAUAAACAUACGAAAUCUCUUAGAUUUGGCAUUAAAUGCGUAGCUUCGAGAGAGAAGAUUUUCUGUGGACACCAGGAACCUAUUCGCAGACCUAUGAACCGCUAUAGACGUCUAAGUUUGUAGAUAAUAUCUGUACAAUAUCUUAAUUAAAUAAUUUUUUAAUUACUGCCUAAAUUACAGAGAUUGUCGCUAAGGGUUUUUCGGUCAUACACCACCAUUUCGAAAUCCGAAUUCUCCCUCGCUUCACUGUUUUUCCUAUGGACCAAAUUUUGACAAAAAUGACGAAUUUCUAGCAAAUUCACCCUUGAUUAUAAUAUGUAUCUCUAUAAUAUUAUUUGAGAAGUCAUUUUCCUACGUGUCGCGCUCACGUUAAUUCUCACGAGGUUGAUUACAGAGAUACCCUUAAUGAAUUCCAAUUAUUAUAUUUGUUUGCCAUUUUUGAAAUAUUUUAAUAUAAUUUUUGUUUAAUGAUUUUUAAACAUAUUAAUAAAAGGAAAUAAUUUUAAAACAGAAAAUAAUUUUUUGUAUAGAUAUAAAAAACGAAAAAUUACAAAAAAAAGAAAAGUUUUUGAAAAAAUCAUAUUAAAAAGGAAAUAACUUUUGAAUAUAGAUAUAUUUUUAUUAGAUAUAAAAACAUUAAUUCGAAAAAAGGAAAGUCUUUUUUUAAAUCAUACUAAAAAGGAAAGUCAGUUUCCUACGUGUCGCGCUCACGUUAAUUCUCACGAGGUUGAAUACAGAGAUACCCUUAAUGAAUUCCAAUUGUUAUAUUUGUUUACCAUUACUGAAACAUUUUAAUAUAUUUUUGUUUAAUGAUUUUCAAACAUAUUAAUAAAAGGAAAUAAUUUUUCAAACAUAAAAUAAUUUUGGUAUAGAUGUAGAAAACGAAAAUUACAAAAAGGAAAAGUUUUUGAAAAAAUAUAUGAAAAAGGAAAUAACUUUGAAAUAUAGAAAUAUUUUUAUUAGAUAUAAAAAAUUAAUUCUAAAAAAGGAAAGCCUUUUUUAAAUCAUAUUAAAAAGGAAAUAACUUUAAGACAAUUGCCAUUUUAAAAUAUUUUUAAUUUAAUUUUUUUUGUUUAAUGAUUUUUUUUAAAAAUCGCAUUAAUAAAUAAAUUUAAAAUAUAAAAUAAUUUUUUGUAUAUAUACAAAAACGAAAAUUAUAAAAAAUGAAAUUCAUUUUAAAAUCAUAUUAAAAAUGAAAUAACUUUGAAAUAUAAAAAUAUUUUUAUUAGAUAUAAAAACGUUAAUUCAAAAAAAAAGGAAAGUCUCUUUUAAUUCAUAUUAAAAAAUGAUUUAACUUAAAAAUAAUUUUAAAUAUUGUGAUUCCAAAUUAAAACGUUUAAAUGAUCAAGAUUUUAAAUAAAUCAAGACUGAGAUGAUAACUACUAAACCGGAGGUAUUUGGAAACAAUUAAAACAUUUUAAAAAUCUAAAAUAAAAAAAUAAAAAUAUUACAUAAGAAACGUUAAAAACAUUAAAGUUAUUCCAAAUAAAUUUUAUAUAUAAAAACAUUAAAAUUUAAACAAAUUAUCAGUUUUGUUCGUUUAUGCAAAGAGCCAAUCAACAUUUUAGUAUUUGUUUUUUAACUUUUUUUCCAAAAACAUAUAUAAUAUUAUAUAGUAUUUUACGAAAAUAAAUUUAUAAAUCUAUUUAAAUAAAUAAUAAAGAAGAACCGGACUAAUCAAAUUUUAUGGAUGAAAUCACAUGUCUAAUUUAAAUAAUAACAUAAAUUUAAAAUAAUAUUUCAUUUCCUUUUCAUACAUAUAAAUUACAUAAAUGUUUGAAAAUAUAAACAAAUAAUAGUGAAUAUUAACCAAUUAUGAUAUCUUUAUUUUUGUAAAUAUCCAUAUACAUUCAUGAGUUUUCAAAAUAUUACUAGUGGUUCAUUUAUGUAAUUUUAAACCGAUCUAUACUUAUCUUUACAAAUCUAAGACUAAAACCGACCGAACUUUAGCCUAAAUAGAACCAAAAACUAAUUGUAUUUCAAUUUGAAGGAAUAUAUGCCACAUAAUAAAUCUAAAAAUGAAUAACGUUACAUAUCUAAAUUCUUAUACUAAAAACAUGUUUAAUAAGAUAUAUAACAUCAUAAAAAUUAGUUAAAACAAUCUUCUAUUUACAUACAUAUAGUUAACAAAACAAAUAGAGACUUAUAAAUAAAUAAAAGCUAACAUUAACCAAUAAUUUUAAUUUAGUUAUUUUGUAAAUAUUUAUAUCCGUGCAUGAGCACCGGAGAAUCACCUAGUUACAAUAAUUUGGAGUAACAAAAAAAUUCCAAAUUCAUCAAUAUUUUGGACAUAUAUUUAAAAAUGAUACAUACAAACAAAAAUCUCCAUAACCAAAAUCUGUAUAGUUUAAAACCUAAAAUCACAGCCUAAACCCAACAGGCCACGACCAUAAUUUUUAGACAAAAAAAAAAAAAAAAAAAAGACCCAACAGGCGACGACCAUAAUUUGUUCUUAAUAAAACGAGUUAGCCUGUAUAUAAAUAAAGUCUUCUUACACAAAGUCGAAAUCCAACAGAGAGAUUAACAAAAAGUUAGAAAAGGGGAGAAAUUAAGAAGCAAAAGAGAAAAAUCAGAUCAUCUUUUGGGGUUUUGGAAAACGAUGGAUAGACUUGAUGGUCCACCACGUCUUAUACUAGUUACUGAUCUUGAUUGCACAUUGGUACUUCCUAUUUCCUCUCACACACUUCUGAUUUCAAUACUCUUUUUUUUUUUUACCUCUUUCACGGAAAAAAAACAUAUCAUUCAUAUUCUCUCCCUAAAUCCGUAGGUUGAUCACGAUGAUCCUGAAAACACCGACCUCCUUAGAUUCAACGCGCUAUGGGAAGCUCACUACCGCCAUGAUUCAUUGCUUGUUUACUCCACCGGAAGGUCCAUGCGUUCUUACUUGAGUCUUAGGAAGAAGAAGCCGUUGUUGACUCCGGACAUCGCCAUUACUUCUGUCGGCUCCGAGAUUGCUUACGGCGGCGGCGAAUCGAUGGUCUCUGAUCAUGUUUGGGAGGCUCGUUUGGAUGAAAUGUGGAACAGAGACAUUGUCGUUGAGGAAUCUUCUAAGUUCCCUCAACUUGAGCCGCAGGUUUUUAUUAUUUAUUUGUUUGAGAGAGGAUUUGAUAUUUUGGCUCUUUCCUGCGUUGACUUUGACUUUCUGUUUCAUUUGAUUAUUACAAUGGGUUUGGUUUUGUUGGCAUAAAUAAAGCUGAUUGUGGUUUUGUUUUACUGUUUGGACACUUGUCUGAUUUGAAUAAAAUGUUAUUUUUUUACUGUUAUAGGCAGAGAAGAGCCAAGAGGAGCACAAAGUGAGUUUUAAUGUUGAAAGAGUACAUGCUUUGGAAAUAAUGAAGGUUCUUCCAGGGAGAUUAUUGGAGCGUGGGGUGAGACUAUUUUUUGUGUACCACUCACGUGACAUUUGAUGGCUAUUCUUAUCAUGUAUUGUACCUUUUGGUGCUGAUGACUGUUAAAUACCCGUAUAGGUGGAUGUGAAGCUGGUUUAUAGCAACGACUUUGCUUUUGAUGUUUUACCAAGAGCAUCUGGCAAAGGAGGAGCUCUGACUUAUCUACUUGAAAAGUUGGAGAUUGAAGGGAAGCAGCCUUGUAACAUACUUGCUUGUGGUGACUCUGGAAACGAUGCUGAGCUUUUCAACAUUCCUCAAGCAUAUGGUGUAAUGGUUAGUUUCCUACUGUUUAUUUUUAUCAUUCUUGAUUGCACUCUGGUAGUUGUGAUGCUGUUUUACUGUUUAAGGUUAGCAAUUCGCACAACGAACUAUUGCAAUGGCACGAAGAAAAUGCAAAGGACAACCCAAAAAUAAUUCUUGCGUCCGAGAGAUGUGGAGCUGGCAUGAUCGAGGCCUUACAAAGGUUUAAUCUGGGACCAAGCGCCUCUCCGAGAGAUGUUUUGGAUACUGAAAAUUUCCACGUGGAAAUUUUGGAUCCUGCUCAUGAGGUGGUUCAGUUUUAUUUGCUUUACGAGAAAUGGCGCUGUGCAGAGGUGGAGAAGUCUGACAAGUAUUUGCAGAACUUGAAAUCGCUCUCUGUAAGUGUGUUUUCUUCGUUUGACUGCCUAGAAAAUACUUCUUUCUUGAGAAUUAUUGAAGAUGAGGGAGCAUCUGAGUAAUGUUUCAAGUGCCCAGAUCAAUAAUUUUGAAGAUGAUCUUGAUUCACUGUAUCGUGUAUACGGAUUAAUUGGCUUAAUUGUUUUGCUUUUGCAAUGUUUCAGAGUCCACUUGGUAUUUUUGUUCAUCCGUCUGGAGUGGAGAAACCGAUACAUGAAUGGAUAGACGAUUUGGAAAAUUUACAUGGGGACGGGAAGGAGAAGCAGUUUCGCAUUUGGUUGGAUAGAGUUUCGUCUUCUCUUAUCAGCUCUGAGACAUGGAUUGUAAAAUUUGACAAGCAUGAGUUAUCUGGUAAGAAAUCUAGUCUUUUACUUAUCUCUUUUAGUAUAUAAGAUCAAUCCUUUCAGGCAAGUAAAUUGCAAAACAGUUAUCUUAAUGUUUUAGUCUUAUUUGUUUUGUGUUGUAUUCAGAGGGAAAAGUAGGGUCUUGUUCGACAAGAGUCUUACUAAGUUGCCAGGUAAACCUAUGUACUUUUUAAGUUUUUUUAACGACUUGAUUGAUUAAACAAUAUUGAAAAUCUGAAAAUGGGGUUUGAAAUGAAAGGAGGAAAAGCAAAAGCUGACGUGGAUGCACAUCCACCAAUCAUGGUUAGCUGAUUCCUGUUCAGAUGAUCAAGACAAAUGGAUUUUCUGAAACUGGACUGACAUAUUAAGAUGAUGAUACCUGUUUGGGACAGGAGCUAACCAAAAAAGAGCAUAGUGUUUGUUUUGUGUUAUGUGUUGGUUUCGUUAAUACUCUUUUACAGAAUUUGAAAAGUAUAAACAAGGAAUAUUGUGCCUGAAUUGAUCUGUCUUGGAUCAUAAUUUAGGACCUUUUGGGGCAGGGAGAGUUUUGGGUCUCUACAAUAAAACCCUACAUUUCUUUUGUUCAUGUUUUGGGUAACUCUUGGUUUUUUCCUUUGUUCAUUCGUUAUGUACUUGUUGAUUGUUGUCUUCGACACUGAUUAAGAAAGAAAUCGUGUUUGAUUCUUUUUUGGUUUACAGGGAUUGUUAUGUACUAUAUUUCGCUUUGGUUCGGUCUAGGGUACUGGUUCGGUUUUUUCAAAUAUUUUUCAUCGGUUUGAUUCAAAUUUAAUUCGGAUCUUGAAAGAAAAAGAAAAAACUGUUUUUUUAACCAUAACAAAUUACCAAAGUUUUGUUCAAUUCUACGAUUACUCGCGAAUCCCGCCUCGGAUACUGUAAUCUAAGGAUAAAGAAAAAGGAUAUGAUGGAGCUAAGAGGAGACGCAAGUUACGGAACAUGAUUUAAUGCAUAAGUCUAAUUACUAAUUACCCACCACUUUCCGUAAUUAACGCCCUUUUUCACUUUAUCCACUUUUUGGCUUAUUUUCUUUAUAUUACUAUUUCUUUCUCCAAGCUCACUCACACUGCUCAGUGCUCAGUCAGUUUCCUCCAAAUGGCUACCUUAAACACUCGAGUCAUCUUCUUUUCUCUGUGUCUCAUCCUUAGCAAAAAAGCAUCGUCGCAGCUUGAUGAGCUAUGGCUAGUCGGUGACGACGACGACGAUCCACUCAACGCCUUGCAGACAAGGCGUGCAAAAAGAGAGGAGAAGUGCGACUACUCGGUGGGGAAAUGGAGCUACGACGAAACGUAUCCGCUCUAUGACUCAAACUGUCCAUACCUGAGCUCUGCGCUAAGUUGCCAGAGAAAUGGAAGGCCCGACUCUUACUACCAAAAAUGGAGAUGGAUCCCUAAGUCUUGUUCACUUUCAAGGCACACAUCCACUCUUCUAAUAUCUAUCUAUUCUUACUUCUUUUUAACAAGUUUUUCUUGUUAAAUUUCGUUCCAUAAGAGAAUUCGGUUAGAAUAUUAUGGCGAGCCAAAUGGUAAUUGCAUGCGGACUUAGUGGUAUGAAAGACGAGUUGAAAAAGUGGUAUUAAAGAUGAAUCGGAUAAAGAUACAAGUUAGAUAAAUGUUUUCAUUUCCAUUCAUUCCUCUGCAAUGUAGUAGACUAGUGGAAUAUUUUGUUAUGGAACUAGUUAAUUUUCAGUUUCUUUUCUAUAGGACUAUAGGAGCGUGUGGAAUUUGUUUCAUGACUUUCACUUUAGAUACGCAGCCAAUUUUGGUUUUUGUAUUUUAAAACGCAACUAAUUGAAAAUAUUUUUGCAUGAGUUUAAAAUUUGGAAGAUUAGCUGAAGAAAUAUUGGAUAAUAUAAAAUAAAUUAUCUUAAAUCACAAAUUAUUUAUUUUGAUUAAUGUACUUUCUAUGUUCAUAUUUAUCUGAAAAAUAAGAUACUAUGAUCUAGUGAUUUUAAAAUUUUAAACAGCGUUUUAAAUCCACAAUUUGCAAGUUUUAUUCCUACCAACAUAAGCUCUUUUUAAUUGAUUGGGGUUUAGGUUUGACGCAUUGAAAUUUCUGGGGAAAAUGAGGCAAAAAAGAAUAAUGUUGGUCGGAGAUUCAAUUAUGAGAAACCAGUGGGAAUCUCUUGUCUGCUUAGUACAGUCUGUGCUUCCCACGCAUCGUAAGAAGGUCACUUACAAUGGUCCUACAAUGUCUUUCCAUUCUCUGGUAACAAUCAUGACUCUUUUUAACAUAGAUCUCCUUUUGGAUCACAUACUCAUAAUUGGUCAGUAAAAAGCAACUAUAAUAAGUUUGGUUACUUGCAGGAUUUUGAGACAUCAAUUGAGUUCUGUUGGGCUCCUCUGCUUGUGGAACUCAAGAAAGGAAAUGACCGUAAAAGAUUGUUACAUUUGGACUUAAUCGAAGGCAACGCUAGAUACUGGCGAGGUGUCGAUGUUCUUGUAUUUGAUUCUGCUCACUGGUGGACUCACUCUCAGAAACGGAGUUCGUAAGCCAUCAACAAAACCUUUAUCAGCUUUGGUUUAAUUAGAAGCAAAUGAUUAGUAUAGAACUGUUUAAGCUCUAACAAUGACUAGAUUAAUCCAUGUUUCUUAUCUAUUACUUUAGGUGUGUCUUAUGUCAGAUGUGAACGAUAACACAAGUUAUUGAUGCUUUAGGUGGGACUAUUACAAAGAUGGGAACAAGCUUUUCAAAGCUAUGGAUCCAAUGGUUGCUUAUGAGAGAGGACUUACAACAUGGUCUAAAUGGGUAGAGAUUAAUCUUGAUCCAUCCAAAACCAAAGUCAUUUUCCGCACAAGCUCACCGAGGUCUAUACUUUUCCUAAUAUCAUAACAUCAAUUACAUGAAAGCAAAGGUGAUCAUGUCAUAUUUUCGUUGGCAGAGAGAGUGGUCAAAAGUGCUACAACCAGAGACAUCCGUUGCCUUCUCCUAGCGAAUCACACGUUCCUCAACAAUCAAGAGUGUUAAAAAAAGUCCUUACGAGAAUGAAAUAUCGAGUGUAUUUGCAUGAUAUCACAACAAUGUCGGCUUAUAGGAGAGAUGGGCAUCCUUCUGUGUUCAAGAGAGCAAUGCGAGAGGAAGAGAAGCACCAUCAUAUCGCUGGAUCUUUAUCAGACUGUAGUCACUGGUGCUUGCCUGGUGUCCCGGAUAUUUGGAAUGAGAUGCUUUCUUCAAUAAUCUUAACCAAAGUUGCAUGAGUUACGUGUCUGUUUUACUUAGUCCUGGGCUUUCGGGUGUUACUUGUAUGAGUUAUGAGUCUGUUUUGGAAAGUGAAGUCAGUGGUUUACUAUAUGUAUACCUUUUCCCCGAAACUAACAACCCAAUAAUCAAAGACAAGACAGCUCAAGGCCUUUAAGCAUAUAGCAUCAAUAGAUCAUGAAAAUAGUAUUCUCUUUGCAUUUCGCUUCAGCUUUUCGGAUUGUAUAUAUGCAUCAUUAUUACUAUGUUUACUGAAUGUGAAAACCAGCAUAUGGUUAAUGGGAAAACAAUAUUCUCUGUAUCCAUUUGUUUGUCACUUUAUGCAUUAAGUUCCGUUUAGCAUAAUGUUUUGUAGAGAGACUUUUUUUACUUUGGAUGAUUCAGUUCGUUUAAUUUGUCUUAAAAAGGACACCAAGAUUCCCAAACAAACGCUACAAAGUAAAUAAUGUAUAAGCAAAAAGACUAGGCCUGGGUUUGUUUAAACGUUUUUUACAUCUUCAGUUACAUGAGAAAAUAUUUAUGUAUCCAAAAUCUUUUUUUCUUUGUUAAAGAUGUAUCCAAAGAUUCUAAUUGUUUAAAAAAAAGAAAACAAUUUUUUUCUUCUGAUUCUCAAAAUACCCUUUAUCUGUGGCCACUGCUACCUAACUCCUUUUAUAUUCCUCAAACUUUGUAGGUUAUGUUUUGGUGUUGUCACCAUAAUAAAACUAUAUAGUAUAUACCAGUUUCAUAUUUUUGGGCGAAAACUAUAUACUAUUUGAUACGAGAGUAAAGUAAUGACCCCCAAUAUAAUAUUUGAAUAAAAUAAUAUAUAUGAUAUUUUGUCCGAAUUCCGUUAUGAGUCACUUUUGUUUCUCCGUCUCUUUUAAUUUACUUUCGAUUUAAUCACUUGAAAGCUCCUCCAGAUCUCUCUCUGGGGGCAACGAAGAUCAUCACCUCCUCUAUAGGCCUUUGGAGUAACCUUCGGAAGUUUCAUAUGGCGGCGGAGAAUUGGGUGUACAUGGUGACGGCGCAAACGCCGACGAACAUCGCGGUGAUUAAGUAUUGGGGAAAGAGAGAUGAGGUUCGGAUUCUCCCCGUCAACGACAGCAUUAGUGUAACUCUUGAUCCUGAUCACCUCUGCACCGUCACCACUGUCGCCGUUAGUCCUUCUUUCGAUCGGGAUCGAAUGUGGCUCAAUGGCAAGGUACUUUCACGAUCUCCUAUGUUCGUCUCUUUGCUGAGAUUUCGUAUCCAGUGAUCAAACCUUAAAGAUGGGUUUUUAGUUCAUUAAUGGGAUAAGUCAUGAUGUUAAAUAAAGUUAGUAUUUUUGCUUCAUUAGUUAGAUGAUUGGGAAUUAAAUGUUUAAAGGCAGAGUCUUUAAUGAUUUAAAUGAGUCAUUUUGUUUGUUUGUUUCAUGUUAGUAUAGGAGAUCUCUCUUUCUGGGAGUAGGUACCAAAACUGUUUGAGGGAGAUUCGAAGUCGUGCUGGUGAUGUUGAAGACAAGGAGAAAGGUGUCAAGAUAGGGAAGAAAGAUUGGGAGAAACUACAUCUUCAUAUUGCUUCUCAUAACAACUUCCCUACUGCUGCUGGCUUAGCAUCUUCAGCAGCUGGAUUCGCUUGUCUAGGUAUUCUGCCGUUUUUUUUCUCUCUGUUAACCUCGUGGGGUUGAUUUAAACCUUCAUGCUAAAUUGAAAUUUUGUCAGAUUUUAGCUCUUCGUCUUUCCACUGAUGAGAUGAACAUGGCUCGUAGUUUAUGUCAAACUGCUUUUUUCCUGCAGUUUUUUCUCUUGCAAAGUUGAUGAAUGUAGAUGAGGAUCCAAGCCAACUUUCUGCGAUAGCCAGGUACGUAUGCAGUCGACUUCCUUGCACUAUCAUUCCUUACAUCUUAUGUUCCUCAUGCAUUGAUUAUAUACAUGCUAUCAUUUUCCACAAUGAUCCAUAUUGGUUUUUAGUUGAGUUACCUUGAAACGUGGCAUUCCUCUAGAUUAUAAGUGAUACUGGUAUGCACAGUUUAACUUUCAAUCUCAUGUAGGCAAGGUUCAGGAAGUGCUUGCCGUAGUUUAUUUGGUGGAUUUGUCGAGUGGAAAAUGGGAAGCAAAGACGAUGGAAGUGACAGCGUUGCAGUUCAAUUGACAGAUGAGAAGCAUUGGGAUGAUCUUGUUAUCAUCAUUGCUGUGGUAUGGAUCUUUUCAAUCUUUCAUUAAGUGUGACUUUAGACUUGUUCGUAGAGUUAUUCCCAUUCUCCCAUCUCCCAGAUCACGCCGUUUACAAAUUUUACCGUAUGCUACAAUCUCAAUCGUCAUACGAUUUGAAUGAAUAGCUCUAUAAAUGACUAUAUACCAGGACUUGAUUUUGAAUUGCUUUAUAUAAACUGAUGAACAUUAGCAGAUAAUCGAUUCAUACAGCCACACUCUUCUGCAUUAUGGCAUGAUUAAGACAAGCUCAAAUAAUAUGAUCUAAAAUUUGUGAUAGUCCAGUGCCUACUUAUCAUAUUUCUUACAUAGCCUGUAUGAGCUUCUGUGUUAAUGUGUAUUUGUAACUGGUUUAAGCUUAUGCUACACCCAGGUGAGUUCAAGGCAGAAGGAAACCAGCAGCACCUCUGGAAUGCGUGAAAGUGUUGAGACGAGUUUGCUUUUACAGCACAGAGCAAAAGUAUGUUCUCUUCUUGAUGUUUGAUGGAAGUCUGUAAUCUGUAUUAACUGUUAAAAGUUCAUGUUCUGUUCUUUUCUUUCUCUGUAGGAUGUUGUGCCGAAAAGGAUUCUGCAAAUGGAGGAAGCUAUUAAAAACCGAGAUUUUGCAUCUUUUACCCAAUUGAGCUGCGCAGACAGUAAUCAAUUUCAUGCUGUUUGUCUAGAUACAUCUCCACCCAUAUUUUACAUGAAUGACACCUCCCACAGGUAUAUUUCUAUUUUGACAAUUAUAUGCUUCUUCUUCUUAUUUAGGUAUAUCAAACUCCUUUUCUCCUUUUAAUAUCAAGCUGUCGUUAACUGCUUCCCCAGGAUAAUUAGCUUAGUUGAAAAGUGGAACCGUUCUGAAGGUACUCCUCAGGUAAACUCCUACCAAGCUGUUUCUUGCUCAAGCUUUUGACCAUUUGUUAGUUCCUAGUACUUGUACUGGCGUAGAUUUAUCUCAAAUCUCACUGCAGAAACUACUCUGUGUUACUCUAUAAACAACAAAUAACUCGAAUAACUUAAAUCUGAACAGGUUGCUUACACAUUUGAUGCUGGCCCAAAUGCUGUACUGAUUGCAGGCAACAGAAAGGUAGCAGUUCAAUUGCUCCAGGGACUUCUAUACUAUUUCCCUCCUAAGUCUGACACUGAUAUGAAGAGGUGAGAGAUAGAAACUUCGUGAUUCUUUUACUGCGGCUUUCGAUGAGUUUAACCCAUGACUAAAAAGGGCUGUUUGGAAUGAUUUUGGUUUCUUUGUUUACCAGUUACGUAGUGGGAGAUAAUUCGAUUCUAAAGGAGGCAGGACUAGAUGGAGCAAACAGUGUAGAGAAUCUACAACCUCCACCUGAAAUUAAAGACAACAUUGGAUCUCAGGAUCAAAAAGGAGAAGUCAGUUAUUUUAUCUGCACUAGACCUGGAAGAGGUCCCGUCGUGCUUCCCGACCAAACUCAGGCUCUUCUUGAUAAAAAAACCGGCCUUCCCAAGUGAGCAUGUCUGCUUCAAUCUAAUGUUAUGUGAUUAGCAGCAUCCUUUAACUGCGAGUUUUAAAAAGAUAUUUGUGGCAGAAUAAUAAUUGCAAGCUCCGUUGUUAUCUACUACUAGCUUUCGUAUUUCCAAUAAAAAGAUAAAUUCAUUGUUUUUGUUUUACCAGAGUACAUUUGUUUUAACUACACCGCAACAUAUACCAAAAAUUUACAAAGAACGAAAAGAAAUACAUACAUGAUACAGAAGAAAUCCAUACAUAAUACUAUAUUUUGUACAAUAUUUUUUUCUUUUCCUGAUUCUAAACAAUGUCAAAUUGAAUGAAUUAAAUUUAAGAUGCUUGGGGAAUAGGCAAUAGUUCCUUCAAGACAGUUUCUGCCACCCCAUCAGCAUUUGGAAACAAAUGACCAGCGCCUGGAACCUCAUGAUACUUGAUCCAAGUUAGCUUCUGAGCAAUGAUCCUUUGUAGUUGUACCGGGACAAGUCUAUCAUCAUCACCUUGCCACAAGUGAACCGAUCCUUCACCUUUCGGGAAUGGAUUCUCGAUCUUCAUCGGGUCAAAACCCCAUUUCCCAAAUCCGACAAUCAUGUCGCGGUCUAAUGAUUCGUGUGUCCCUUGUUGCGUUGUUUGGUUCUUGUAAGCGACCCUUCCGGCAAGUUUGGGCAGUAAAGCCAUAUCUUGAGGAGAGAAUAUUGUAGGUCUUGAUUGCAUCACAGCUGAUGUUUGGAAAAGCUUUUGAUUGUUCCACCAAUAGAGCAGCCAUGGAGUGUUGUGAGUGAGGAGCAUCGCAAACCUUUCGGUUCUAGAUUGCUUGUUCCAUAGUUCCCAUGUCAAACUAUCCGGGAAACUAGGCCACCAUGAGUUGGUUACAGGACAAAGCAAUGUGGCUCCAGCGAGCCUGUGAGGGAUGUAUUUGAGAACACCCCAAACGGCUUGGCCUCCCAUUGAGUAUCCAACCACGUAAAAUUUGGAACCAAGUUGUAAUUGGUCAGCGAGUUGUUCAACGUCAUGAGCUAAAGUCUUUUCAUUGCGACUCGAGUCAGGAUCGCUCUCUCCAUACCCAGGUCGAUCAUAUGAUACCACGUAGAUGCCGUUUUUCUCAAGAAACCCCUGACCAAAACAAACAACGCAAUUACUCUAGGUAGGGCUCAAUUGUAUUCAAAUGCAUAUUUUUGCAUUAGCGUUUACAUGUAAAAUAUAAACAUUUUUUUUUUUUUUUUGCUUAACCAGGUGGUGGUUUGGGCCUUGGGCCUUAAUCCACCCCCUAGGCCCGGAUCCAGCCUGUGUCUGUACCUUCUUAAGGGCCCUGGACAAUCCUCCCCGACCGAGACUCGAACCGGUGACCUCUCAAACAAUUGCCUGAGGUGAAACCAGCUGAGCUAGCUCGUCCGGGUAAAAAAUAAAAUAUAAACAUUUCAAACAAGAUACUUUACAUUUGAAAAUAUUUUUAGCAAAGUGUAAACGUAAGCUUCAAACGCAAAGAAGCUUUGUUUAAGACGAUAGUGGUUGUUGGUUUAUCUAGAAGAAAAAAAUCAUAGUACAUAUAUAAACAAAAAGCUAAUGUAAAAAAGCAAACGCAUGCAUGCAGAUUAACAAUCUGAGUCAUAGAGUUGUGGGUUCAUCUGAAAAAACAAUGCACAUUAAACGAAAGAAGCAAAUGCAAAUGCAAACAAUCGAGGCGUUAAAAAAGAACACAAAGAAGAGAGAAAAGAUCGAAUCAUUACAGGACGAACACGGUUGGCGAUAACAGCAUCGCGCCUAAAGGUGGCGAAUGCAUGGAUAAAGAUGAUCUUGAAUGUGGCGUUUUGUCUACUAACUCCAUGUUCUUGGUAGGCUAAAUAGCGUCCAUCGCUGAGCCGGACCCUCGGGGCGGUAAUAGGCGGCCCACCGGGGGUACCACAUCUCUUAGAAGGUGGAGGUGUAAAGGAAACAAUAGCCCAUGCCCCUAAUGCAAUCAAUACUAUUACAACGGCUCCUCCAACUAACCCUGUCAAAAUUCUCGAUAAAAACAAUCAGUUAUCACAUUUUCUUCGUCGCUUAGCAAAUUUACUUCAUUUGAACUAAUCAAAAACUCACAUUUCUUCAUGCUGAAAAACCUUGGCAGAAGUUGGCCGAAUUCUUAAAGGCAAUACCAACUUAUAAUCAAAUAAAUUGGCAUGUAUAGGUUUAAAAGUGUUGAUCUUGGAUAUGUAUAAAUAGAGAGAGAGGUGGUAAAACUUAAAUCGACAGAAGAAAACCCUACAAUUCUUCCAUCUCACAUAUCGAGCAUAUAUGACAACGUAAAUCACGGUGGAUUCGCUGAAAGACUAUUUUUCUUUUGAGGAGUUGAUCCAGAAAUAGGAGGUAGCUGCAAAACCCAACUAUUGGAGCAAUCGUUCCCACAAACGUAUUAACUACUUUUGUUUUAGGAGGAGCCAAUGACAGACGCAAGUUUAAUUAGUUUCACCCGUUUUCUCUAAUCGUCGGAACCCCUAUGUAGAACAACUUUUGCAAAGUGUCAUCAGAGGGAUUACAGUUGUAUGUGGACAAUUGGACGGAUCAACUCAAGAAGUAUAAAGUGCCAUGUGUUCAACAAUUCAAUAGUGACUACUAGAGAGCAAAAUCAAAAUCAAUUUUCAGAGUUAAAAUACAACCAACACAUUAAAAUUCCAACACCACUUUACACACACAAAACCUCUCAACAGUCAAUUAUUGUCAGACAUAUCACGAAACCUCGCAAGUGCUUUCUUAUGGAGAACAGUUCUGUAGGUAUCGCCAGGCUGAGCCUCAAACUCAGCAUCAAGUUUCUUCUGGUGACUCCCAAGUCCUGCUCUCCUAUCAACGCCUUGCGCUUGCACCGGUUCUUUCAUUCCACUCCCGUCUCUCCCUAAACCCUGCACUUACCAACCAACCAUCACCACUCUCUUCUUCUCUGCCAUAACAAUAUAACCUUAAGGAUAAAAACCAGAUUAAUGGUUUAUAAAAGUUUACCGAUCCUUCGUGCCAACCCAUGUUUCUCAACAUUCUGUUUCCCACGUUACUUUCGUCUAUUGCUUUAUCUUCUGUAAUUACAUCGAAACUACUGACUUCGGUCGUGGUAAUCCCACGUCCACCCACACCAGGAGGAAAAGGUGUUGGAUCCGAUGAACCUUUUCUCAACCCCAUAAUAUCUUCACCUUCAUUCAAAACACGCACCAUUUUCCCAGUUAUGUUAUUAUCAUAUAACUCCUCAAUACCAGUUUUUAUUUCUGUAUAAAAAUCUACUCCAGAGUGAGAGAAGUCAAGGACGCUUACUUGAAUCAAUAACAUCAUUGCCGCCGGGAGCUGAAGAACCGUAUAAGUUUCUUCUUUCUGCAGCACGGUCCCGGUAUGAUGUCAGAGGCUGUUCACUGUGAGUGGGCACUGCAGUCGGCGUUUCAGAGAACCUUCUUCUCCCACUCCCAGAAACCGAAACCGGAACCGAAGGGGAAGGAGCAGAAGGCAAAACUGGAGGCACUUGUACAUUAGCUGAAGAAGAAGUUCCUCCAAAAGAACCUCUCAUCACCCCCAUCAAAGGUCUUCCUCCUGUACUGCUACUCGAGCUUUCUGUAGUGGGAGUUGUUGCAAGUGCGGCAACUCCAUGAUUGGAGGUAGUUCUCUCCUUUGCAAUCAUUGUGUCAGAUUUCAGCUUGCCCUUGGAUGGUACAGCGGAGAAAGACGACCUUGCUUCAGACAGAACUGUAGGUGGAUUGUCAACACCAAGUGAGGGACGUUGUGUUUGUGGUUCAUGGCUCCGCUGCUUCCACAUUGUUAAAACAUUACUCAUUUUUUUCUUGCUAGCCAGUAUGCUACUCUUUGAUGCAAGUUUUAUUUCCUUCACUCUUUCUUUUUCUCUCUUCUCCGAAGCAAUUGCUGCUGCUGCAGCCGCCUGUACCGCAUCUGGUAAGGAGAUAGCCUUGUCUACAGUGGGGGUAGCAGCCGCAGAGAUAAUAACUUUUUGUUGACUGGAUUUCUCCGUCUUGGCAAUCUCUGGUUGCGUUUCAGUUGAUUUACUCUGAUUGUUUUGAUCAGGACAAGCUACAUAUUGUUGCGUUUGAGGGUCAUACGAGUACCAAAGCCCACUACUGCUGUCAUAGUAUAGACCUGCAAAUUUAGAAGCUAUGUUUAUUUUUCUUUCCUAAAAACUACGCUUCCCAGUAGCUUGAAGAGCUUCCAUGGAAGUACCAAGUCCCGUGAGACGCACGUGAGGAGGUCCUCCGGGUCUAGAAGCUAGGAUGUGGAAUAAACCAGGCCAUUGAAGUCCCUGCAUGAUAUCCAAAUCGAUGAUGUGCACACUAUCUUCUUUCUCAAAAGCUUCUUGUAUCGCUUGAUUAGCUGUAAAGUGUGAGAAUUUCACCAAAGGGCUUAUCCCAUUAAACACUUGAAACGCAGAGACCAUCUUCAAGCUGUGCGUUUGUGGCAUCCACCGUGAAGGCAACGCCGCGUAAAUCCCGAGGCAAGAGUUGAGUAAUCUCGCAGACAUUGCUUCCGAGAAAUACGCAGCGACUCUCUGCGCAGAUGUUCCGUAUGGAGUAGAGAGCUGAGAGAUCUCGAGGAGAAGCUUGUUUGCUUCUUCGAGAUUGUCCGCAGAGACUGCUUCAGCACACUGUAGCAGCAACGUGAGAAGAUGCAAGCCUUCUUCGUCUUGCUUCUGUCUCUUAAUCUCUUCUUUUCUCUCUCUUAACGCCUCCGCCGUGUUUGCUACGGUGGUCUCCGUGCUGGUCACUGUCUCAGGCGGCGGUGCAUCGGUGGAAGAAUUCUCCCUUUCUUGCUGCUGAAUUGGAGGAGGUGUUGGCUUAGGCUGUUGUUGCUGUUGUUGCUGUUGUUGUUGUUGCUGUUGUUGUUGUUGCGUUACAGGAGGAGAAGGAUUGUUAGAGAUCUGAUGAUAUAGAGGUUGAGUGAUGGAGUCGAAAGGUUGAGGAGGAGAAGGGUCGGAGGACGAAGAAGGGUCAAGAAGCAUGAGAGAUCGGAGUCUGUACUCGAGAAGAGCGCCGAGAUUUGGGUUACAAGGGAAAAUGAUGUCUCUGACGUUUUGGAUAAGCUGUGGGAUAGAGACUGAAGUUGAGGAGUGGAUUAAGUCUCUGAUAAUGGCGUCGACCCACACAGUAGGUGAAGAAGAAGAAGACGAAGAGUCUUGUUCCAUUGGCUGUACGGACAUCGCUGUCCGGCGGUCGGAAGGAAACACCGGAAGACCGGAGAAGCCACAUACAGAGAGCGGUGGGGUCGGCUGAGUGGUAUAGUCGGCCGCCGCCGUUAUAGGUGGUGGUGGUGGAGGAGAAGUGAUGGUGUAGUUGGAGUCAAGUUGGUGAGAGACACGGCGAGGAGGAGGACGAUGGUUGUUGUAGUCAGGGUUGUUUAAGGAAGAAGAUGAAGACAUCUCGGAAGCUAAUCGCUUUCUCACCAUAACUGAUGGUGGAGGAGGAGGAGGUGGAGCAGUACGGUUGCUGCUGCUACUGCCAGAAGAAGUUGUUCUAAUGGGACUAUGAGGCUGACCGCCGUUGAACUCGCCGGAUUCCGCCAUGGAGAUUGGAGGGUUCGUCGUGAGAUUGCAUGGUUAUAAAUAGAGGAUAACAACAGCAACAAAAAAAAAAAAAGAACCAAACUUUGAAAAUCCAAAAUCGAUAAUCCAAACAGAAAAGGGUGUUUUGCAGGUAAGUAGCCUCUCUCUCUCUCUCUAUGGGGAUUCUUAAUUUAACUUUGAUAUUCUUCUUUCUUCACGAUCUCCGAUGAUGAUAAAUGAGGAAAAAUGAAAGCAAAAUUUAACAAAUGAAGGAUCGGAGUGUAUUUGGAAGGGAGUGUGUUGGAGAAGGAUGAUUCCCGUAGAAAGGGGGGAGCUUUGUGGUGGACGAGGACACUGAGCCUGGCCGUAUCUAACUCGUCUUCCUCCUUUCGAAUUAUUGUGAAUGUCGCUUCGUACAUUUAAUGGCUCUUUCCACCUCUAUUCAUAUUAACUCUUUCUCUCUCUCUCUCUUUCUCUGAGGUUUUAUUAAAUUAAUUUGGUUUUAAAAAUAAUAUAAAUGGGAAGAGAUUAGGUGGGAGAUCGGAGAUGUUCGUCGUUGCGUGUUUGACAUCUUCCUUUUGCCGAUCCAUCUUGUUUCUUCCUCCACCUCUCCCUGUCUUAAAAUAACAACAAGAAGAUAACAUUUUCAUUGGUAUAAUUAUGAGUUUAGCUCAUUUUUCGUGGAACCGUUGCAGUAUAUAUUAUUCUUUAUAAUAAUCGACAAAAAUGACUAUUAGAUUGAUUUUUAGUGUUCGACCCCUUCGUUGGGUCAGACAAUGGGACCGAUAAUUAGAUUCUACACCACAAAACCAAAUUUUCCAAGGCCAUAGAUCAUCAUUAUAUACGCCAAGACAAAAAAAAUGGUUAGUUCUAAACCGGAUUCUACCGUAGUUGAUUGUUCACCAUUCAAUAUGUUACUAUUUGUGAGCUAAACGGAAUGUAGAAAACGGAAAGGAUAUUUAAGGUUUCAAGAUUGUAAAGUGAUAACCCCUUUUUUACAAUUUCUCGGAGGAAUUAAAAAAAAAAAGUGAUUAAAGUUGACAGUUUUAGUGUUGAACAAAUGUUCUUAGGAUGAAGCUGAAGUGCCAUUGCCAAGUAGUUCAAAAUUAGGUAACAACUCAUUUAUAUAGAUUUAUAAACGUUUUUGAAGGUGUUAAAGAAAAGUGAUAUUAAUUUGGUCCCCAUACUGAGAUUGUAUUUGGAUAGCAAACUUGCUGCUAGUUUGUAGUGAAAAUUAGCCUAAAGAAGGGAAAAUAGAAGGGAAGUUAAGUCUUAGUUCAAAAAAAAAAAAAAAAAAAAGAAGGGAAGUUAAGUCUCGUUUUAUUAAAAAGGUAAAAAUAAAAGGAGCCAAGCAGCAAUUUCUAAAAUAUCCACGGACCACAGCAUUUACAUGUGAGAGGAAUUGGACAAGACGUAGUAAGCUAAAACAGUAAAUACAAAGGCGAACAAGUAAAGAGAUGCACAUGUUUUGUAGAGUCCAUUACACCAACUGUCAAACUCCAGUUCCCGAUAAAAUCUGAAACUAGUGUUUGACAUUUUGCUUUCAUCUGCAUCCUCAUCUUUUCCCUUUUUUCCCUUUUUUAACAAUUUCAUUUUUAAACUAUUAUUAUAUUAUUAUAUAUUAAUUUAAUUACGAAGUUUUGGACCUGUUUGACUGACAGUUUUUAGACUUUUGUACGUCAAACACUAGCCCCCAUGGCCUUAUAAUAAUAGCAUGGCUUGGGAAAUGGCCGUGUUGUCCAAAAAAAAAAAAAAGGGAAAUGGCAGUGAACCCUAGAGAAACCAUCCACGCUUUUUACGAUCAUUUUUUUCCCCUUUUUCACUUAAAUUUUAUUUUAUUAACUUCAUCACAACACAAACACAAACACAAACACACGGCUCAAUAUGAAAGAUCUCAGCGUAAAAAGCUGAGUGUCUUUCUCUAAGUUCAUACUCAAAAGUCGUUAUUGCCCUUUCAGAUUAAUUGGCAUGUAGGCUGUAGCUCUUUACACAGCCGUGCAUAUUUUUUCAAUAGUGGUUGUUGAGAAAUCUUUAGCAAAUUUAAUAUUUAAAAUACAUAUUAAUUUUAUUAAAAAAAAUAUUUUCACUGGUUAACUUUUUGCUAUAAUACAAAUUAAUUUUACAAAACAAAUUCUUUUCACUAGUUAAUAUUUUGUUUUACACAAUAUGAUUUUAACGGGAGACAUAUCCAUCCGCGUAGAUGUUGGUGUUGGGUUUCGUGCCCAAUUUGAUUUAGAAAAACUAAAAAGCCCAUUACAGUAUAUAGGUCAGGUCGAAGAAUUAGCCCAACAACGGUUCAUACAAAGUUCUAACAUCACACAAUAUACAUAUAUAUAUACAUUUUGAUUCAAUCCGGAUAAAGUAUCUAACACAAACUUAAAUUUCUUAUUUCCAACAACUUAAAAUCAAACUGAUCAAUCGAAAUUUUGAUUUUUUUUGGAUUUUGUUUCCAAAUCAAAUAAGUAGGUUGAUUUUUUUUUUUGGACAAACUAAACUUUCAGUAAUUUAACAGAGUUCAACUCCACUAAGAGUGGAUACAAAGCGGCCAAAAGAAGCCGAACAAGACAAAGGAUUGAUAAAACGAGAGAUAGAUGGAUAUAAAUCAUACCAAAACACAACAAUCAAUCGAACAACGAUCUUGUAAUCUUCUUGAACAGUUACAUCCAAUGUAACCUGAAAGGCUACAAACACUGCAACAAAGGCAGAGAAGACCAUCAGCCGGGAGGAAGAUCCUUGCAAUACCGACGAUGCUUGAAAAUCCAAACCACUCCCGAUAGGAGGGACAAUUGGGAAGAGAGACUGCUCCAUAAAGGAGGCAACAGGGUAUUCCAUCACCAUUUUCACCAGGGAAAACAUGAGUUUUCUUUUAUAUGGCCAUGAAGAAAGAAGAACCAAAAACACAUUACCAAGAUUCGGAUAGAAAACAUUAAAGAUCAUGGAUAGUGCAGUAAAGGAUCGCACCAAGGCGAUAUGAAAUCUAGUAAAACGCAUAGGCACACCCGAUGAAACAAAGGUAAUUAAGUCUGUUGGGUCAUCAUAAACUAGCACCAUACCCAACCAAUCCAGUAUUAUCCACUCAACAAGCCUUUCAUACCAUUUCACACAAGAGGAAAUGGAGAGUGAAGAGCAAAAGCGAACCUGGAAAACCAAGAUAGGGGAGGUGGUGAUGAUGGUAAAAGUUCGUAGAGGAAGCCAGACUACGCGCCUGUGGAGUAACAGUCUGCAUACUGCAGAAAACAAGCGUCCAAAGAUGAAGUUGGUGUCGCGGAAGAUGGUGUCGCCGCAGCUAUCAAUGAGGUAAUGGCUUGACACAUGAAUCACGAAAUUCGAUAGAAACCUUCCUCGAGAAUCAGAAAUCGAAGUGAGAUCCAAACCAAACUAUUGGACAAUAGAAAAUAAGCUGCUACAGAACACCGUUACCAAGAGUCCAAGAGUUGCGAUAGACUGGAAGCACAUUGCAGCUAGCUCUAGCCAUGAAACUCGGGAGUUGGACCAAACGCGAAGCAAGAAGAUGAUUCUUGUGCAUAGAGCAGUAAAGUGUGGCGCGAAGGACACCAAGUUGAAAUCUAGAAGGACCAUUGGACGCCAAACACCAGAGCUUGCACCAUGUCCGGAAGGAGAACCGGGAUCUAACCAUAAGAGUAGACCACAGGGAUUCACCAGCGGAGGAGGAAGCAAAGGCCAGGAGAGGAAACGAGAGAGCGAUGACCACAUUAGUAGAUCCGAUGGUUUCGGUGGAGGGAUUGGCCGCCACAGAAGUCGAACAAACCAGAGGGGAGAACGAGAUGUUGACAGAAUGGUCAGAUCCGGAUGAAAGGCAGAGAAGGUUGAGACCUCCGUCCUCGAGAGAGCCAUGGAAACUUUCUGAGAAAUCAACCGGAGAAAGAGAGUUCAGCCAGAUGGAGGAGGAGGAAGCUGUGAAAUCUCUCCGACGACGGCCACUAAACAGCGAAAGGAAACUACAGCUUAAGAUGUCAGCAACAAGCUAAAUGAGAAGAUGACCACGAGGAGCCUCCAAUUUCAGAUGAAGAGUCUCCAGCGGAGGAGAUCUUCUCCAAAAUCGGAGCAAGACGGCGGCGGCAAGGUUGGCUUUUCUAGGACAAACUCGUUUCUAGAGAGAGAGGCGUCUUAUUUUUUUAUGUAUCCAAAUUUCAAGUUCGUUUGCAAUAAAGAAGUAGGUUGACUAAAAUUGAAACUCAACCACACUAAACUUAGCAUUAAAUUGAUUACGAUACUAUCUAAACCCCAAUCGAAAAGAUUAACCAAAACCAAAAUUUAACUUUCCUACUUAAUAUAUAUGCAAAAUUAAAUAAGAGAAAGAGAGGAAGGGAGAAAUUAUACAAUAGGGAAAGGAGCAUCUUCUUGCUUGGACAUAACCCAUGGGACACCUGUGGACAACCGGCCAAUGCCAUUGCAGCUGUCCACUUUUUGUACGCCUUUCCUGCUGAUCCUAGCUCCCAUUCCAUUGGUCCAUACUCAUUCUCUAUCUGCCCAUUUUGUUUAGCAUUGACAUUUCUAUUAUAGUGUGUGUGUAUAUAUAUAUAUAUAUAAGCAUCGUACUAUAUGAUAAGGUAAAUUCAGUUUGAACAACAAAGAAAACACAAUUGAACCUGUGAGAGAAUAAUGGGUCCUCCUUGAGUCUCAAACAACUUUUCUUCUUUCAUCAUAUCCACAGUCUUCUUAGUAAAUUUUUGCAUUGCGAACUUUUCAGUGAUCACAUCAAAUUACGGUUUUUAAUUGUCAAAUGAAAGAACCAGAAACUGAAAUUUACUAGGUGUCGAAUGUUAUACCUUAAAAGGUCCAUUAUCGAUUCUGAAAACUAUACCCGGGACAUAUUUGAGCCAAACAGGAAACCCCCUAACAAUUCAGAAAACAUAUAUAAGUAAAUGUAUAUAUAUUCAUAAGAAACAAAAAAUCUUUUUACUAAUAGAAUAAACACAAAAAUUGAUUAUAUUUACCCGAAAUUCCACUCUGCACAAACAUAUGGACCAGUUCUUAAACUAACAUAGAGACCAGCUUGUGCACCAGCUUGAUAAAUUUAACCAGAUCAUACCUAUCCCCAAAAUAAAAAUGGGGAAACAAAAUUAUAGAGCAUUAAGAAUUUAUAUGACUUAUAUAUGAGUCAAUUGUAAGAAAAUUGCAGUAGAAUUCUUUAAAUUACUUCUCCAGGGGUAGGUUCAUGUCCAUUCCAGAAAACAUAAGUUUGUAUGACAUCUAAACCACCUUCUUUGGCCUUCUUUAUAAGAUCAGGCCACAUCUGCAUAUAACAAAGCAUCCACAAUUCUAUAUAAACAAAUAUAAUUAAUUUGCAAUGAAAUAGCCUAGGCUAUGAGAAAAAGAGCUCAGAAAAACAACAAAACAAUAUAUGUAGAAAAAUCAAAGCAAUCAUUCAGUAAAUUUAAUCAGAACCCAAUAAAUUUUUCAUUGAUUAGAGAGAGGUUAAUGUGCUUAAUUAAUUGAAUCCAAAAGAUUACCUCAGGAGUGCUUCUUGGGUAGUGAAUAGAACCAGAGAGAAGGAUCCUUCUCUGCCCAUUGAUGAUUAAAGCUUUAUGAUCAUAAGAUACCAAUGCUUUGGUUGAGCAAAUCAACAGUGAAAAACACAAAAUUGCCAGAAAAAUCCAAGAUUUAUCCCUAAAACUGAUACUCAUUUUCCCACUUUCGUUGAAAAACCAAACCUCACUAUAUUUUCAGUUUAUUUUAGAAGCUGGUAAAGAAGAUUCAGUGAAAUAAUUAGCUACUGGAGUUGGAAUGAAUGAUGGUCCUAAAAGUUUAUAUAUGUAGAGUUUGACACUUAUCCUACUGUACGUAUAGAUUAAUGAAUGCAUACGAAAAUGAGAAAAAUUGUGGGAGCCAAUCUCUCUGCUUAUUGAGCGGAUAACGACUUUAAGACCUUGUGCCCUACCAGUUGAGAAUUUUUCAUUUUUUUGGCAUUACUUUCGAUAUAUUUUGUCAAAUUAUAUACAGUAGUAUUAAACUUUCUAUGAAUUUUUUUUGUUUUCAAAUUUUUUUUUUCCACUUCUUCAAUCUUUUUUUUUUGUGACACUACUUCUUCAAUCACAUACCAUUUUUCUAUAUAACUUUUCUUUUUGGUCACGGGAAAUUUUAUGUAACGUAAAAGUGGUCAACUCCACUAUUAAUGUCAUUAUGGACUCCAAUAUGUCAAUAUCAUAUACAAUGGAGAUGCGAUUUACGAAUAUGGUUUGACCACAUCAGAUUGUUACUAGUCGCUUAUUCGAGAUUGAAGAAAAAUACGAGACCUUAGAAAGAAAAUGCAAUACCUAUUGAUACGACGAAAAGUACAAAAUAAAAAGAUAUGACGAAACGCACGUUUUAAUUAAGGGAGAGUUUGGUGUAUAACCAUAUUAGCCAAAAAAUAUGCUCCUAUAACCAUGUAAUAAAUUUAUUAGUUUGUUAGGUUUUUUGGUCCAAAAUUGGACUAGUUUCUCCCUCUUGCGCGUGGGCAUAGGUAAGAGAGAGUGAAUUUUUUUUUCUUUUUCUUUUCUAUUAUAAAUAUAUAGCUUCACCCCAUUGAUUUUAUUUAGGUUAUUAAUUUUAUAUUAAUAAGUAGUUAAAUAUUUCAAUACUAAAAACAAAACACAGAUUUUUUUCUGAAUUCGCCAAAGUUUGAAUUUUUAAAAACAAACAAUUUCUUAAUUAGAUGAAUAGUAUCAUUAUUUAAAAAUAGUAUAGCAUAAAUAAAUCUAUAUAAAUAAUACUAAUAUACUAUACUAUUCAAGAAACUCAACACAUUCACAUAUAAUAUAUAUAGUAAUACUCUUACUAUACUAUAUUUGUUAGUAUAAAUAUNNNNNNNNNNNNNNNNNNNNNNNNNNNNNNNNNNNNNNNNNNNNNNNNNNNNNNNNNNNNNNNNNNNNNNNNNNNNNNNNNNNNNNNNNNNNNNNNNNNNAACUUGAUACAUAUUGCAAGUUGUGUGGUCCUUGACUCUAUGUAGGAAGGUCCUUGACUACAAAGUUAUUGCACAACAAGCUUGUUGAUGUUGCCCAACUAAUGAUCCAAUGCAUUGCAACAUAUACAUACUGGUUAAACUGGAUUGAAGCUUCCUAGCUACCUAGUUAUCAUUUGUUCAUCUGUCACUUUUAGAUGAACCUAAUAUUUGGCGAUAACAAAAGAACUGCAUGCUUAAUAGAUUGUUUGUUUUUCCUUAUAAAAGCCAGAUAGGAGUGUUGUAAUGGAUUAGUCAAGCAUGAAUAUGAUAAAAUAAGUUUUAACUGGGUAUGAUGAAAUAAGUUUGGAGUUAGCUAGGCAUGCCGACUCGGUUCCAGCAGAACCCUGUCCCACCAUGUUUGCAGUCUCCACUUGAUUUCACAAUUUCAGUCACAGGACCUAAUCCCAGACCUAACAUCUCGUGUUCUCCUUUUUACUCCGUUUCUUCGUUUCUCAUCUUACUCCGUUUUUCAUUUCUCUCGUGUCGGAAAUUCUAAGUCUUGCUAACCAUUUCAGUCUCUGCAAUUGAGCUUCGUAUUUCAAACACCACAACCAUCGUUCGCGAAGAAAAACGGAUUCAAUCUCAGUCUUCGUUUUAAUUUAUCUUGUAUCCGCAAAUCUGCAAUUCAGCUUCCCAUUUCAGUCGAUUUAAACUCAUUGACAUUGUUCGCAAAGAAAUCUGACGCAGCAAAGGUAAUAUCGAAUUUUCACUUUCGAAAUUGUAGUCAUUUUCUGGGUUCUUACAUGUUAAAGUGAAUUGGUUCAAUUCUGUUAAAUUGCAAGAUUUAUUCGCUUCAGAUUUAGUUUUCCUGUGAAAGGUACUAUGCCGUUAAGAGUUAAGUGUUUCUUUUGACUUAAUUGUUUCUUUGAUGUAGUCGAUUUAUAUUUUUGCUUUCUUUUGUAGAUCUGUUUAACUAAAAGAGAAGACAAUCUAUAAGGUAGCUUACUCAGACUCGAUUCUUAUCAUACACCUCGUUCUCUAUUGUUGAUGUGCCUUAACUUUAGUCCACUUGAUAUCAACUUGUAUGCACAUUUGGUCGGAGCUACUGCAACAUGGAUAAAGCUUGGAUCUGGUUACCAAGGUAUUAAUUUGAAUGUUAUUACACUGCUUCAAUUAUUUCAUUCAUGAUGUAUUAUGGAAAAAGAUUGGAUCCUCAGAUUUAUUUUACACUUAAUAUUAUUUACAGGAAUUGUGUUGAGUGUGAGGAAGGAGCAACCAAGUUUGUGGUUGAUUCAGCACGAAGUUUGGGCAAUGUAUCAGAUAUGUUUUUCCUUGCAUUGAUUGCCGCAAUGUGGUUCAUCAGCCAAAUGAGACAGUGUUAGAGCAUCUGGUGAUAAGAGGGAUGGAUCUGAAGUACAAGAGAAGCAAAUUUUGGAGUAAUUAAACACGGGGAUGUAAGGACUGACAAGCCAACUGAUGUUCAAACUUCUGAAUAUGAGGCUUAUGAAUUGAUUAUGACAGCUUUUAUGGCGAGUGAAGGCAAUCGAUCAUCUCAGGAUCAGAUUUUAGAAGAGGCUGAGGAUAUUGACAUUGAAGAAGAAGCUGAGUUUAGGAAGAAGUUAGAGGAUGCAAAAACUCCAUUGUACCCGAGUUGUCUGAAAUACACAAAGGUAUCCGCAAUAAUGGGACUGUAUCGGAUGAAGGUCAAGAGUGGUAUGUCAGAGAAUUUUUUUGAUCAGCUUUUGACACUUGUUCAUGACAUUUUACCUGGAUUCAACGUCCUGCCUAAGUCUACAGAUGAGAUGAAGAGAUUCUUUAAGCUUUUUGGAUUUGGUUAUGAUGCUAUUCACGCCUGUAGAAAUGAUUGCAUCCUUUUUCGGAAUGAUAUGAGGAUUUGGUGAGCUGCCCAAGAUGUAGUGAAUGUAGAUGGGAAAAGGAUAAGCACACCGGUGAUGAGAAGGUAGGGAUUCCAGCAAAGGUGCUAAUGUAUUUUCCUAUAAAAGAUAGAUUUAGGAGGAUGUUUAUAUCAAAACGGUUGGCUGAGAAUUUGCGUUGGCACUACACAAAUGCUAGUGCAUAUGGUAAAAUACGGCAUCUAGUUGACUCCUUGACAUGGGUUCAGGUCAACGAGAAAUGGCCAGAGUUUGCUGCUGAUCUGAGAAAUCUUAGACUAGGUCUGUCCACUGAAGGGACGAGUCCGUUUUCUAUCCAAACCACCAAGUACACCACAAGGCCAGUGCUGUUAGUGAAUUACAAUAUGGCUCCAACUGAGUGUAUGAAAGCAGAGAACAUCAUGCUGACAAUGUUAAUUCCAGGACCAACCGCACCAAGCAACAACAUUGAUGUAUAUCUACAGCCGUUGAUAGAUGAUCUAAGGGACUUGUGGAAUGAAGGUAUUGAAGUGUUUGACUCGUUUAAGAAGGAGAGCUUCACUCUAAGAGCUAUGCUUCUAUGGACCGUCACUGACUAUCCGGCUUUAGGAUCAUUAGGUGGAUGUAAAGUGAAGGGUAAGCAAGCUUGUAAUGUCUAUGGGAAGGAUACACCUCAUAGGUGGUUAAAGUAUAGUCGCAAGCAUGUCUAUAUGGGCAAUAGGAAGCGCUUGAGACCUGGUCAUCCUUACAGGCGUAAGAAAGGGUGUUUGACAACACAGUUGAGGUUGGUACUGCAAAAAGAAUUCAGACUGGAGCAGAAAUCUAUGAGAGCCUUAAAGACUUUAGGAAUGAAUUUGGUAAACCUUUAGUCAAGAAUGGGAAGAGAAAAAAGAUUGAAAUAGAAGAAGAUGAUGUCUCUUCAGCCGAUGAGUAUGAAGAAGACGAUAACCAAUGGCGAUGGAAAAAAGAUCAAUCUUUUUUUAAUUACCGUACUGGAAGGUUAGUCUUUUUAACUGUAAAAAGUUAUUAUGUGUUUUACUUUAAACUAAUACAAUCUCUUUCUCAUAUCUACUUGUGUUUUACGUUACAGGACAUGCCUGUUAGGCAUAAUAUAGAUGUAAUGCACGUUAAAAGAAUGUGUCUGAUGCUCUAUUAUCAAUCUUGAUGCAUAAUGCGAAAUCAAAAAAUGGCUUGAAAGCAAGAAGAGACUUAGAAGACAUUGGGAUUCGAAGAAACUUACAUUCACAUAUACGUGGGAAGAGAACUUUCUUACCUCCGGCGACAUAUUGGCUUUCAAAAGAAGAAAAACGUAUAUUCUGCAGAAGGUUAUUUAAAUUCAGAGGCCCUGAUGGAUAUUGUGCCAACAUCUCAAAUUGCGUGUCAGUAGAUCCUCCCACCAUUGGUAGUAUGAAGUCACAUGACCAUCAUGUUCUAGUACAGAAUCUGUUACCUGUGGCAUUGAGAGGUUUGCUGCCUAAAGGACCUCGGAUUGCAUUGAACCGUAUCUACAAUUACUUCAAUAGGUUGUGCCAACGUGUAGUUGAUCCGGAGAAGCUAUUAAACUUAGAAUCAGAAAUUGUAGAAACGAUGUGCCAGUUAGAGCGAUACUUUCCACCUUCACUGUGUGAUAUUAUGUUUCAUCUGCCAAUACAUCUAGCAAGAGAAACACGCUUGGGUGGUCCGGUACACUUCAUAUGGAUGUACCCUUUCGAGAGGUAAUGUUUCCUUUUUGUUUAUAGUUACAUUAUAAACUGAUAGUAUAUGUUGCUAUUACUCAUAAUAAGUGUUUGUGUUCACAUGUAGGUAUAUGAAUACACUAAAAGCAUAUGUGAAGAACUUUGUAAGGCCAGAGGCUUGUAUGGCUGAGGGCUACUUGGCUGGUGAAUGCAUUGCAUUCUGUUUGGAGUUCCUUCAGAAUUCUGUUCCAGUUGAAGAAACAGUUAAUCGCAAUGAAGAUGUAGAGGCAGAGCAACAUACUCGAAGGUCGACCAUUACAGAAAGCAACAGAAAAGAUCCUUACAGAUAAAGAGCGAGACAUAGCUCACAAGUAUAUUCUCAUGAAUACAGCAGUCAUGGAUCCAUAUGUUGAAUAAGUUAGACGCUAUAUAGUUUAUAUUAUAAACUUACUUUUACUGCGUACGAGACUAACUUUAUUGAAAUUAGGAUGUAUUUGGAAGAACUGCAAGCUACAGAUGCAAGAUGCGCAAGAAAUGAAACUCUACUAUGGAAAUAUCAUACAGAAAGGUUCCCACAGUGGAUAAAAAAAAGGUUUGAAGAAUUUCAUAUCGGAAUUGCUUUUUUCUCAAUUUUAUAUUUAUAUUAAGUUUCAUGAUAAUAAAUUUUUCCCCUGUUUCAUGGUAGAUACCAACAAACUCAAAGGACCAUUCUAGUACGCUCAGAUGGCUUGCUUUUGGACCAAGAAACAUUGCUCAAACCUACAAGGGAUAUAUAGUGAACGGCCAUAGGUUCCAGAUAGACGAUGUGAAGAGGAAGACUCAGAAUAGUGGAGUCACUUACGAAGCUGUUUCUAUGUGUCGAGCUAGUGCUAAAGAUACUAGACAAUUGGCAGGCAUAGUAUCAUUCUAUGGAGUAAUAAAGGAGAUCCUGUUAGUGGACUACCACAUGUUCCAGGUUCCACUAUUUCAUUGUAGUUGGGCUAACAAAGGGAAUGGGGUGAAAGAGGAAGAUGGUUUCACACUAGUCAAUCUUCAUAUGAACCAGUCAUCAUAUGUAAAUGAUCCUUUCAUUCUGGCAUCGCAAGCUAAACAAGUGUUUUACUCUAGAGAUGAUGAGUGCUCACUUUGGUAUGUUGUCAUGAGGGCGCCACCUAGAGGAUACCAUGAACUCGAGACAGAAGAGGCGUCUGUUUAUACAACAAUACCAGUCCAGACAAUUGAUGAUUUUGUAGAUCAAUUGUCUGAUGACGAGAGUUUUUGUGUGAGGAAUGAUUGUGAAGGUGUUAUAGUAGACAAUUAACACUAAAUCAGUUUUAUUUUGCUGCAGGUAAUCAAAAACGAUGAAAACUGUAGGUGUUACCGACAUCUGUCGCAGUAAGCGUCAAGCAGGCCUUGAUGUGAGCCCUGUAGUGUCACUGAAUCAGAAGAAAAAAAAAAGGAUGUUCCACCCGAGAAUGUAGAGGAAGAUAGAAAAAGAUCAAGUGGAUGACGAAUCAGUAGAAGAACAAUCCCCUGGUCUACAAGACGAACCCAUUCCCCCUACUACUAGAAGCGUGGUCCAAUGCGUCUGAAUCACCGACGCAACAAUCAGAUAACAAAAAGAGGAAGUCAAGAGGUCCAACGAGAAUGCGAAAAGUGGGGAAGAGUGUGGACGAUAAGGUUCAAGUAGAAUUCAAUUCACUAGGUGAGCAUGUUGGUUCGGGAUCAGUGACACUCGCAUCCUUCCUUGGUCCUCUUGUGAGAGAGCAUGUUCCAGUACUGCUAGAUAACUGGAGACAUCUUGAUGACAAUAUAAAAGACAUAAUGUGGGAAGAAAUUCAGAUAAUGUUGGCCUUUUGUUGUACUAAACGUUUAAUUAUCAAAGUAAUUUUUUCUUGUAGUUUUAACUUGGCAAUGUUUGACAGAGGAGGUUCAAUUUGAAAGAAGAUUGGUAAAAGGACGUUGUCUUCAGGCAGAUGGGUGAUUUGUGGAGGGCUUCUAAGUCUCGGCUUGCUUCCAAAGUUUGAUCCACUAAAAGUAAGGUUGCACUACAGCAACUAAAGCCUAGCAACAUCCAAUGUGCAUCAGCUUGGAACAGUUGGGUGAAAAAUAGGAAUAGCACAGCUGCUGAGGUUAGUUUUAGUGUCGAUUGAUUAUUGAUAAGAUACAUUUAUGACAGUAGUUAUACAUGUAAUCUAACCGUUUGUGUCAAUAGGAACAAAGUGAAAAAUUCAAGCAAUUGAGGAAGGGUCAAAUUCCUCAUACUACCAGCCGUAAAGGAAUGACUCGUUUAGCUCAUGAUAUGGUAUGUAUGUCUGUGCGUGUCUUAAAUUAGUUAGUUGUAUUGGUAGUGGAUUUAUUUGACAAGGAUUUACAUGCACUUGUAGAAAAAAAUUAGUUCUGACCCUAGGAAAGUUACUAGAAGCAAGGUGUGGCUAGCAGGACAUACUCAUUCUGAUGGGAGACCUGUGAGGGAAGAAUUUUCGGAAACUAUUGUAAGUUAAACUUAAAUUCUUAUUACGGUUUGUGUUUAAGUCAGUACUUGCGACACAUUAUGUAUUAACUUUUAUUUUAGGAAAGGAUUAAGAUAAUUGAUAGUGAAAUGGACUCAUCAUCCACGGAUAAUGUUAAGGAAGAUGCUGUGAGUCAGGUACUAGGAAAAGAUAGACCAGGAAGAAUUAGGGGGAUGGGUAGAGGCGCUACUGUUACCAAGUUGGCCUACUUGCAGGCUAGAGACUCACAUGUUCAGAAGCUUGAAGCUACUCAAGCAGAAUUAGUUAGCAAGGUUGAGUAUUUGCAGAAUGUGGUUAGUGAAAUAACAAGUAAAAAGGUACAUUUUUUUAUAUAAAAAAACUUGUUAAUUGACAAUCUAAACUUUUAUGUUUAACGAUGCCAACUUAUAUUUUAUGGUUUUAUUGUCCUCUUUAUCAACAGACUGAUAAUGUCUCCAAGUCUGAUAUAAGAGAUGUUAGCAAAGGAGGCAUUAGGUGCCAGCUACUGGAUUGGUAUUCAGAUGAGGAGGUGGUUGUUGCUGAAGGAGAAUUUUGCUCCAAUGAACCAACAUAUAAGAUUAGUCAAAUUCCAUUAGGCCCAAAUGCAGCUGUUGUAAUGGUGACUUCCACAUCAGUCGUAGAUGCAUCUGUCUGGCGACCUACUCCAACCAUUGUUACGCUUAAACAGGCGGUAGGAGUUAAAAUAGCAUGGCCCUGUGAUAAGAUAAUAUUGGACGAGGAUGAUGACUUAACCCAACCUCCAGAUACUGUCGGAUCAGAGGUAAAUUACUCCUGCGUUUGUGUUCAUCUAAAUUCAUACAGAUCACUUUAACUAAUACAAAUAUUUAUGCAAAAUAAAUCAUUAGCAAACGGAUGGAUCAGUGGGAAGAGUUCAAAUAUAUAAGUAUUGGACUGGAGGUGAUGAAUUAAUUGCUCAGGGUAGGUUGUUGUCAACUGACCCUUAAGAAUUGGUGAACGAAACUCCGCUAGGACCAAAUGCUGCAGUUGUUAAGGUCGAUAUGGUGGUUAAACCUGGAGCUUAUUUAUGGAGACCAAGCCAUGCAAUCUCAUUGAUGGGUGAUGCACUAAAUCAGACUAUCGCAUGGCCUAUUGGUAGGUUACACCUACCAGAUCCAUCUACAACGGAUGAAUCAAACAAAAAAUCACCAGAGGUCAGUUUUUCCAACUAUUUGUUGAUUUGGUUGUGUUGAUAGUAAUUAUGUUACUUAGCGAAUAGAAAUUAUGGUACUUAGCGAAUGGAAUGAGUUUGAGAAUAUCUAUUUGUUGACUUGGUUGUGUUGAUGUUGCCGUGAUGUUAGACUGAAAGCUUUUGUAAUUUUGGUUUUAGAGUGGUAGUCCCAGCACUGGUAAUAGCGGAAAAGGUGUUAAACAGAAGUGCGUUCUGUUAGAUAUUGACAAUUCUGGGGCAAGAGUUGCAUUAGGUCGUGGGUUUUCAACAGAUCCAACCGAGAUGGUCCAUUUUGUCCCUUUAGGUCCCAAUGCUACGAAGGUCUGGGUAGAGAUUUCGAAAUUUAUUGAAGCACCAGUGUUGAGAGCAAAUUCUGAAGUCCAAUGCAUCGCUGAUGCAGUAGGAACUACAUUGGCAUGUCCUAAUGACAAGAUAAUAUUCAUGUGAGAGAGACAAGUGUGAAACAUUUGGGUUUAUGUACUUUAGACUUCUUAUUGUAGUGACUCUAAUAAUAUGUCGAAUUAAAGCUUGUGUUGACUUUGUUGUGACAGUUAUAUUAUGUUUAGUAUUAAUAAAGUAUUUUGAUAUUAUCAAUAUAACAGGAUAUAACAGAAUUGAAUAUAUAUCGAAUUAUAUUCAAUUACAAAUAUAAUGCAUAUUAAUCAUUACGUUUUUCUAAAUGCUAUAGUAUUAAUUAACAUAACAAUUACGAAACGCUGUUAAUAAUAUCAAUGAUAACAAAACACAUACACUAUUAUAAAAUAUUUAAUUGCAUUCAGAAAAAUGCUAUUGUAUAUGAAACUACGAUAGCGUAUCAAAAAACGCUAUCUAAAGUGUCUGACCUAUUAUGACGGGCGCAAAUAAAAUGUUUAUUAAAACGCUAUGAUAUCGUUAGAUAGCGUUAUUCAGGUGCUAUUAAAGGCCUUUUUCUUGUAUGAGAGGUAAAAUGUCUUUGUCUGGUAGGAUGAGUCUCUUGUUACCUCCUAAUGAGCAUGUUAUGCUCUAUCGUAAACCUCUUUUACCUCUCUGUGAGGCCUCAUAUCUAGUAGUUACUGAUUCGUCGAGAUUGUUUCCUGCUUCCUCUUGGUUAGGAAUAAAUAAUCUUCAGUUUAGCACUAUCCUUGAGUAUCGAAUUCUUUUAGACUAUUCCACCUAUGCGUUCUGCUUUAUGGAGCCAGUAUUUCUCUCUAAACUUUCACUUGUUCUGUGUGGUUCUGUGAUUGGGAGCUUUAUGGUGAAGAUGUUUCUGCUUGUCGUGGAAUCUCAAAGCCAGCCCUUCUCUUAUUCAGCUAUCUUUGAAGCUGAUUUGUUGGUCUUUGCGACCGUUGAGAAAUGUAUAUUUCAUGGUGAAUUUGUCUGGAGCUGUCAAUUGGUUAAGGAAGCUUUCCUUUUCGAAGGUGGUCUUUCGAAGUUUUGUUGGUAAUGUUUCUAUUUUCGUCGUUAUCUCUUCUCUUCAGCUUUGUUAUUUUUACUUUCCCUAAUGGCUUGAUCAACCUGUUGAUUAAGGCUUGUGUUGUUUGGGCUUCUAAUAGCCAUGUUGUAAUCUCCAUUAUCCUGCUUCAGUUUUUCCGAAACUAUUUGGAAGUUUAAUUUCUCUUUUUUAGUUUGUAAUAAUUUUUGAAAAUUUACUCAUAAUGUUUAUCUCGAAAAUGACUAAUACAGAGUAUUAAUUUUCUUUAGAUUUGAUAUUUGUUUCUUGCAUUAGCACGAAGUCUCGCUGUCCGAUAGCGAGUCAGUGAGUCCAGAGACAAUGCGCCUCCCCACCUGAUGGUAUAGAAAGUUUUUAUAUGAAAUUUCAAAUUUAGCUUAAGUUAUAUUUUUCUGCUUUUAUUUGCGAGUUCAUUUAAAUUAAGGUUACUAAAAAAAAUUCUAUAAAUUAUCUUGUUUUCUUGAAUCUCCGUUGUGUCAUGAAAUUUCGAUCUUUAUCAAUAAGUAGGUUUUUGAUCUGUUGAUAUAGGAUAGCCAACAUAAACAUAAAUUUGGUUUUUGGUUUUACAUUUAGAAAUCACAUAAAAGUAGGUCAUUGGUUCCGCGUUUGUUUUUCUCACAUCUAUUAAAAUUUAAUGAAACUUGUAUCGGUAUUCAGGUAACUAAAAUAUAAAAUUCAGCUUUGUUUCUUUGUUAUAUGGAAACAAAUCGGACAGCUAAUAUUGCUUAUUGCUAAUUAAUGUGAUCGACAAGAUUUUUUUUUUCUUUUUGAUAGAUCAAAUGUGAUGCAAAACAAUUACCUUCUAAGCUUCGCCAAAAAAAAAAAAAAAAAAAAUGUGAUGCAAAAAAAGGUGACUUCAUAAGUCGUCUGUUUCUAGCGGAAUUAAUCCAUCCACGUCAGUAUUUAUCUAUAUCGUUUUACCUCAAGGAAAUUUAAGAACAAAUCAGACAUAUCUUUUUCAUUUCUUAAUCAUGACAGACAUGAUUUCACUAUUAAAAGAAAACCGUCACGUCCUUUUUUUUUUUUUGGGAAAUGGAUGGAUAACGAUUCACUAUAGUGUCAAAUAAUUAGUCAAUCUUGUGAAUUGGAGUACACACAUACUCUACUUCUAUUUCUCACUACAUACUUGCGUAGAGACAUGGGUGCACAGGGCAGUGUGCACACAUAUAUAUUCGAUACAUGCGUUGUAUACAUAACAUAUGUUAUACUAAUCAAAGCACUGCGGUAUUCAUUUUGCGAAAAAUUUUGGACCUUAAAAGAGUUUUAUCAAAGAAAUUAAAGUGUUUUGUGCUUCUCAACACAUGCGACUCUUCUAUAGAACCGACCUUACUUAGCGUUGCUGGCUUGCUGCUUAGGUUGCUAUUUUUUUUUUUUUUUACUUCAGCUUUAAAUAUUUUAUUUUUCAUUUUUAAAAAUUUGUUUGAAAUCUAUAUAUAUAAAGUUAGCUUUUCUUUAUUCUGGUGCUGCCACCUCAUCAAUAUUUCUUUCAUUUUUAUUCAAAUCAGUCUCUAUUUAUGGUUCUAUUUAUAUUUGUCCACUAAAAACCAAAAUCUCAUUUUAACACCCAUCACAUUUUAAAUCAAUCUUCUUAAUCUCAUUAUCCAAACUUAUAUAUAUACUUAAAUCCAAACAAUUAACAAUAUAUUUCAUAAAGAUUUUAUUGUACUAACGAAGUGAAUUUAUAUAAAAAACAUUUGCAAACGAUAAAAACAAAAAAAAUACAGAAAAAGCAAAAAAUAUAAAAAGUACACAUAUAUAAAAUAUCAAAAACGAUAUCAAAUAAGCACAUCAAACGUAGGAAAGAAAAACAGGAAAUCAUGAUAGGAUUAAAUGAGAAUGAGAUAAAAACAAAAAUUCCCAAAUUUUCCAAGCAUAAACAGAUAAAUCGGAAUGGAAUGAGAUGGAAGGAAGAAUUUUCAUUUUAUAGAUAUGUCUGAAAUAGAUAAUAAGAACAAUACAUGAAAAAUUCGGAAAAUUAAAAAUAUCAAUUUAAAAAAUGGUCUUAUGUGAAAAUGCCGAAAACACAUUAAACAAAAAAAAAUAAAACAUUUUCAAACGAUAAAAAACAAAAAAAGACAGAAAAAGCAAAAAAUAUAAAAAAAUACACAUACAUAAAAUAUCAAAAACGAUAUCAAAUAAGAAAAUCAAAAAGUAGGAAAGACAAACGAGAAAUCAUGAGAUAGGAUUAAAUGGGAAUGAGAUAAGAACAAAAAUUCCCAAAUUUUUCAAGCAUAAACAGAUAAAUCGGGAUGAAAUGAGAUGGGAAGAAGAAUUUUCAUUUAAUAGAUAUGUCUGAAAAAGAUAAUAAGAACAAUACAUGAAAAAUUCGAAAAAUUAAAAAUAUCAAUUUAAAAAAUGGUCUUAUGUGAAAAUGCGGAAAACACAUUAAACAAAAAAAAAACAAAUAUAUAUAUAUAUAUAUAUAUAAUACGAUAAAAUAAUCAAGAAUUAUGUCAAACCCUAUAAAAACUAAAACAUAACUAUAAUAUUAACACACAAAAUAACAACAACAUAUAAAAAGAUAAAUUAACAGGAAAAUGAAAUAAUAACUCGCACAAAAAAUGAAAUAAUAGUCCGCACUGUAUUUAAUAUAGAAUCGUUAAACAAAAAAAUACAGUAAUCCACCCGAAAGAUGAGCACCCCCUAGUUAUUAUUAUAUAUUUAAGUUUCUAACGGAAGUUAUGUCACUUAAUCAGAUGCCUAAAUGGCGAGUUAUACGGACCAGUUAAGUUGACAUUUCAUUGACUUGAAUAUUUUGAUGAUUCAACAUUUAAACAACCGACUUUUAAAGCUUGAUGAUACGUAUAACAAAUUAACAAUGCUUCGAUUUAAUUAGGCUUAGAAUUUCACAUAAACAGUAUUGGUCUUGUAACAUAUCUUUUUCGGAUUGAUAUCUAAUAGUCUGGGUUACAGAAUUUGAUGGGCCUAAAGACUCUCAGAUAGCUCAACCCAGACGAACCAUUGCAUAACUGGACACCAAUACCUACAUAUGUCUAGAAAAAUAUGGCAUUUUACAGCGUAGUAGUACGUAGUUUAAAAUUUACUAAAGCGUUUAACAAUUAGUAGUUUUCGUACGAAGGACAAAAUGAACUUUUUUGGAUAAAAAUGAAAAAUAGUGGAUUUUGAUUAUCACGCUAUUUUAUGCUCCGCUUUGAAGUUCUAAAAUCAAUAGUAUGUGUCAAAAGUUUUAAAAAUGGAUGUGGAGUGAAACAAUGGUGUAUAUGCUAUUUUGAUUUCAGUACCUGAAAAAGAAUAGAACAAGUCCAACUCCGUACACGGCUUAUCUCAAAUACGUAACACAUGAAUCAUUUAAUAGUAUUUUUGAUUUGGAUUUACGAAUGAUCCAUAAAGCAUAUCCGUUUAUACCAUAUUAACUAAGCAACGUGGCCACAUGACAUGAUUCAUAUUCUACAUCUUCUUACGUUCCAUAGGAUUACUUGUUUUACUCUUUCUCCACUUCCUCACUUGUCAAUUGUCUGACACGUGGUCGUCACUUUGUGAAUAAAUAUUCUCGUCUGAGUCGUCUCGUUAAUUACGACUCACAUCAAAAUAUUUAGAUGUUUUUUUUUUCUUUGCAUUCCAGAAUUAGAGUAAUAACGUGAAAAUAAUCAACAUAUGAAGCACUUUAAUUUAUAUUAUUUCUUGAUCACCGUUACUACCAUCGAUGUGAUUAUUAGCAUAACCGAGACAGUACAAGUACUCCUACAUAACAAAGUAAUUAACUAAGUCACAUAACCAACAAAGGUUAACUAAAUGAUCAUAUGGAGUUAUGAACUGACGAAAUUCGGAAUUCAGAUUUUUGGUAGGUAAAACCAGUUUUCGAGACAGAUAAAAAUAUCCUAGUAAGAUUAAUAAGAAAAAUAACAAUAACCUUUUAAAAAAAAAUAAUAAUAACAAUAACGUUUUUCUCGAUCACAUGAAUUGUAAAAUAGAAGAUCGAAGAAAAACAAAUUUAGAGUACGUAAUAUAACACCACAUCCCAAAAAAAGUUAAAAGUAAUACUCAGACAAUUUCUAUUACCGUAAAAUAUUUAAAAAAAAUUCUUGAUUUUUCUUAUAAAGCUAAAUAAUUUUAGAUAUAGUCGUCGUGGAUGAAAAUUUGAUGUGCCGUGUUCAGACACGGAUAUCCACCACUCUAAGGUUUCAAGUCGGCCAAAUUUAAAAACAAAACAAAAUACAUUAUAGUAAAGUCUAGUAGUACAACGAUUUAUGUUGAAUGGGUACCAUAUCACUCGCAUUAUAUGUGUGGCCUUGAGGCUUCUUGCUCUAUCACUCACCAGUCGACGUUGGAACGUAAAAAUGGUCCCCUUUCUUCUUUUUCUCUCUUGUAUAUAUUAUUAUUCUAUUAUUUCUUAUAUAUCCUAAUCUUUUUCUUGUAAAGUAUAAAAAAAGUCCAUCAUCUAAACGCCCUUGCAAGAUAUUGCUAGAUAGCUUUGUUUCAUUAUAUAUAUCUGUUCUUAAAGGUAAUCAUCACUUUAAACUUGAUCACAUCUUAAUUGAUACCUUUUCUAUUCAAUGGUAUAGAGUUAAACGGAAAACAUUGUUCACAAUAACAUGGUUUAGUUAAUUACGGCCUUCGCGGUAUUGUUACAGAAAAAAUUGCCACUAUUGAUACGUUUUUCAUAAAGAUGUAUACGAGUAUAGGGACGACGCUAUAUUUAAAUGGAGUAUUUAAUUCUUCAUGUUAAACAUCUCAUGCUUUAUUAUUUCUUGGGUCUAGUUCUUUAAGGUUACGAAAACCUCAUAACUAAACAAUUCGAGCAUUGACUUUCUAACUAUUUUUAGUUAAAUGAUCGAAAGAUAAAGGAAGCUGCAAGCAAAGCUAACAAAACGUAUGUAUGAUUUUUUAAAAUAUAUUUUUUUUUUAUAAAAGGAAAUGAAGUACCUUGACGCGAUGGCUAAAGAGAUGUUGUAUAAAGUAUAAACACACCUGAAUUCAUCCACCGAUCUCUUCGAUAACAAUCCAUUCUUAUUCACCAAACUUCAACUGUUUAGACAGUAAGAUGAAAGUUUUUGGUCUCUUUCUUAGUUUUACUCUUUUGCUCCUUUGUCCGUUCUUGUCUCAAGCCGAUGUGCCGGAACUCAGCCGCGAGCCGCCUCGUCCCAUUGUCUUUGUCCCACAUGACCGUUCCAAAACCGAUCCACAACAGGUUCUUUAAUUUGACUCUCUUUCUCAACAGCUUCAUAUCAUGUUUAAUUAGUUCAAAACAUUUUCUGUUUUUCAAUUCCAAACAUUUUCAUCCUCAAUUCCCAAGGUCAAUAUAUUUGUAUUCAGGUAGAUUGAUUCCCUUCCUAACAUAUGUGCCUAUGUUAUGUUCUUCAAUCUAUCACAUAUACAUUUUAGUGACUAUCAAGAUACAAACCCCAUUAUCUUGUUGAUUUUGUCAUUGCAUAUUUAAUUUUACUAAUCUAUAUUAUCUAUUCACUUUUUUGGAUCUCAACUUUGUGCCAAACAAGAUGGUACUUAUUUUCAGUUUUAUGUCCUGUUGUCGUGUUAAUUAAUUAGUGAAUAUUUUAAUUAACUUCUCGCAUAUUCUUUCCUUUUUUUGCAACAUUCCACAUGUUCGUCCUCGAUAUUCUACUAAUGUUUACGACAUAGAACUGUUUGACGACAUAUUUACUGGUUGAACUAUCGUUGUUCAAUGUCUCCAAUUCCAAAAUAUAACUGACAGAAACAGAUAAAAUGAGUUUAGGAAAUCUACCAACUAUGGCGAACUCGACCGGAAAAGUUGACGGAGGAGUCUUGAAAGAAAAUUCUGGACCGUUGCAGCCGCACAUGUAAUAGUAAUGGGUGUUGGGUUCUAGAGGUCCGAACUUGACGUGGUGGAUCUUGCCGGAACUGUAGAGGAAGUAUUUGUAAGAAGUAGAUUCUCCGGUGGUUUUUUUAUCGUACUUUCCCAGUUGUUUACCGUAUUCCACCACCGACUCCACCUUCUUGUCUUCCGUUAUGUAUGUUACUCUCAUGUGGUCCUGACCCGCCAGUGAUACGUGCACCUCUAAUUUAUCAAAUAUUCAACAAUCAACACCAACACAAACCUUUAGAAACAACAUUUUAAAGGGAAAUUUUUAUGUCAUCACUGAAAGCAGGAAAUAUAGAAAAUGUGUAAUUCUUUCACGUAUGAAUAGUAUCCACUAAUAAGUAUGAUCCUGUGUCAAACAAAGAUGAAACCCUUUGAGACGACGCAGAAACAGAGACGACGCAGUUCAAAAUUUUAAUAGAAAAAAAAUAACGGUAUUUCGCUUCACUAAUCAACAUAUUGUAUUUUAUAAUUACACUAAUUUUAGUUUAGCCAAUUACCAAUGAACUGUAUAGUUUAAUAUCUCUACACGUAAUGCAAUAUUCCACGAUCAAAUCUUAUACUAGUGAUUAAAUGCCGUCAUGGUGGUGUCACAUUUAUUUGAUUUUCAUAUAGUAUUUUCAUUUAAUUUUAUGGUGAUUUAACCCUUUUUUCCUACAAAAAUAAAGUCUUUUUCACUACCAGGAAUAAAACUCAUUAGAUGGGUGGGUCAAACUUUACACUGUGUGGGAGUUAUUAAAAACAAAAAUAAAAAAUCGUACCGUGUUGAUACCUUGGAAGAACCACUUGGGAUCUUUCUUCUUUAUGUCGACUUGGGAUCAAAUCUACUACUCGUUUCAACUUAUCAGAUUUUUUUUUUCUUUAAAAAAAUUGGACGGUCCAAUUAACAUAGAAAUACAUUUGAGGGUUUCUAAAACACUCUAAUAAUUGAUCAAUUUGAUGCUUGAAGGGGGGGCGAAAAUGAUGCACGCAAACUUUUGAUUGGGUUGGUUUAGAAUUAAAUAUCCUGAGAUAUUGUUAGGAAUGUUUAUUAGUGAGGGAACAAUAAUUCGUCUUCACGCUUUUAUUUUUAAUCAUUUUUCACCUUGGUGAAAGCGUACAUGAUGCAAGCCAGCAUGGUGAGGAUAAUUUGUGUUUUUUUUUUUCGGUACAAAUGUUUAAAAAAAUAGAUAAGAUGAAAUGAGGAUAAUUUCUGCAUUAACUAUUUAUGAAUUAUUUGUGAUUUCUUUUAUUGAAAACCGAUUUCAUUUUCGUUUCUGCGUUUUUAUAUAGACUUUGAAACCUUUGAUCUAAAUUGUAUAAGAAAACUAAAGGGGUUAUCGAGAUAUUGAUUUGUAUAGAGUUUGUUAAUUUUAAAAGUGUGUAGAUUUAAAAAAUUCGUGGAAUCUACCUGAAUUCUAUAUGAAUUUUACAUUCACAUUUUAAGGAUUAAUAUAAGGAUAAGUUAGUUAGGGGGAUCCAAUACUUGUUUAAUUAAGAGGGGAUAAAUAAAAAAAAAUAUGGAUUUAGGUAAGUAAAAAAGAGAGAAAAAAUUUAUACCAUAAUUAUCUGUCUUUUUUAAAUAAUUACAAAAUGCCACCGUUGAUAACACUAUUCAUAGGUAAUUGAUUAAUAUAAUUUAUGUUGUGUUAACAAUAUAUAUAACAUUUAUAACGCGUUAACAAUAAUAUAUUUGAUAUUGUUAGCACGUUAAUACUAUAUAUAUGCAUGUUAUCAUAAUUUUUGAUUAGUGUGCUAAUACUUAUAACACGUUAACAAUAAUAUCAGAUACUUUUGAUGUGUUAACAAGAAUACAUUUGAUAUUGUUAGCACGUUAAAUAUAUAUAUAUAUAUAUAUAUAUAUAUUCAUGUUAUCGUAAAUUUUGAUUAGCAUGCUAAUAAUAAUCGAUCUAAUAAUUGCAAUGUGUUAUCAUUUAUCUGAUGCAUGUAAUGUGUUAACAUUAAUAUCGUCUGCAUGUUAUCGUUUUAAUAAAAUUAUUUGAUAAUUUUGAUGUGUUAUUAAUAUAAUAUAUGAAUAUUUGACAUUAUAACUACCAUGUUAACACGCUAACUUUGUUAUUGCUAUCAUCCCCUUAUUCUAUUACACCUUCUUUUCUUACUCCUUCUUUUUUCACUUCUCUUUCCCGACGUGAGACAAUUGCAAAAGAGAGAAGAGACAAAUGUAAUUAAAAAGAAUUAUAAGAGUAUAAUAGAUUUUUGAUGAUGAAUAGUAAACUAUGAAUAGUAGAUGAUGAGAGAGAACUAAUUUCAGUGUUAUUAGGGUCCAUACAUUGGUAUUAUUCUUAAUAUAAACUCUAAUAGAUUUAUAUUAACUUUAUCAGGAUUUGUUUUCCGGCAAUUCAGUCCAUAACAAAAUAAGUUGCUCAUGAGAUCUUUAACGAUAGACAUUCAGAGAUAUUCACGAGUCAAUAAUCAAGAAAAAUAAAGAUUAUCACGAAAAAUUAGAUCUUCAAAAUUUAAUGUGUAUCGUACGUACUCCUUGAGCAUGUUUUCCAUAAUGUUCAUAUUAACGUAUCAUGUCUGCAGCUAACUAUGAUUAUCUCAAGUUUGAUUAUUAAUAAAAGAGAUUUUUUUUUGCCACGUAAGUUAAUCUCUAAAAAUACUUUAAAAGAAGAACUUUAGUAACAAGAAUAAAAGAGAUUUUACUAUAGAAGAAAAUGUAAAUCUUAAAUAACUAACAUGAAAAUAAUGAACAUAUAAUUAAAAAUUGCAUGGUGCUUAGCUUUAGUAACAAGAAUAAAAAAAAUGGGAACUAAUGAAAUAUAAUUACAAGGAAAAAAAUCAAAAGAUUUUGAAAUACAAAUGACAUUGAAGUAACAAAUUUUGUUUGAAAACCUUGAUUAGGGAAUUUCAUUAAACUCCUCUCGUAUCCAACAUUUUAUCAAACAUGACACGUUCUUAAACUGAUACUGAUGCUAAUUAUAUUAGAAUUUUAAUGAAAUUAGAGAAGUACAAACAAAUGUGCGUAAAAUGAAAAAAUAUGAGAAGCAAGACAGGCUGGAAGAGGAGUCAAAAUGGAAGUCCAGCCUUCACCUUUAUCCUUAAGAUUACUACUCUCUUCUCUCUCUCUUAUCCUUCUAUAUUUGUUUAUCUUUAUUCACGCUAGUCCUGGGAAUAUUAUCCGGAACCGAAUAUCCGAACCGGAACCGAUCCGAAAAAACCGGUUCGGAUCGGUUCCGGAUCCACCAAAUAUACCCAUUGGAUCUCAAAUUUAGUAUCCAUGGAUAUCGGUUCCUAUCCGGAACCGAACCGGAACCGAAAUGAGGAACCGAAUACCCGAAAAUAUAUAUGUUUAUCUAUUAAAAUUUUAUGAUUCAGAUAUUUUUGAUGUUAUUUCGGGUGCAAAUACCCGAAUUUUUUUAAAAAUAUCCAAAAUAUUUAGGUACAUUUUAAAAAUUCGGAUAAAAUAUUGGUAUUUCGGGUAUAAAUAUCUAUAUUUUUUUUAAGAACCGAAAUUUUUCGGGUAUUUCGGGUAGAAAUUUGUUAUUUCGAGUAUAAUUUUACUAUUUUUGAUACAAAUAUCCGGAACCAUUUAAGAACUAAAAUUUUUCGGGUAUGUUACGGUUCCUCACCUUUGUAUCCGAACUUAUCCGGAACCGAACCGGAACCGAACCGAAAAUUUUAAAAUAUUCAGUGGAUCUAAAUUUCUAGAACCGAUCGGUUCCUAUCCGGAACCGAACCGAAUACCCGAAACCCCAUGGCUAAUUCACGCAGUUAAUUGGCCUAUUAGACCAUCUCCAAUAGUUUAGAUCAUCUCCAAUGAUUUACUCUAUUUUUAACUCUAAAAAUAGAGAAGAGUUUUCUCCAAUAGGCAACUCUAACUUUUUACUUUAAAAAAACAAUAUUCUUUUAUCAACUAAUUCUAAUUAAUUAUUAUUUUCUUAUGAGACCUUAUACUUUAAAACUAUAUCAAUUUUGUCUAUUCAUUUUUUUGGACAAAAACUAGAUAAACUUUUGAUUUUAUUAAAAUUAAAAAAUGCAUUACAUCAAAUAAAUAGAAUUAUGUAAUUAUUUUUUAUGCGGUUUACCAGAUUAUUAGUUAUUGUCAUUAUAUUUUUUUAAUUAUGUAAUUUUAUUUUAUAAUUUGUUAUAUCAAUAUAAUUUUAUAUAUCAUCAUUGUUGGUUUGUUUUUAACAUCAUUGUUAUUUAUUAGAAAAUUAAUAAAAUAUUUUGAAGUAUAAACCUAAUUGUUAUCUUCUUAUGUAUAAAACUAAAAUAUAUAAUUUUGUUUGAGUAUAAAAUAAAAGUAUAUCAAAAUCAAAGGAUGUUUUAUAAAUAAAAAAGUGUAACUCUAAAAAUAGAGAACUCUAAAAGUUACUCCAAAUUUAAAAUAACUUUUAGAGUUCUCUAUUUUUAGAGUUGAAUAUAGAGUGCUAUUGGAGAUGGUUUUACUCUAAAAAUAGAGUUUGAAGGCAAAAAUAGAGUCCCAUUGGAGAUGCUCUUACUCUAUUUUUCACUUUAAAAAUAGAGUUCUCUAAAAAUAAAGAAGAGUUUUGCUCCAAUAGUCAACUCUAUUUUUUACAUUAAAAAGGAAUAUUUUUAGUAUCUUAUAUUCUAAUUAAUUAUUAUUUUCUUAUGAAACCUUAUACUUUAAAAAUAUAUCAAUUUUGUCCAUUUUUUUUAGUGUUAUUGGAGAUGGUUUUUUGGUGCAUCUAUCAUUUGCUAUAUCAAUAUCUUAUUUAAUUUUAGAUAUCAUCAUUGUUGUUUUUUUUUCAACAUCAUUGUUGUUUAUUAGAAAAUUAAUAUAAUUUUUUAAUUAUAAAUCUAAUUGUUGUAUUCUUAUGUAUAAAACUAAAAUCUAUAAUUUUGUUUGAAUAUAAAAUAGAAGUAUAUCAAAAUCAAAUGACUAUUUUAUAAAUAAAAUAGUGUAACUCUAAAAAUAGGACAAAAUUGAUACCGAGCACCUGCUCCCGACGACCGAGCAUGCACUUCGGACUUUUUCCUUUUCCGUGCAUUCGCCACGUGACAAAGCAAGGGCGGUUGGCACCGACUUUGCCCUAGCCGUUUUUCCUAUUUUUGGCCGAGUUUUUGUUAUAAAGGAUUAGCCACCCUUUUAUUUUAGGAUAUCUUUCUCUUUCCUUUUUCUAAGAGAGAGACUUUUGACCUAGGGUUUUUCUAAGCAUUACAAGCUUGAGAGGGAGACGAAUUUCUGCUAUAUUUUUUAGAAGAAUUCCGAACCCUUGGGAUUUAUUAUUUUAUUCUAUGAGUUUCUUUUCAUCUAUGUUUUCUGAUUUAUUUUCUAUGUCUGAGUAGUUCUCUUAACUAGAUUAGGGUUUCAAAGGAAUUGAUGAUUUAGAAAAUGAAUGCAAAUAGGGCUUUUUAUUAUUAGAUUGUCUUCACCAUUGUUAGACUUAAUCCUUAGGUUGAAUUGAUCACUCAAUCUGCGGUUUUAGGUUUAUCUAUUCAUCAAAAGUGUAAUAGGUUGCUAGAAAGAACUUUGGUGAGCAAAUUAACUAGGCCUGCGAAAGUUGAGUGCUAGGUAAUUUGUGAACUUAUCAAACCUGAUCUUUAAUGCUUAUCUGCGAUUGCUAGGACCAAACGACAGUUUAGGAUUCUAGGUUGUUAGAUAAAGUUAUUGAUGCUACGACAGUAGAUCAAUUUAUUAUUAUGUUUGAGUUCUAGACUUGCUUCAAAAUUGUGCCCUAGAUAGUUGUUUGGUUGCUAUCUCUGACAUUCCUGCGAAUUGCCCUGGUCUAGUGCUUCGUUUAAUUGAUUUAAAAACCGCAAUUUACUUUACUUCCUGUUACAAAACCAACUCACUUUGUCUUAACUUGAAGUUGAACCAAUAAAAUCAUAGUGUAAUACUUGGUCUUCGUGGGAAUCGAUCCCUAAAUACUACUCCGCUUUGCUGUGCACUUGCAGUAGGAAAUAGGGUUAAAACUCUGUGUAUCAAGUUUUUGGCGCCGUUGCCGGGGACCAAAUCUUUACCUUUGGUUUUCGGCGAAAUUUCUAGUCUAAAACCUUACUGAUUUGUUCUUCUACUUCUCUUCUGCGUGUGUUUCAGGGUGCAUGUCCAAGAAGUCUACAAGGAGAAAUCACACAGAGGAACUCGUCUCAUACUCAAACGCAGAACUCGCAAAAACAGAAAGAACAAACCGCAAAAACACAAGGCUUCAAUCCUUCAACAUGGGUGACCAGAGAAGCAACGAGGAGAUGGCUACUGAAAUACAACAACUCCGACAACAGAUGGAGCAGCUGCUCAAGGCUCAGCAAGACAGAGCCGCGGAGCCAGUUGAGACCCCCAUCGGUGGAAAGGACAAUCCGCAUGUGUUCUACACUAACCGUACUGCGAUUGUUCCUCCUAGAAUACAGAGGUAAGACUUCGAUAUUAAACCGCAGAUGAUCUCUCUCGUGAAGCAACACCUCUUUCAUGGUCUCCCAGCUGAGAUUCCGAUGGACCACAUCGAGAAUUUCAAGGAGAUAUGCAGCACCACCAGCUAUAAUGGGAUACCGCCGGAUUUUCUGAAGUGCAAGCUCUUUCCAUUCUCUCUUGCGGAUAGAGCUUCACGCUGGCUAAAGUCAUUGCCACCUGGGUCUUUGACAUCAUGGGACGAGUGCAGGAAUGCGUUUCUGGACCACUUAUACACUAAGUCCAAAACCGCAGCUCUACGGAACAAGAUCUCGACAUUCCAACAGCAAACCGGAGAAGCCUUCUGCAAGGCUUGGGAGAGAUACAAAGAGUACCGCAGAGAGUGCCCUCACCAUGGUUUCACUGACGAACAGAUUCUGAGCAUCUUCUACGACGGUGUCAACUGGGACUACAUGAAUGCUCUCAACUCAGCCAAUAAUGGAGAUUUCAUGACCAAAUCCAAAGAAGGUGCGUACCAACUGAUUGAGAACCUAACUGCAAGCUCCAGCAACAAGGCACCCGAGUAUGAUAGAUCCGCCAAGGUCAACAUUGUGGAAGCGCAAAAGAUUGACGAGUUGACAGCCAAGGUAAACCUUUUUUUGAAGGGGAGCCAGAAAGCAGUACACUUCGUUGAUGAGACUGACGAGAUGCCUCUAGCUCAGGAGAUUUGUGAUGGAGAGGAUGAUCAGAUGGAGGUCAACUACGUUAAUGGGCAAGGGUUCGUGCAGAACCGCGGAUUCAACCAGAACUACCGCAACCAUCCGAACCUGUCCUACAGGAGCACUAACGUGGAGAAUCCGCAGGAUCAGGUCUACCCGCAGCAAGGAGCUCAGAAUCAGAUGGGAUUUCAGAAGAACUUCUCCAACAAUUUCCAGGCAAAACCGUUCAUUCCUAACCAUAACCGCUUCCAAGGUGGUAACCAGCUGCCUUUCGCCAAUGUUCAGAAGAAACCGUCUUUCACCUACAUGCAACCGGGUCAGUCUUCAGCCAACAGUUCCCAAGACGAGCUGAAGAACAUGAUGCAGCAGCUUUUGGUGAACCAACAGAAAGCUUCUACGGAAAUCAAUUCCAAAGUAGACUCAAUGUACAACAACCUCAAUGGAAAGUUUGAGGCCGUUUGGACACACAUGAAGAAGCUGGAUAUUCAGAUUGCGCAGACUGCUGAAGCCGUGAAGCGACCUCCUAGAACCUUACCAGGAAAGUGAGAGGCGAACCCCAGGAACGAGUAUGUGAACGCCAUUGAGUUAUGGGUGCCCCCAAGAACUGCUCCGCCAACAAGCACGUACAAAAGAAAAGGAAUCGCUACCGAGCAAGUGCUCGGUCCUGAAACCUCUGAUCCAGGCCAAGACAAAGUUGAUCGACGGGAGCACCCUGAGACUUCAACCGAGCACGUGCUCCGACCUUCUGACCAGGCCAGAUCGACUGACACACCUCCAGCACGAGUUUACAUACCUAGAGUGCCAUACCCUGUUCCGCCAAAGAAAUCCCAAAAAGACUUGGAGGAUGCGAAGUGUCGAGAGAUGUUGCGAGACUUGACCCUGAAGAUACCCUUAGUUGAUGCUGUUCAGAUGGUACCUGCUCUGAAACGGUUUAUGAAAGGGUUAGUUUCUGGGAGAGUCUCCGAAGAGGAGAAUGUCAUGAUGGUUUCGAGAGAGUGCAGUGCUGUGCUGCAAAACAAGGUGCUGAAAAAGAGAGAUGAUCCGGGGCGAUUUUUCUUGUCCGUGAAAAUCGGUAACACGGUUUUCGCGAGGUCCCUCUGCAAUCUUGGCUCAAGUGUGAACCUUAUGCUAUACUCGGUGGCGAAAAGACUGGGGUACACGAAGUUCAAGUCCACUAGAAUUUCGUUGGUAUUCGCUGAUAGGUCAACCAAGUUUCCGAUUGGAGUGCUGGAGGAUCUACAUGUUAAGAUCGGCGACACACUUAUCCUAGCAGACUUUGUGGUUCUGGAACUUGACGAGGAACCACGCGACCCACUGAUUUUGGGUCGGUCCUUCCUGAGCACAGCUGGUGUGAUCAUUGGCGUACAUGAGGGGAUAAUCGAUCUCCAACUGGGAGAUAUGAUUGUGAGGUUCGAGAUGGACAAGCUCCUCAAGAAACCGAUGAUUGAUGGUCAGACGUUUGUGAUAGAUGAUGGUUCAGAUGUCGCAGAUGAGGUAGCUGACAAGCUCUUAGCUCUUGACCCUUUGGAGACAGUCCUGACUAAAGCAGAGGGAGAGUUUGGUUUCUUAAGUGAGGAAGCUGAAGUACUAGCAAGGAUGCUGGAUGCGAGUGCAGAGUUUCGGAAACUGGUCGCAUACGCUAGCCUGGACAAUGAGGAAGACUCCGCAGAGAAAUCAGCUGAGGGAGCACCUGCUCCAAAUCCCGGAGCACCUGCUCCGGCCGAGUCUACCGAUGGUCCGUGGAGCGAGCUGCGAGCUCCCAAGAUCGAGCUCAAACCACUUCCUGCCGGGCUAAGGUACGCGUUUCUAGGCCCUAACUCGACUUACCCUGUGAUCAUAAACUCGGAAUUGAAUAAUGUAGAGACUGCCUUGCUCCUUUGUGAACUUAGGAAAUAUAGAAAGGCUCUAGGUUAUUCAUUAAACGAUUUUCCAGGGAUUUCUCCAGAUCUUUGCAUGCAUAGGAUCCAUCUAGAGGAUGAGUCAUCGACUUCUAUAGAACAUCAGAGGAGGUUAAACCCGAAUCUAAAAGAUGUUGUAAAGAAGGAGAUAAUGAAACUUCUAGAUGCAGACAUGAUUUAUGCUAUAUCGGAUAGUUGAUGGGUCAGUCCAGUUCAUGUAGUUCCUAAGAAAGGUGGUAUUACUGUGGUUAAGAAUGAUAGGAACGAAUUUAUACCCACUAGGACAGUCACAGGACAUCGGAUGUGUAUAGAUUUCAGGAAGCUUAAUGCUGCGACCCGGAAAGACCAUUUUCCCUUGCCUUUUAUUGAUCAGAUGCUUGAGAGAUUGGCUAACCAUCCCUACUAUUGUUUCUUAGAUGGUUAUUCAGGGUUCUUCCAGAUCCCGAUCCACCCAGAGGACCAGGAGAAGACAACAUUCACUUGUCCUUACGUCACUUUUGCAUACCGCAGAAUGCCGUUUGGCUUGUGCAAUGCCCCUACGACCUUCCAGCGCUGCAUGAUGUCUAUUUUCACUGACCUGAUUGAGGACAUAAUGGAAGUUUUCAUGGACGAUUUUUCUGUCUAUGGGAGCUCUUUUUCUGUCUGUUUGUCUAACUUGUGCAGGGUGUUGCAGCGGUGCGAGGAAAAACACUUUGUGCUGAACUGGGAGAAGUGCCACUUCAUGGUCCGAGAUGGGAUCGUACUUGGGCACAGAAUCUCGGAGAAAGGGAUCGAGGUUGACAAAGCAAAGGUCGAGGUGAUGAUGAGUCUCCAGCCGCCCGAUUCAGUCAAGGGAAUCCGCAGUUUCCUUGGUCAUGCCGGUUUCUAUAGGCGCUUCAUCAAGGACUUCUCCAAAAUCGCCAGACCUCUUACACGGCUGCUGUGCAAGGAGGUGAAGUUCGAGUUUGACAGUGCAUGCUUGGAAGCUUUCCAUACGAUCAAAGGAGCAUUGGUCAGCGCCCCGAUUGUGUAACCACCGGAUUGGGAUCUCCCCUUUGAGGUCAUGACAGAUGCGAGUGAUUACGCCGUGGGAGCAGUUCUGGGACAAAGAAAAGAUAAGAAGCUGCACGUGAUCUAUUAUGUUAACCGCACUCUGGAUGAAGCUCAGUGCAAAUACGCUACAACCAAAAAGGAGCUCUUGGCGGUUGUGUUUGCUUUUGAGAAGUUCAGAUCCUAUCUUGUUGGUUCCAAGGUUAUUGUUCACACCGAUCAUACAGCCUUGCGGUACCUGCUCACCAAGAAGGAUGCCAAGCCGCGGCUACUCAGGUGGAUUCUCUUGCUUCAGAAGUUCGAUUUGGAGAUCAAAGACAAAAAGGGAAUCGAAAAUGGAGUUGCAGAUCACCUGUCACGGAUGAAGAUCGACGAAGAGGUCCCCUUGGAUGACAGUCUCCCUGAGGAGCAAGUUUACUCCAUUGGCAUCUUUGAGUCCGGCGAGCACCUGCUCCAACCCGGAGCACCUGCUCCGACCACCCAUUGCAGUGUGAUCGAUAGAAGCACACAGCCGAGUUUCACUUGGUUUGGAGAGUUCGCAAACUACCUUGCAGGAGAUAAGGAGCCAGUUGGAUUCGUGGGAAACAAGAAGAAGAAAUUCCUCAAGGACAUCCGACACUACUUCUGGGACGAGCCGUACCUGUAUAGGCAUUGCUCGGAUGGCGUUUACAGGAGAUGUGUAGCUGAUGAGGAGAUUCCUGGAGUCUUGUUUCACUGCCAUAGCUCGCCAUACGCUGGACACUUCGCCACCUUCAAAACCGUGUCCAAAGCUCUUCAAGUCGGGUAUUGGUGGCCAACAAUGUUCCGAGAUGCACAGAGAUUCAUAUCCAGUUGUGACACAUGCCAGAGACAGGGCAACAUCAGUAGGAGGAACGAGAUGCCUCAGAACUUCAUCCUGGAAGUGGAGGUGUUUGAUGUGUGGGGAAUUGACUUCAUGUGACCCUUCCCUAAUUCGUUUAGCAACGAGUACAUUCUGGUAGCAGUUGAUUAUGUGUCUAAGUGGGUCGAAGCUUUCGCCAGUCCUUCUAAUGACGCAAAAACCAUGAUCAAGAUGUUCAAGUCUGUCAUAUUUCCGAGGUUCGGUGUUCCGUGAGUGGUCAUCAGCGAUGGUGGCUCCCACUUCGUCAACAAGAUCUUUGACAGCCUGCUGAGAAAGAACGGCGUAAGGCACAAGGUCACAACUCCGUACCAUCCCCAGACUAGUGGUCAGGUCGAGAUUUCCAACAAGGAGAUCAAGAGCAUCCUGUAGAAAACCGUGAAUGCCACAAGGAAGGAUUGGUCUGAGAAGCUGGAUGAGGCUCUAUGGGCGUAUCGAACUGUAUACAAGACACCUCUCGGGACAACACCAUUCCAUUUGGUGUAUGGUAAAGCAUGCUAUCUCCCUGUCGAACUAGAGUACAAAGCUGCAUGGGCAGUUAAGUUGAUGAACUUUGACACCAAGAGUGCUCAUGAAAGGAGGAAGAUGCAGUUGCAUGAAUUGGAGGAGAUUAGGCAUCUGGCCUAUGACAACUCGAGGAUAUAUAAGGAACGAACCAAGGCCUACCACGACAAGAGGAUUCUCACACGGACCUUCGCUCUAGAUGAUCAGGUCUUAUUGUACAACUCUCGAUUGAAACUGUUUCCCGGGAAGCUAAGAUCGAGAUGGUCCGGACCCUUCACCAUCAAAGAGGUCCAACCAUAUAGAGCUGUAGUGUUGUUGGACACUAAGGGAGGAGAGUUCGUGGUCAAUGGACAGAGGCUCAAGCCGUAUCUCGCCGGUUCUGACAUCGCAGGAGGUGAAACCUUCACCUUAGGCGAUCCUCCUCAAGCCUAAAUGGCUACCAAGUCAAGCUCUUUCCAUUUUCUCUUGCGGAUAGAGCUUCACGCUGGCUAAAGUCAUUGCCACCUGGGUCUUUGACAUCAUGGGACGAGUGCAGGAAUGCGUUUCUGGACCACUUAUACACUAAGUCCAAAACCGCAGCUCUACGGAACAAGAUCUCGACAUUCUAACAGCAAACCGGAGAAGCCUUCUGCGAGGCUUGGGAGAGAUACAAAGAGUACCGCAGAGAGUGCCCUCACCAUGGUUUCACUGACGAACAGAUUCUGAGCAUCUUCUAUGACGGUGUCAACUGGGACUACAGGAAUGCUCUCAACUCAGCCAAUAAUGGAGAUUUCAUGACCAAAUCCAAAGAAGGUGCGUACCAACUGAUUGAGAACCUAACUGCAAGCUCCAGCAACAAGGCACCCGAGUAUGAUAGAUCCGCCAAGGUCAACAUUGUGGAAGCGCAAAAGAUUGACGAGUUGACAGCCAAGGUAAACCUUUUUCUGAAGGGGAGCCAGAAAGCAGUACACUUCGUUGAUGAGACUGACGAGAUGCCUCUAGCUUAGGAGAUUUGUGAUGGAGAGGAUGAUCAGAUGGAGGUCAACUACGUUAAUGGGCAAGGGUUCGUGCAGAACCGCGGAUUCAACCAGAACUACCGCAACCAUCCGAACCUGUCCUACAGGAGCACUAACGUGGAGAAUCCGCAGGAUCAGGUCUACCCGCAGCAAGGAGCUCAGAAUUAGAUGGGAUUUCAGAAGAACUUCUCCAACAAAUUCCAGGCAAAACCGUUCAUUCCUAACCAUAACCGCUUCCAAGGUGGUAACCAGCAGCCUUUCGCCAAUGUUCAGAAGAAACCGUCUUUCACCAACAUGCAACCGGGUCAGUCUUCAGCCAACAGUUCUCAAGACGAGCUGAAGAACAUGAUGCAGCAGCUUUUGGUGAACCAACAGAAAGCUUCUACGGAAAUCAAUUCCAAAGUAGACUCAAUGUACAACAACCUCAAUGGAAAGUUUGAGGCCGUUUGGACACACAUGAAGAAGCUGGAUAUUCAGAUUGCGCAGACUGCUGAAGCCGUGAAGCGACCUCCUAGAACCUUACCAGGAAAGUGAGAGGCGAACCCCAGGAACGAGUAUGUGAACGCCAUUGAGUUAUGGGUGCCCCCAAGAACUGCUCCGCCAACAAGCACGUACAAAAGAAAAGGAAUCGCUACCGAGCAAGUGCUCGGUCCUGAAACCUCUGAUCCAGGCCAAGACAAAGUUGAUCGACGGGAGCACCCUGAGACUUCAACCGAGCACGUGCUCCGACCUUCUGACCAGGCCAGAUCGACUGACACACCUCCAGCACGAGUUUACAUGCCUAGAGUGCCAUACCCUGUUCCGCCAAAGAAAUCCCAAAAAGACUUGGAGGAUGCGAAGUGUCGAGAGAUGUUGCGAGACUUGACCCUGAAGAUACCCUUAGUUGAUGCUGUUCAGAUGGUACCUGCUCUGAAACGGUUUAUGAAAGGGUUAGUUUCUGGGAGAGUCUCCGAAGAGGAGAAUGUCAUGAUGGUUUCGAGAGAGUGCAGUGCUGUGCUGCAAAACAAGGUGCUGAAAAAGAGAGAUGAUCCGGGGCGAUUUUUCUUGUCCGUGAAAAUCGGUAACACGGUUUUCGCGAGGUCCCUCUGCAAUCUUGGCUCAAGUGUGAACCUUAUGCUAUACUCGGUGGCGAAAAGACUGGGGUACACGAAGUUCAAGUCCACUAGAAUUUCGUUGGUAUUCGCUGAUAGGUCAACCAAGUUUCCGAUUGGAGUGCUGGAGGAUCUACAUGUUAAGAUCGGCGACACACUUAUCCUAGCAGACUUUGUGGUUCUGGAACUUGACGAGGAACCACGCGACCCACUGAUUUUGGGUCGGUCCUUCCUGAGCACAGCUGGUGCGAUCAUUGACGUACAUGAGGGGAUAAUCGAUCUCCAACUGGGAGAUAUGAUUGUGAGGUUUGAGAUGGACAAGCUCCUCAAGAAACCGAUGAUUGAUGGUCAGACGUUUGUGAUAGAUGAUGGUUCAGAUGUCGCAGAUGAGGUAGCUGACAAGCUCUUAGCUCUUGACCCUUUGGAGACAGUCCUGACUAAAGCAGAGGGAGAGUUUGGUUUCUUAAGUGAGGAAGCUGAAGUACUAGCAAGGAUGCUGGAUGCGAGUGCAGAGUUUCGGAAACUGGUCGCAUACGCUAGCCUGGACAAUGAGGAAGACUCCGCAGAGAAAUCAGCUGAGGGAGCACCUGCUCCAAAUCCCGGAGCACCUGCUCCGGCCGAGUCUACCGAUGGUCCGUGGAGCGAGCUGCGAGCUCCCAAGAUCGAGCUCAAACCACUUCCUGCCGGGCUAAGGUACGCGUUUCUAGGCCCUAACUCGACUUACCCUGUGAUCAUAAACUCGGAAUUGAAUAAUGUAGAGACUGCCUUGCUCCUUUGUGAACUUAGGAAAUAUAGAAAGGCUCUAGGUUAUUCAUUAGACGAUUUUCCAGGGAUUUCUCCAGAUCUUUGCAUGCAUAGGAUCCAUCUAGAGGAUGAGUCAUCGACUUCUAUAGAACAUCAGAGGAGGUUAAACCCGAAUCUAAAAGAUGUUGUAAAGAAGGAGAUAAUGAAACUUCUAGAUGCAGGCGUGAUUUAUGCUAUAUCGGAUAGUUCAUGGGUCAGUCUAGUUCAUGUAGUUCCUAAGAAAGGUGGUAUUACUGUGGUUAAGAAUGAUAGGAACGAAUUUAUACCCACUAGGACAGUCACAGGACAUCGGAUGUGUAUAGAUUUCAGGAAGCUUAAUGCUGCGACCCGGAAAGACCAUUUUCCCUUGCCUUUUAUUGAUCAGAUGCUUGAGAUAUUGGCUAACCAUCCCUACUAUUGUUUCUUAGAUGGUUAUUCAGGGUUCUUCCAGAUCCCGAUCCACCUAGAGGACCAGGAGAAGACGACAUUCACUUGUCCUUACGGCACUUUUGCAUACCGCAGAAUGCCGUUUGGCUUGUGCAAUGCCCCUGCGACCUUCCAGCGCUGCAUGAUGUCUAUUUUCACUGACCUGAUAGAGGACAUAAUGGAAGUUUUCAUGGACGAUUUUUCUGUCUAUGGGAGCUCCUUUUCUGUCUGUUUGUCUAACUUGUGCAGGGUAUUGCAGCGGUGCGAGGAAAAACACUUUGUGCUGAACUGGGAGAAGUGCCACUUCAUGGUCCGAGAUGGGAUCGUACUUGGGCACAGAAUCUCGGAGAAAGGGAUCGAGGUUGACAAAGCAAAGGUCGAGGUGAUGAUGAGUCUCCAGCCGCCCGAUUCAGUCAAGGGAAUCCGCAGUUUCCUUGGUCAUGCCGGUUUCUAUAGGCGCUUCAUCAAGGACUGCUCCAAAAUCGCCAGACCUCUUACACGGCUGCUGUGCAAGGAGGUGAAGUUCGAGUUUGACAGUGCAUGCUUGGAAGCUUUCCAUACGAUCAAAGGAGCAUUGGUCAGCGCCCCGAUUGUGUAACCACCGGAUUGGGAUCUCCCCUUUGAGGUCAUGACAGAUGCGAGUGAUUACGCCGUGGGAGCAGUUCUGGGACAAAGAAAAGAUAAGAAGCUGCACGUGAUCUAUUAUGUUAACCGCACUCUGGAUGAAGCUCAGUGCAAAUACGCUACAACCAAAAAGGAGCUCUUGGCGGUUGUGUUUGCUUUUGAGAAGUUCAGAUCCUAUCUUGUUGGUUCCAAGGUUAUUGUUCACACCGAUUAUACAGCCUUGCGGUACCUGCUCACCAAGAAGGAUGCCAAGCCGCGGCUACUCAUGUGGAUUCUCUUGCUCAGGAGUUCGAUUUGGAGAUCAAGGACAAAAAGGGAAUCGAAAUUGGAGUUGCAGAUCACCUGUCACGGAUGAAGAUCGACGAAGAGGUCCCCUUGGAUGACAGUCUCCCUGAGGAGCAAGUUUACUCCAUUGGCAUCUUUGAGUCCGGCGAGCACCUAUUCCAACCCAGAGCACCUGCUCCGACCACCCAUUGCAGUGUGAUCGAUAGAAGCACACAGCCGAGUUUCACUUGGUUUGGAGAGUUCGCAAACUACCUUGCAGCAGAUAAGGAGCCAGUUGGAUUCGUGGGAAACAAGAAGAAGAAAUUCCUCAAGGACAUCCGACACUACUUCUGGGACGAGCCAUACCUGUAUAGGCAUUGCUCGGAUGGCGUUUACAGGAGAUGUGUAGCUGAUGAGGAGAUUCCUGGAGUCUUGUUUCACUGCCAUAGCUCGCCAUACGCUGGACACUUCGCCACCUUCAAAACCGUGUCCAAAGCUCUUCAAGUCGGGUAUUGGUGGCCAACAAUGUUCCGAGAUGCACAGAGAUUCAUAUCCAGUUGUGACACAUGCCAGAGACAGGGCAACAUCAGUAGGAGGAAUGAGAUGCCUCAGAACUUCAUCCUGGAAGUGGAGGUGUUUGAUGUGUGGGGAAUUGACUUCAUGUGACCCUUCCCUAAUUCGUUUGGCAACGAGUACAUUCUAGUAGCAGUUGAUUAUGUGUCUAAGUGGGUCGAAGCUUUCGCCAGUCCUUCUAAUGACGCAAAAACCGUGAUCAAGAUGUUCAAGUCUGUCAUAUUUCCGAGGUUCGGUGUUCCGCGAGUGGUCAUCAGCGAUGGUGGCUCCCACUUCGUCAACAAGAUCUUUGACAACCUGCUGAGAAAGAACGGCGUAAGGCACAAGGUCACAACUCCGUACCAUCCCCAGACUAGUGGUCAGGUCGAGAUUUCCAACAGGGAGAUCAAGAGCAUCUUGUAGAAAACCGUGAAUGCCACAAGGAAGGAUUGGUCUGAGAAGCUGGAUGAGGCUCUAUGGGCGUAUCGAACUGUAUACAAGACACCUCUUGGGACAACACCAUUCCAUUUGGUGUAUGGUAAAGCAUGCUAUCUCCCUGUCGAACUAGAGUACAAAGCUGCCUGGGCAGUUAAGUUGAUGAACUUUGACACCAAGAGUGCUCAUGAAAGGAGGAAGAUGCAGUUGCAUGAAUUGGAGGAGAUUAGGCAUCUGGCCUAUGACAACUCGAGGAUAUAUAAGGAACGAACCAAGGCCUACCACGACAAGAGGAUUCUCACACGGACCUUCGCUCCAGAUGAUCAGGUCUUAUUGUACAACUCUCGAUUGAAACUGUUUCCCGGGAAGCUAAGAUCGAGAUGGUCCGGACCCUUCACCAUCAAAGAGGUCCAACCAUAUAGAGCUGUAGUGUUGCUGGACACUAAGGGAGGAGAGUUCGUGGUCAAUGGACAGAGGCUCAAGCCGUAUCUCGCCGGUUCUGACAUCGCAGGAGGUGAAACCUUCACCUUAGGCGAUCCUCCUCAAGCCUAAAUGGCUACCAAGUCAAUCUAGUGACUUUAGCCAAGUGCUGGGUGGGAGGCAACCCACCAAGUACAUAUUCUCGCCUUUUAUCUUAUUUUAGCAACUAAUUUUUGGUUUUGGUUUACUUUGUUAAAAAAAAAAAAAAAAAAAUGGAAGGACAUGUUUCCACCGUGAAAGGAGUCCAAGAGAAAGAUUUUCGGAGAAAGGAAACAGAGCACCUGCUCUGAUUUGGAGCACAUACUCGCUCGGGUGCUCUGUGUGAGUUGUGGGCCCAGGUAAAUCUUCUGAUUUCGAAAAAAAAGGAAAAAAGUGGGUCCGGAUUUUUUAAAACCGAACUACCUUACCCGGCCAACUAGUUUUUAAUAAAAAAGACCCAACUCCUUUUUCCUUCUCUCCCUCACUUCUUCUCUUUCGAUCUUCCUCUUCCCCAUCGUCACCACCAUCGCUUUUUCCCAAAAUCUCAAGGUUUUCAAAACUUCACCAAAUUUCACGCUUUUUGGGUCGAUUCCACUCGAUUUUUCCCCCUCUUUCCGAAUAUCCAAUCGCUUUUUCCAACCAACCACGGUAAGCACUCGAAAUCUCACUUUUUGAUUCCGCCAUGGAUGAGAAAAGUUGAGAUUUCAAGCUCCCUUCUUCGAUUUUCUUGCAUCCGGCUCAUAUUCAUCACUAUUUGUAUGCAUGCAUUCGAUUUUGGUUGGAAUUUAUGCUUGAUUUGCACAUGCAUAUUUUUGAGAAACCUUGGAUUCCACCAUUAAUGGCGGUUUGUGCAUGCUUAAUAGAUUAAGGUAAAUUUCGAGUAUUUUGUGGAUGAUUGAUGUUGGUUGUUGUGGAUUUGUGUUGAUGGAGCUGUGAUUAAGAGUUUUUGGAGUGAUCAUGAGUGCAAUCGAUUUUUGCAUACCAUUGAUCACCUCGAUUUUUCAUGAUUUCUUAUUCUCUUCGGUUUUCGAUUGUGUUUACAGGUACCCAUGGCUCCUAAGCACUCCUCUAGUCGCAAAGGCAAAGCGCAUGCAGCACCUCAACCACCACCACCUCCGCCACCUCCGUUCCCAAACAAGCUCCUCCACCCGUGGCCUCGCAAAGAGAGCGAGCCGUUCGAUCUCUUAGACGACUCUCUCCCCACCGAGUCCGUCGAUCACUGGGACCUCCGAGACGCGCGCGCCUAUAAUAAGCUGCUGGGUCUCAAGUUCGAGCCUACUUGCUUGAUGUGCACUACAUCUCUCAAGCAGCUCGGGCUGUACGAGCAGGUGACUCCGGUGCUGCUGCAUGUUCGCGUGCUUACCUUCACCUUCGCUGAUGAGCCUCUCUACCCCGACUUGGUGCGUCAGCUCCUCGUUUCUGCCCGCAUCACUCACGCGGACCCCGCCAACAAGACUGUGGCUGGCGUGGCUUUUACCUUCAAGGCUAGUGGUCGCCUUUACACCUUCCCAAUGGAGGACUUCUCUGCGACUCUCGGUUUCCUUACCGAGCCUGACGAGCUGACUCCUCUGCCUAAGUUCCACCAGGCUGCCGCUUUCUGGAGCAUGAUCGCCACAGGACCAUACCGGUCCAACUCUGCCAGUCAGGCCCUCCGUCUCGCAUCGCGCAUCCUCAGCAACAUGCUCUUUGACCGAGACUCCGGCAACAAGCUCCACCGCGACGAGUUGCUACUGCUCUACUUGGGUUGCAAUGGUGCCACCGGAGCACCUGCUCUGUUCUCUGGAGCACCUGCUCCCUCCACCAUGCACGGCCACCUGGGUCUGCAUUUUGCUGAGCUGAUCUGUGGUAUCCGGGAUAAGUCCGGGGGAUGUACCGAGCGUAUAGGCAGCCUUCUCACCCCACUUUUUGAGUCGGCUGGCCUUGAGAUGAAGUUUGAUGAGUGUAUUGAGGCCAAGGAGUAUCUCGAUCUCAAGCAUCUCAACAACUCCAAGAUCAUCUUCGCGUCCACAGCAGAGAGUUGUUUCUACCGGUAUCUUAGUGCCGAUGGCAUGGAGCAGUGCCUCACCCUUCUAUCACCGGAGCAGACGCAGCUGGCGUCCAUUGAGGACCUCUGUUUCGUACACACUGCUCUACUCUUAGAGGGUCCUCCUCCUGUCGCUCUCCGCUCUGUUCCUGCUGCGGAUUUCGCCAGCUCCUCUCACCACCACCAGGAGGACAUUCCGAUGCCCGACUCCACCAGUGUCCCACCUUUCACCACUACCGCCACUGAUGGCGAGUUUGCUCUUCCUCCAAUCUCUGACGAGCCUGACACUGUCGAGUACCGGCGUUGGAUGAUUGAGUCCCAGAGGAAGAACAACAGCCUCAUGCAGAGGAUCAUGCAGAUACUAUCCCGAGGGUGCUGUCACACUACCGCAGUGAGGGCGAGCCCAUCCGCGAGACAGCCACGACGCAGACGCCGCAUUGAUCGUUCGGAGAGUGAGAGCUCGGACGACCACACCACUCGCUGAUUCACGGUUAUACCUUCCUUCACCACCAUUGUAUUAUCUGUUUUCUGUUUUGUUAUUUGGGUUCUCUCUUUGGUUUGCUUUCACACCAGGGACGGUGUGAAGUAAGUCCGGGGGAGGGACAUGUUUUGCAUUUGUUUCUUUUGAGUCAGUUUUUUGUGUUUUCUCUUGAGUCAGUUUGUUUAUCGAGUCAGUUUGUCAUGUGAGUCAAAUCAAAACUUGUGGGAAUUAAGACCAGAAUCUAUGAUGAGUUUUUAAUCAUUUGUGUAUUUGAUCAUCUUUUCCUAGUGACCAUUGUUGCAGAACUAAGAGUACAGAGACGAGCUGAUGCUUCUUCACAUUCGGAUCUUUCUCCUGACCAGAAAAUUUUCAUCUCAAUCAGGUUUCACCGGAAAUACAUAGACUCAACUUUAUUGGAACCUAACCGGAUUUAAAUUCUUCUCGUUUUGGGCAUUAGGAUAGGGAACGAGUUACAUUACAUAUUCAGGAAUUCUUAUACCUUUUGCCACUCUUGCUGAUCCUGAAUAGCUAGCUCAUUUUUAGCUAGUACCCCACCUAAGCCUAACCGUCUUUCAAGCCACAUGCACUUGUGUUUUUCAUCUCUUAUAUGUGCAGAUAUGUGCAAAACGGUCGGGGAGAACAGGAUUGACGCAACCUCUAACUCACUCUUGCUGGAGAUUCGUGAGUUACAAAGAAGGACAGACCGAGCACGUGCUCCCAUUAGCCGAGCACCUGCUCCACGGAGACAUUCAUACCGAUUUGAGUCCUUGGGUUGUGUUGAGUAAGGAGAUCAUAAAAUGCGGUCCGCAUGCUCGAGAGGCAUACAUGAAAGACGAUCCUCCAUCAUCCUAUCAUCUUUUUCAAAAAAAAAAAGAAAAAAAAAAUCAAUGUUCAAGGGAUGAUGGAAAAGGAGCUGAGCUAAUAUUUGAUUGCCAAGCAUGCGUUGAAACCCAGAAGAAGAAGAUAAGCCGAAUUUGAGAAGCUGAAGUUUCAAAAAGAGGAGAGUGAUUAGAGGUUGUGGAUCAUCAAUGAGUCCAUUCUCCCUUGCCAUUUUGUGCGAUAUGCUGCAUCUCUUUCGAAAUCAUGGUAACCUCUGAAACACUCUAUAGCUCCACCUUUAAAACAGCCUUUUCUUUACCAAGCCUCGAUUUAUCUAGCCUAGUGCCCUUAAUGAGAAGCUCACGCCAACCUUAAAUGAACUUAGAGAGUCUAUUGUCUGGAAAGUGAACCUCUUUAGGUUUGAAAGCCAAGUACGGUUUAGGGUUGGAGAUGUUUGCUGAGGAGGUUUUUGGUAAGAAUCGGUAUCUCUUGUUCUAACACAUGUGGUUCGCAGGUCAUGGUCCAUACACGGUUUCUGAGAUUUUGCGAGUUCCCACCUUCAUCUUCUUUGCGUCUUGAUUUGAGUUUGUUUGAGGACAAACAAAGAUCCAAGUCCGGGGGAGUUGAUAUGUUGCGAUUUUGACUCAUUUUGACCCUUGUUAUUUGAUAGUUUUCGAGUCUUUUGAGUCCUUUUCGGGUCAUAACAGGAAGCUAGGAGGCUAAAAGCAGGAAUUGGAACAUCAAGAAACCUUCACAGCAAAAAGGAGUGGAAUCGAAGCAGAAACCUGAGUUUUGACACCGAGCACCCGCUCCCGACUUCCGAGCAUGCGCUUCGGACUUUUUCCUUUUCCGUGCAUCCGCCACGUGGCAAAGCAAGGGCGGUUGGCACCGACUUUGCCUUAGCCGUUUUUCCUAUUUUUGGCCGAGUUGUUGUUAUAAAGGAUUAGCCACCCUUUUAUUUUAGGAUAUAUUUAUCUUUCCUUUUUCUAAGAGAGAGACUUUUGACCUAGGGUUUUUCUAAGCAUUGCAAGCUUGAGAGGGAGACGAAUUUCUGCUACAUUCCUGAGAAGAAUUCCGAACCCUUGUGAUUUAUUAUUUUAUUCUAUGAGUUUCUUUUCAUCUAUGUUUUCUGAUUUGUUAUCUAUGUCUGAGUAGUUCUCUUAACUAUAUUAGGGUUUCAAAGGAAUUGAUGAUUUGGCAACUGAAUGCAAAUAGGACUUUUUAUUAUUAGAUUGUCUUCACCAUUGUUAGACUUAAUGCUUAGGUUGAAUUGAUCACUCAAUCUGCGAUUUUAGGUUUAUCUAUUCAUCAAAAGUGUAAUAGGUUGCUAGAAAGAACUUUGGUGAGCAAAUUAACUAGGCCUGCGAAAGUUGAGUGCUAGGUAAUUUGUGAACUUAUCAAACCUGAUCUUUAAUGCUUAUCUGCGAUUGCUAGGACCAAACGACAGUUUAUGAUUCUAGGUUGUUAGAUAAAGUUAUUGAUGCUACGACAGUAGAUCAGUUUAUUAUCAUGUUUGAGUUCUAGACUUGCUUCAAAAUCGUGUCUUGAAUAGUUGUUUGGUUGUUAUCUCUGACAUUCCUGCGAAUUGCCCUGGUCUAGUGCUUCGUUUAAUUGAUUUACAAACCGCAAUUUACUUUACUGCAUGUUACAAAACCAACUCACUUUGUCUUAGCUUGAAGUUAAACCAAUAAAAUCAUAGUGUAAUACUUGGUCUUCGUGGGAUUCGACCCCUAAAUACUACUCCGCUUUGCUGUGCACUUGCAGUAGGAAAUAUGGUUAAAACUCUGUGUAUCACUCUCCCAUUUUCAUCCGAGUGGAGGUUUAUGAUAUGUUUAUUUCAUUUAUAUUCUAUAUAAUACAUAAUUUUAGAAUACCUUUUAUUUUCCACCAUUCAUCCAAUUUCAAUCCGCAAACCUCUGGUUUCUCUUUGGUUCUUACACUUAUGGUGGCUGCUUCUUCUAACUUUGUAAGUAUAACAUCGUGUUUUAAUUCUUUCAGUUAUGUUGAAUUGUUUUGUUUUUGUAUGUUAUUGAUGACAAUGAUUGAAUAAAGUUGUAUUUUUUUCCUCCCAGGGUCUACCGAAUAUUAGUACAUCCUGAAGCUUUUUUUUUUAGUUGAAACAAUGUGUUUGGUAUCUUGCGUUCGAAAUAGAAAUAGACAGUGAGAUCAAGCAUUCUUGCUUCUCUUGCUAGCGUUUCUACAUGUGUUGGUAAGUCUUCAAAUAUAAUUGAAAGUAUAUCGUUUAUGCUUUGCUAGCUUUAGUAAGUCCAGCAUAUAAAUUGCCAACGGGUGUGUAACCAUACUUGAUGUUUAGACAAUCACAUGAUUUGUGUGAAUUGCCGUUAAUCAUGUAUGUAUGUACUCUGUAUUUGACUCUCCAUGCAUUAUUCUAUAUAAAACAUGAUAAACAUAUAUAAUAUACGCAACAAAAUCGAAAUAUUGUGUUGCUAAUUUAUGUAGAUAUAUCUUUAAGAAAACAGUUUGUAGCUAUAAUUACAUUACAUAUACCUUUUGGUCAAGAAAAACAUCACCAUACCACAGAGACACAAACAAAAACUAUUCUGAAAUAAAAUCCGCGCGUACGCGCUGAUAUUCCCCUAUUAACUAAUAACUUGAAACUAUUGAUACUGUAUUUAAUACAGGUAAAUCAGCCUUAGUUUUGGCUUGGUUACAUAUACUUCGGUUCGAUUCGUUUCAUUUGCAUUAUUUCAUAAUUUAUAUUUCAUUCGCAUCAUUACUCUCUCUCCAGUCUCCACCAACAAUAUUCCUCUUCACAUUGCCUUUUACAACUUAGAACAUGAAAAAACAAAAGUUUCAAUAUUGCUAUUAAUAUAUUUUACAUCUUUAUAUAUAAAGUAGAAGUGAAAUUUCUUCUCCUUGAGACACAUCAUCAACUACUUCUCCAAAAUUUGACAACUCAUCAUACUCAACUAUCAUAUAACCCAUUUAUUGAUCUGAUUUAUCCAUCCUAAUUUUUUAAUAUCUAUAUCAUAUAUUAUAGUUUUAACUCAAUAUCCACAUUCUUUUAUUAUUUAAUUUUAAUAAUUUAAAUAUAUGUGAACAAGUUUUUAUUAAAGGAAUAUAAAAGGUUUUCUCUUAUAUUUUUUAUUAUAUGACCAAAAAUAAACAUAAUUUAUUAAAAACUGAUAGAUCUCCUAAAUUUUAAUUAUACUAAUUAUACUAACUAAUAUAUAGAUCAUAUAUUAUAGUUUUAAAGAAUGUUUUCUCUAUUGAAUAUAUAUUCAGUAAAUUUAGAUAUAUGUAAAAACGUUUUUCUAAAAGGAAUAUGAAAAGAAUUUUCUUAUAUAUUAUAUUAUAAUAUUAAAACAAAGAUAAUUAAUUACAAAUAAGUAUCCCUUAAAGAAAUAUUAAAGGUUUUUCCUUAUAUUUUAUAUUAUAAAACUAAAGAACAUAAAUUAUCAAAAAUAUGAUAGAUUUACUAAUUUAAAAUUAUACUAACUAAUAUAUUAUAGUUUUAAUUCAAUGUGUUUCUAUUGAAUAUAUACUCAGUAAAUAGAUGAAAUCAGGUAAAAUACAUAAAAUACUAAAAAUGUCAACAAAAAUAUGAAAAUAGAGAAAAUAAACGAAAAAUUAUGACGAGAUUUAAUGGUAAAAUAAUAAAAACGAGAGUUUUGAGAACUAAAAACAUGUUCCAUUAAUAUUUCAUUAAAUUUUCUGAACAAAACGGAGGAUAGGUAGGGGCAAAAUAGAAUAGAAAGAUAAAAGCCCAUCAAAUAAAAAAAAUGAAGACAAAACGAAUCAAUAUACACCGGAAAUUGGAAGAGAAAAAUGAAGACAAUAGAAAAGGAAAACCUAAAAAAACGGGAAUAAAAACAUUAAAAAUAAUAUCAACUAAAAUCAUAAAAAUUAGAGAAGGUAAAUGAAAAAUCAAGACAGGAUUUAAUAAACAUAGGACAAGAACAAUAUUUUUGAGAAUAAAAAAGAUAUUCCAUUUAUAUCUUAGUAAAAUUUCUGAAUAUAAACGGGAUAGCUCGAGAUGGAAUAAGAUUGGAAUAUGAAAGCUCAUCAAAUCAAAAAAAAAAAAAAAAUUGAAGACGAAAUGAAUCAAUUCAUACCGGAAAUUAGAAAAACAAAACAAAGACAAAGGAAAAUGAAAACCUAACGAUAAUGGGAAUCAAAAUGUUAAAAAUAAUAUAAAAUCAAAUCUUAUUGGAUUAAAGCUAUGCAAACAAAAAGCAAAAACAUAGUUAAAUGAAAAUGAAUUUAUUUAAGGUAAAUUCAUUAUAUUAUUAGGUUAAAUUAAUAACAUUGUUCCAUAUGAAAAUGUUGAAAAUAUAUAAGACAAAAAAUCAGAAACAGAUACAAAAUAAGACGGAAAUAUUGGAACUAAACAAGAAUUAUGAAAACCUCUAUCAAAUGACUAAAACACAAUAAUAACUUACAAAACAUAUUAAAAAUUAUUUAAUUAAUCUCUAGUAUUGCAUAAACUCAAUAGCGGAUCAUUACAAUACAUUAUGUAUAUAUAUUAAAAUUGUGAUCACUACAAUAUGUUGUCACGUGGUGUAUUGGUCUCCGUGGGGUUAAUGGGCUGAAAUGUAACGGGUUCGACUCCACCUUCGUGCUGUUAUGUUGUUUUUUUGGUUUUUUUGUUUAAUGAAUUGGAAAAUUACCAAAUUACCCCCGUCGUCUUCUACUUCAUCUGCAACUUUUGACCUAAUUUCCAGCCGCUUCAUUGAUAAUUGUCGAUUUUCUUUGUUUUUCUUGUGCUUUUUACUUCCCCUUUCUUAUUUUCCCGUUCUUCCCCUUUCUCAUUUUCCCUCUCCGAUGUCCCGCGAGAAGAAGAAGAGGUUCGUACCACUGGGUGAUAUUAGCCUCCUUUCACACCAUAAGGAGCGCCAAAAGAAGAAGGAAGCAAUCACAGCUGAGGAUCGACAGACGAAGGUGCAGCUCAUUUGGGAUUUCAAUACUGCUCCUUUGCGUGACAUUUACAACGGUAACGAGUACGAUGUGUCCCAGUUUAUUCACUCUAUCAACAGAGGUCUGCGUCAUGUCAAUGAUAACCUUCGGGUUGAUGAGGAGACAACUUUUGCGGCUGGAGACACUGACCUUCUAAAACCUUCUGACCUUUUGAGCAUCAAAUCACUCUUCAAAGAAGUGGUUCACUGUAAAGAUAGGGAUUACUUAUGCAAACCUUGUCGCGAUAGCGCUGCUGCUCCUCCUGUCAAAACAACUGACGAAGUGAUGUUUACACUUCAAGAAAAACUUCUCGGAGAUGCGAUUCUUCGUGGUUCUCCAGGUGUAAUUCUGCUAAUCUCAGCGGAUUAUGACUUUCACCCCAGUCUAGAUUACUUAAGAAGAGACAAUUUCAUCAUUCUUUUGGCUCAAGCUGAUGACUCUCAUUUGGAUUAUCGCAAUCAUGGUCACUACACCUUCAUUUGGAAGAAUCUGAGAGUUGGAGAACCUCCAACAUAUGAAUGUACCAAUUUUAAGGCAAUUGAUGGUACGAAGGGUGAUGGUGAUACCGUUUAGAGAUUGUUUGUCGUUUGUUGUAGUUUGUCGUUGAUCUCUGUCUAUGUGGUUUAUUUUGUUUAGAGAUGUGGUGUUAUGUAUCGCCGAGGUCUUGUCUCAACGUUAUGUUUUGGACUAUUAUCUUUAAUCAUUUCGGUUGUUGCAACUCCAAAACGCUUAAUUUGAUUUCAUAAAGUUUUUGGUCCAAGUAGUUUGCUUCUUCUUAUUCCUUUCAACUCCUAUAAAGUUUCUGUACAUUCCAGUCGUCAUGAGAUCUCAUAAUCGAAUCUGCAAAUCAGGCUAUUUCCCUUUUUUGUUAUAAAAAGAACAAAAAAUUCAACUCAAGUGUGAGAAAUCAGAAAUCACAACUCCUUUUGUUGUGGUGGACGACGAGGAGUACGGUAACAAACGUAUGUAUCACUCUCUUCCCCUGCUUCUGUUUUCGUCUUCCUUUUCUCGGAUUCAGAGACUUCCCUUCUUAUUCAGCGUAUUGCUUGAAUUCUGUUUUUAGAUUCUCAAAUUGAGGCGAAUUCAACUAUAAGGUGGAUUUUCUGUUCUUGUCACUACCUACCAAAGCUAACGUUCUAGUAAAUUUCAAUUUGAUUUUUGGCUUUAGUAUCUCAUGAUCAGGCGCAAUUGAUCAGGCGUCAGGUGGUUUCUGAAACUAAGGUUGGAUUGAAUAUUAUAGUAUUCAGAUUGCUGAUUCUGUAAGAGGACUUGCGGAGACAGGAAACUCCAACGCUCAAAGUUUAGAUUUUGGCUAUGGGAAGUUUUCAAAUGGAAAUGUGCAUGCUUCUGAUGACACCAAUACAAGUACAUGUACAUCGGGUAAUAGGGGAAAUGGCUUCUCUGAAGAGCCUAUUGUUGUGCCUCCAAGUGAUAUCUUAAGUCGCACUGUAGUUUCAAAACCUGCUCGAGAGUCUCAGAGAAACAAUAGUACUUCUUCGUCGGGCUGGGGCUAUUGAGGGAAAUAUGUGUGCUUCUGCCACUGGUGUAGUAAGGGUGCAGUCGAGAAAGAAAGCAGAGAUGUUCUUAGUCCCAACUGAUGGAGUCUCUUGUACUAGGGAAAAGGUUACAGAGUCCUCGCUAGCCUUCACACAUACAAGUACUCAACAGUAAAUGCUUCUUUGGAAAACUACCCCAAAAACCGCGUCUUACUGCUGAAGAAGCUAGUGCUAGAACUCAUGGAGGAAGCUAAAGAGGUAAACGCUUUCAAGAAGAUUAUAUAAAUUCUCUCUUGUGUAUUGAAGUUGCCUGUAAUUCAGGAAGCCGGUGAAAAGUUUUUCUUCUUUCGAAUUUGUUUCAGGCUGCAUCUUUCUUGUAUCACCAAGAGAAGAUGAAUGUAUUGGUUGAACCUGAGGUGACAUGACGUAUUUGCCAGGAUUCCAGGGUUUGGCUUUGCCCGGACCUUUUACAUACAGGACACGAGGUACAAGAAUAAGUUAAGUGGACAUCAGCUAGACUACUAAUCCACGGCUCAAUUGUGAUCGACUUUAUUUGCUUUUGUUUUAAUUCAGCGAUCUCCAUGGAAGGGUUGAUUUUGUGGCAUGCUUAGGAGCGGAUGGGUUGAUAUUACAUGCAUCAAACUUGUUCAAAGGAGCUGUCCCUCCCGUUGUUUCCUUUAACUUGGGGUCCCUUGGAUUUCUCACUUUACUAACCCUUUCGACAUGUUCUAUUUCUUAACUAUGUCUUACUAUUCUUUUUCUUUCGACAGCCUUCUUAUUAUUUUUAUUUUGUUUCCAUUUAGUUUGAGGACUUCAGACAAGACUUCAAACGAGUCAUCAUCCUUGGGAAUAACUCGCUUGAUCUCUUCGAAUGUUGUAUAUAACUCUUCGAAUGUUGCGAAAUCUUUGUUAAAGUGUUUGAUGUUCUGAACGAGAGUGUUGUUGAUCAACCCAACUAUACCUUUCUAAGAUUGAAUGUUAUGAACACGAUCGUCUCAUCACCAAGGUCUGUACCCAUUUGGUUUAAUUUCUUACGUGAGACGAAGUCUACUUAAUCUUUAAGCAAGUGAGGAGUCUCAGUGCAUGUUGUAAAAAUGACCCCUACAUUGAUAAAAUUUUACAGCUUUUGUGUGUUUAGGUACGAGUUAUAGUACCGACUCCCACAGGAAGAACUGCUUAUUCUACAGCAGCCGGAGGCUCCAUGGUAAACUUUCCAACUUAACUCUGCAUUACAUACUAAAAAGAAUAAACCUCAUUGGCAUCUCAGAGUAAUAUCAUGCCGUUUAUAAUAAAAUUUCAGUGUUCGCAAAUUAGACAUGUAUAAAAUUCAAAAAAUUGCAGGUGCAUCCAAACGUUCCUUGCAUGCUGUUUACUCCGAUCCGCCCACAUUCCAUGUCGUUCAGGCCAGUUAUACUUCCAGAUUCUGCUAAGCUUGAACUGAAGGUCAGACUUUAGAUCUUUAUAGCAAUACACUUUCCAAACUCUCUGCGCUCAUAUAUUUGGAGACCACGUAAUCAAAACCUUUGGGCUUUUUCAUAUUUGCUGUUUCAAAUGCUCACAAAUCUUCUCUAAACAAAAACCGAUUCCAGAUGAUGCUCGAAGCAAUGCAUGGGUUUCGUUUGAUGGAAAGAGAAGGCAACAACUUUCGAGGGGAGAUUCAGUGAGAAUAUACAUGAGCCAACAUCCACUCCCAACUGUCAACAAAUCUGAUCAAACCGGUGAUUGGUUUAGAAGCUUGAUCCCUUGCUUAAAUUGGAACGCCUUGAUCAAAAGGCUCCUUGUUGACUGAUUCAUUCAUCAACGCAUACAAGUCUGUUUGUUUCAGCCAUCCCUCUUCUACUGUACAGAUUCUUAGUCUUUAUAAUUCGCACUAUAAUUCACAAGGGUUUUGUAAAUUUACAGCAGAAAAAAGGUGGUAUUUUAUUUUUUCCUUUGUCAAUUUUGACCCCUCACAAAUUAAAAUGAUACAGUAGAUUAGUCUAUCUACAAAUAUAUAUAUAUAUAUAUAUUAUUUUAUUUUUUUCUUUUGGGAUAAAAUAAGAUUUGCCCUCAUUCUUCUUUUGCCGAAAAUACAAAUUAACUAAAUGUAUUGUCCCAACUACAGUAGAAGGAUGUCGUCCGUUUCAAAUGUACGGCCGUGUUCGUCUUCGGUUAUUCUUCUUGAAAUACGAGGUCUUGUCUCAGCGUUAUUACUUCCAGGUCUAAAACAGAACAUAUAAUAUGGGAUAAUAAACAAAUUGCAAGGUGCAUAUAUCUCUCGUUGGGCCAGACAAAAUGAGAAUAUCAUGGAUAACGAACGACUGCCAUCGAGAUUCAGCCUAGAGUGAGUGCUGGACCAAUCAGGCAUUGCAGACAAGAGCUACAUGCCAAGAGAGCAGUUUGAGCUUGGUCCAAGCUAAACUUUCGUGAUGGCUGCAGCGGUCAAAUUGACAAAAUCAACGUGAAUUCAUGCCAAGAUCCUAGUGCUUAACUGUGGAAUCCUCAACACCACACCUUAUCUGUCAGCCAUGGUGAUAAAUCGCUAUCAGAGAGCUACAAUCAUAGCCCUUAACUGUGGAAUCCUCUUAAUUUACUCUGUAUAAUAUGAUGAUGUACCUCAGAAAAUGUGGGGGCACGUUGAUAGUAAACUCUUUGUGGCCAUUUUUCCCUAGUAACAAAUGUCGACUAGAAAAUCUUAUCUUUAGAACUGUCAAUACAUCUCUUUCUUGCAAAGCUGCUUUAAAAUCAUAAUCCUUUGUGAAAUUGCUAUUUGGGUUUAGAAAUAUAGUAUGUCAAAGUAGAUUGUUAUUGUAAAUAAUCAUUCCAUUUCCACCUAAAAUUUACCUAUUUUCAUGUCUUAAGUUGUUGAAUACAGAUGGUGCAUCACAUACCAAAUGGCGCUUCCAGAUGCCAUAUAAUACUUGCAACUUUGUGACAACUUAAAUGAUUUUUAAUUAUAUUUCUAUAUUUAGAAAAAAACCAUAAAUCACUGACAUAAACUGGAUCUCUGACUCAAAGAACUCAAAAUCCACAAGUGGAUACGUCUUUAUACUAGCAGGGGCAGCAAUUUCCUGGAGAUCUGGUAAACAAACUCUAUUAGCUCGAUCAACGAUGGAAUCUGAGUUUAUAGCGCUUGACAAAGCCGGAGAGGAAGCAGAAUGGCUUUGAAAUUGGAUGGAAGACAUUCCAAUGAUGGAGAAACCAGUGUCAGCAAUACGUGUACACUGUGAUAACCAAGCGGCUAUCGCUCGGGCACUGAAUAAUCUCUAUAAUGGAAAAUCUCGUCAUAUCAGAAGGCGACAUAAGACCAUUAGACAUUUGAUCUCAACUGGUGUGAUCACCAUUGAUUAUGUAAAGUCAGCCGAUAACCUUUCGGAUCCGUUUACAAAAGGUUUGACUCGAGAUCAAGUGCUAAGAUCAUCAAGAGGAAUGGGUUUAAAGCCUGUGAAUUAAGAUGACGUUUGGUGGAAACCCUACUUAUGUGACUGGAGAUCCCAAGAUCUAAGUUCAAAGGGACAACUAAAUCAGACUGAUUCUGCUAAAAGCAUUGUGAGACUUACGUCUCUACCCAACUCCUACGAUGAUAAAACAGUGCUACCUGUAUGUGAUAAAGAUAAGCAAUGGCUUUUAAUGAUUUCAUAGCUAUGUAAGAUAUGUGGAGUAUGACAGGAUACUUCUUAAAAUACAUGCUAAAAGCAGAUCACCUAGUGAGUGUGAAAUAAGGUCGUUUCUAGGAGAAUGAAAGUUAGGCUAUAUUCUCCAAGUUCACUCAUGAAUAACCAGGCAAGUUCAAGGCCAAAAUGAACACAAUAGAGAACUUAGUUCUACGAGAAAUGAAGCUGGGUUAUAGCUGUUGUCUCGGUUUACAUCAAAAUCUGGGUGGUUCAAGACAUCAUGUUCACCUCCCGGCCAAGUAAACCCGACAGAUAUUAACAAUGAGUGGUUCAAGGCUGAAAAAUGCUACUUACUCAGACACAGUUAAUUUCGUUUAUACUCUCGAAAAGUCAGUCUGUCUAGUCUAGUAUAAGUCUUAGUCAGAAUUUUAUCGAGUCUGCAUAAUCGAGUCUGCAUAAUCGAGUCUGCAUAUGUUUAGAGUCAUUUCUAUUCAUGUGGGGGAUUGUUGGACCAAAUUUCGUAAUGGGCAAUUAGGGCCCAAACGAAAUUAAAAAUUUGUGUGAAAAGAAAUGGGCCUCCGGGCUUUAAAUUGAGAAAGCCUUUUAGUAGGCUAAAUUUAAUGAGGAGAAAUGGGAAAUGUCCCACAUCGCCUAGAGGAGCAAAAAUCUCAGUGUUUAUAAAGGCAUGAACUCUUGUUUGUGUUUAAAAGCUGAGGGAGAAGGGAGGACUCCACGCGCGCGCCGCCGCCGCUGUCCGACCGGCUCGACUCUGGGUCUGGGUCUGGGUCUGGGAAUAGGCCCUUUAGGGCCAAACGCGCGUAUAUAUUUUUUGGGGAAAAUUCGUAUGAAUUUUUGGUUCAAUUAAACGAGUCAAUCGAUCGAUCUAUUUUGAGAUCGAUCGUUCCGGAUGCGACACGAGAUCGAUCGAUCUACUUUUAGAACGAUCGAUCCUGAUGCGAAACGAGAACGAUCCAUAUGUUUUCGAACGAUCGUUCUCGGCUUUCUAGAAACAUGUCUAUUUCGACGUGUACGUAGAAGUCGUCGCCAUCCACCCAAGAAAAUAAGUGCACCCUAAAGUCUUGGUCUUCCACUUACCUGAUUUUUCGGGAUCAGAAAACAACUCCUCUUUUGGCUAUAAACGAGUCAUCUUCUUCCUCAUUUUGGUACCGGUUUUCAUCAGAAAAAAGAGAAACCUUACACACAAAAUUGCAUCCAACGAUCGCUCAUAUGGUAAGUCUCAGGAGUAUAUCUUAGUUAUAAGUUCGUAGAUUCCGUUUUGAGUGUUGCAAAACGGUCUCAAACCAGUUGUAUCCUGGGAUUCGAGAAUCGCAACAGAAACCGUCUCACUUGCGGGCUAUUCAUUUGAGUUAAGGAAAAAGAUAUCAUAUCUCGCCUCUGCGUUCAAAUCAGUUUUACAAUUGGCUCGAUUUUCAUCGUCUCUUUUAAAUCGUUUCAAAACAUUUCUUAUAAAUCGUUUUAUAUCAAAAACGUUUUUGAUCCAAAUAAUUCUGUCUCAAACGGUUUUCUCAAUCGGUUUUGGUGGUAUUACACUUCAUACUCGAGAAGGCAGGUCAAAAAAUCGUAGGGUUCCAUGGAAAAGCUAGUGACCAGCUCUAUCAGUUUGGAGUCAGUGUCGCACCCAUCACAAAGUGACGUCUUUGAUCCAUUUAUCAUAUCAAGUUUAAGGCUCUCUUUAGCCCAAAAAAAAAAAGUUUAAGGCCUCUCUCAUCUCCACCACUUUACAAUAACGUGUUUGUUGUCUUCGAUGUUUUUAAUAUGGUGAAAUAAAAUUUGUCUACCACUGUUUCAGGCUAAAGUUAUGCAAUUUCGUCAUUCUCCAACAAUGCCAAACAGAAAAGUAGAUUUUCAUUUUCACAUAGGCAUAAUACCUAGGUUGCAUGGAAACGGAAACGGAUACGUAGAAACGAAACGUGUAGAAACGUGGAAACGGAUUUUUACAAAAUUUUAGGAAACGGGUACGUUUUGGAAACGUACAAACAUAUGCAUAUACAUAUAUUCAUAUAUAACAAUAAACAUCAAAAUAAUAUUAAAAAUAUUUAAAAAAACACUAAUCCAAUGCAUAUACAUAUUAAAUAGUUUAAUGAUUAAGAUUUAUAUUGAAAAAUGUAUUUACAUAAAUUAUUAAAUUAUAUUUUUGAAUUACAAAACAAUAAAAUAUGUCAUAAACUUUCCUAAAUACUUUUUAUUAUGUUUAUUUAACAUAAAAACAAGUUUUCAUCGCGUUUAUAUUUUUGAAACAUGUUUUCACUAUGAUUUUAAGUUGCGUUUUUAAGAAUUGUAAUUUCAUCGAGUUUCCAAUGAGUUUCCAAGAGUUUCUGAUUCCGAAACGUUUCGGAAACGGGAAACGGAUCUCAAACAGAGUUUCCAUGUAACCUAGCAUAAUACCAGUUGAUAAGACUCCCUUUAAACUUAAAGCGCCAAGAUUUUUACCACUUCUGCUUCCUUUUUCUAGUUCUUUGUAGUGAGAUAGAAAGGCAAACACCUGAAAUACACAAUCAUGCUUAAAUAUACUAAGCCCAAUUCGGAAACACAGAGCCGUGCCUAGGUCAAUAGAGGCCGGAGGCGAUACAAAAAUAUCACAAUUUAUGAAAUUUACAAGUGUUAAUUAACAAUAAUGGACAUCAACUAACGAAACAAAUAUUUACAAAAAUAAAUAGUCAUAUAUAUAUAUAUAUAUAUAUAUUUACAAAAAUAAAUAGCCAUAUAUAAUAAAGGAAAUAAAAAAUAAGUUUUUGCAUAAAUCAUACAUUUUUUCCAGACCAUUGGUUUUUUUGUGUUUUUCGGUAAAUCUAAAAUUUAGAAUACAAUUUUACAAUAUUUGAAGUUGUAAUACAAUGUCAGUGCCAAUGUCGAGAUGUUUCCACAGAGCCGUGUCUGAUGUUAUAAGAAAAGAAACAUCUCGACAUUGGCACUGACUCCAAUUGCAUUGGAGAGCAUAUAUUUCAUCGUAUUUGUCCACACAAGUGAAUCCAUAGCAGCAAAUCAGGAUGGUUGCAUCAACACUGAAACAUAACUACUCUGUUCCAUCAAAACAAAUACUGUCGAUACCAACUUCCAACCGUGGAAAUGAUAGUAGUGGUUUAGAUUUCCAUUUGUGCUUGAAGCGAAAAUUCAAUUUCUCGUGUUAAAGCAGCCACCUCAUCAAACCACAACCUAUCAACCUUCCAUUUGCUUUGCUCUGGCCUGGAUUUGUACUUGAUUCUCCAUCAUUUGAGAGAUUUCCGUUUCUUCAAGAACUGAUGCAUCUUGUAUGAAGCAAUAUAUCAAACGAGUGAUGGACAGAAACAAAGAACCAAAUAAUAAGUCAAGUUUCAACAUGUAAACGAUGAUGCCAUAAUAAAGGCCUUUUGGACAAAUCCAACAAUAUUUAUGUCUACUAGAAAGAGCACCAAUGAAUAAUCUCUCAAUACAUAACUAAUGAAACUACAUUCAUAGAAUUAAGGGUAAUAGUCAUUGAUUGAAAUAAUCAAGAAUCAACUAUGAACUUUCACUACUAACUGUAUUUAGUUAAAGAUUUGCAAAAGAAAACAUGAUAGCCCAAUCUCAGAUAAAAUAGUAAAAAGUACCGUAUUCAUUUCUAAAUUAAGAAGAAAUUGUAUGAACAAAUAAUAUACAAACAAUAAAAUUUAUUAACUAUUUUUUAUUGAGUUAGAAGCAUCUUCGACUCAAGUUCGAAAGAAAGGAAAAAAAUACACAGAGGAAACUAGAUUGGUGUUGUCGUUUUUUAUCAGACUGCAGCGAAUUCAGACUUUUGUUGUAGUUUUUUUCUUAUUAAGGAAAACAUAAUUUUGGUUUUAAUGUCAAUCACUUUCGUAUGAACCUGAACAGCAAAAUCACUUCUUGUACAGUAUCAGAUAGUCACAAGAGACACACAGAAAAAUGACUUUGGUUAUGAUUUUCGUUCAGUGUUCAAAAGCUUUUCACAGUUUCAGCCAACGGUUGAGGUUUUAGCAGCAAGAUGAAUCAGUGCUCGUCGAUGAUAGGUAGUACGCAGCUUCUUGUAUUUCUGCACAAAUGCUGCUACAUCAAUUUCCUUCUCUAGGAACUUCUCUUGUAGGGCUUCAGAUUCUUCAUCCGCCUGAUUCAUAGCCUCUACAAAACCCGCAAAAAGGUGUUGUUUAUAAGUGACACAAGAAACUGUCAGGUGAGGUUGUAGCUGUAUAAGUUUACCUUGAAGCCUAUGAAGAAGAGAAUCAGGUGAGUAGAACUUGAGGAUCUCUUCUUUUUGUCUCUCCAGCUCAUUGAGCUUUUCUUGCGCAGUUGCGAGCUCAGUCGUCCGGAUAAUUUUGCACUGUAGAACGAGUCACACAAGGUAAGAAAAGAUACCCAAAAAGCUUAUUAAAAGAGAGUGAACUGAAUACCCACUUGGUUUCUGAGCUCCAUUAUCUGCGGCUCCUUCUCUAAGUUCCCUCCUAUUUACAUUGGACCAGAACAAUGUCAGAUUUCUAGAUGAAACCGAAGCUACUCCUGAAAUGACAGGAACAACAGAGAACUUACUAGCUAGCUGCAAUGUUUCUCUGCGGAGCUCAUCUUUGAUCUGAUGGACAGAAACAAUGAGCACCAGUGAAUAUUCUCAAUACAUAACUAAUGAAGCUACAUUCUUCGAACUAUAAACAACAAUCGUUAUCCAGAGACCAUUAAAAACUGUUUUUAAGACUUACAUUGUUCUGGAUUUUGACCUGGUCAAGAGAGAGCAGAAAUUGCUGAUACGCAUCUUUGUCAGAGAGAAGUUUCCUAAGCUCGUCCACACUACAGAAAAUACAAGAUUUAAAAAAAAAGAAACCGCAACAGAGGAGAGAAGCGUACAAAAACACACACAAUCGAGACAAACCUUUUGUCUUUCAAAAGCGCAAUAAUGCCAGCUGCUUCACCAGGCGAAACGUGUGCUGGAGUCUGACCAGAUGUUUGAGGCCGUGAUGAACUUGAGGAGCUGACUAGAGAAGGCGAGUACCAUGGCUGCUGAAACAUAAUCUCGGAGGAGGACGAGAUUGCCCUUGUUGCUCUUUUGAUCCCCUUUGAUGUAAACACAAGAGAAACAUAAUCAUUUUAGCACUAAAUCAUUUCAAGAUAUACACCUAAGAGAACACAAAACUUUCUUUCUCGUCAGAUUUACUCCAUUUCAAAUUAGAGGAAGGUGCAGAACAUCAAAACAAGACACCAACAGCAAUAGCAAGACUAUAUAAUACAGUACAACAACAUUCCAAAAACCCUAAAUCAGCAACACAAUCCUCAAUUGUUAAUUACACAAACAACCCAAUUUCCUUAAUCAGCGAACAACAGACCUAAUGUCCGGAACACACGUAUCUGAUUCUCUAGUUAGGAUAUUACCAGAAAUGGAACAUCGUUGUCAGAAAUUAGCUUUUAAAACAAAGCUUUGUGUCGGAAAGACUUGUUCCUUUUCGUUCUUCUCUGCCUAACCGGAUCGACCAUAUUACAGAACUCCAAAAGAAUUAGGAUCGAAGAAGUGUUGAAACUUGGAUUCGUCAACAACGAGACUUUACUUUUUUUGUAUUUAUAAGGUUCUUUAAUUUUAUAAUACGAAUUGGUUUUGGUUUUCCCCUGAUGGGCCUUAUCGUUCCGAAGGCCCAUAUACGAACGAUUUAGUUUGACUAUUAAUACGCCGCCGUUUUAAGUUGUCGUCGUCCUUAUCCACGCCUAACGGCCCGCGUUUAGACUCGUAUGUCAAAUAUUUCUGCAUCGUAGCUUCGAAAAGAGUUCAUCAAUGGGUUGAAACUUUAAAGAGAGAAAGAGAAACAUAUAUAUAAUCAUUUACGAAGAAGAAUGGAGUCUUCUCUGUUUUUACAAUCUCCCUCUUCUUCUCUAUUCACUGCAAAGUUUAAUCGUCUUCCCUCUCCAAACCCCAAACUCUUCUCAACUUCAUUCUCCAUCAAAUCCUCCAUAGAGAAACCCAAACCAAAACCCAAAUCCGAUACCAACCCAUCGAAAUCCCAGUCAUUGGUCAGCCCCGAUUGGCUCACGUCACUCACUCGUACCAUUUCCUCGGGCCAGAACGACGAUUCGGGUAUACCAAUCGCGAGCGCGAAGCUCGACGACGUCUCUUCUUACCACUCUACAAAUGGAUGAUCGUGUACGGUCCCAUUUACCGUCUCGCUGCUGGUCCUCGUAAUUUCGUGGUGGUGAGCGAUCCAGCGAUUGCGAAACACGUUCUGAGAAACUAUCCGAAAUACGCUAAAGGGUUAGUCGCUGAAGUCUCCGAGUUCCUUUUCGGGUCGGGUUUUGCAAUCGCCGAAGGACCUCUUUGGACGGUAAGUAAUUUUCAUCUUCUCCCCAAUGUGUAUUUGUCCUGUAUGAUAAGUAAACCCUUAAUCGUCUAAUUUAGGUUUAAAGAUUCCAGCUUUUUUGCAAAUUUGGUUGAUAUUUCUCUGCAGAAGUAAAUGUGUCACUGUCUUGUAUGAUAAGUAACCCUUUGAUCAUCUAAAUUUAGGUUUAAAAAAUCUAGCUUUUUGCAAAUUUGGUUGAUAAUUCUCUGCAGCAGUAAAUGUGUCAUUGUCUUGUAUGAUAAGUAACCCUUUAAUCGUCUAAUUUGAGGUUUCAAUUCUCUGCUGAUCUUCUCUAUGGGGGCCUAGUUUUGUACCAAUUUGAAACCGUUGACGUUUGAUUAUUGAUGUUAGGCAAGGCGAAGAGCGGUGGUUCCCUCACUUCACAAGAGGUAUUUGUCUGUGAUUGUGGAGAGAGUGUUCUGCAAAUGUGCAGAGAGGCUUGUUGAGAAGCUGCAGCCUUAUGCACAGGACGGAAAAGCUGUGAACAUGGAAGAGAAGUUCUCUCAGUUAACUCUCGAUGUUAUUGGCUUAUCACUUUUUAACUACAACUUCGAUUCACUCACUACCGAUAGUCCUGUGAUCGAAGCUGUUUACACUGCUCUUAAAGAAGCUGAGCUUCGUUCUACUGAUAUUCUACCAUAUUGGAAGGCAAGUUUUGUGUUUUUCCUCGUUUGUUCAAUUCAGCACACUUGGAUUCUUGUUGAUUCAGAGGCUUUGAUGUAUUCAGAUCGAUGCAUUGUGUAAGAUAGUUCCGAGACAAGUGAAGGCUGAAAAGGCUGUAACUUUGAUAAGGGAAACCGUUGAAGACCUCAUUGCUAAGUGCAAAGAAAUUGUCGAAAGAGAAGGCGAAAGAAUCAAUGAUGAAGAGUAUGUAAAUGAUGCUGACCCAAGUAUCUUGCGGUUCUUGCUCGCAAGCAGAGAAGAGGUUUAACCUUAGUUUCCUUCCGGUUAUAAGUACAUUUGGCCUUUCAUUAUAGCAAAUCGAAGCUAAUUGUCGUGGGAUUGUGCGGCUUUUCAGGUGUCAAGUGUGCAGUUACGAGAUGAUCUUCUCUCAAUGCUUGUUGCAGGUCAUGAAACCACUGGAUCUGUCCUCACUUGGACCAUUUAUCUCCUAAGUAAGGUAUCUUUUUUUAUCUUCGACUUUCCUAUGCCACUUGCAAAGAACUUCUCUGUUUUCAUUGAUGAGUAAUCCUUUUGCCUCUUCAAACUCUUAACUUGAAUAGAAUCCAUCUGCAUUGGCGAAAGCACAAGAGGAAGUAGACAGAGUUUUAGCGGGGAGAAACCCGGCUUAUGAGGAUAUAAAGGAGUUGAAGUACAUCACUCGUUGUAUACUCCUGUAAGCAAUCAAGCUCAGGGAUAUAUAUAGGGAUAUAAUAAGGGAAAGCUAGCUUUGGGAAAAAAGCUAAGCUUCUCUAAUCUUCAUGAGCUUGGUUUCAUGAUAGGUCUUUUUUCUGGUAGGUCUUGAUAAGAAGAGCUCAAGUUCCCGACAUUCUUCCCGGGAACUACAAGGUUAAUUCCGGACAAGACAUUAUGAUUUCGGUCUAUAACGUCCAUCGUUCAUCCGCGGUAAAGUUCUCUUGCUUCCUUCUCCCAUAUUAACAUUUAGGGGAACCCAUCCGGUCCCUGGUUUGAUCUUGGUUCGGAUUUAUCUGUAUGGUUUCGAGUUUCAUUUAGAUGUGUUUGUUGUUCCAAGGUAUGGGAAAAAGCUGAAGAAUUUCUGCCUGAACGAUUCGAGUUAGAAGGCGCAAUCCCCAACGAAACAAACACCGAUUUCAAGUAAACUCAGUACCAUACAUGUUUUGACGCAAACUAUUGAAUCAAGUUUUAUAUUUGCUUAGAUAGGUUAACGAUGAUUGAUGAUUUGUUUUCACCAGAUUCAUACCGUUUAGUGGAGGGCCUAGAAAAUGUGUAGGCGAUCAGUUUGCAUUGAUGGAGGCAAUUGUGGCACUCGCGGUCUUUCUCCAGCGCCUAAACGUUGAGCUGGUUCCUGAUCAGACCAUUAGCAUGACCACUGGAGCAACCAUACACACCACCAAUGUAUGAAUGAAACUGUUCUCAAACUCUAGAUUAUUCAGAGUGUCUGUUUUGUAAAGAAUGAUUUCAAUUUCUCUGAUGCUGUUUUUUUUUUUUUUUUUUUUUUUUUUUUUGAACAAAUUCUCUGAUGCUGUUUUAUUUAUUUAUUUAUUACAGGGAUUGUAUAUGAAGGUGAGCCGAAGGUGAGCCGAAGGUAAACCAGAAUGUCGCAGAUGAAGUUCGACUCUAUUUUCAUCUGUCUGUCCCUUUUUUUUUCUUUUUAGUCGAAUAUCUGUCUGUCUUUAUGAUUAUGAUUUUUUUUCGUUAUACCAUCAUGAUUCAUUGUUGUUUAAGGACUUGUUACAAUCUUUUUGUACUCUAGUAUUACUAGUGAUCUAGAUUUUGACCCGGGCUUCCGAAGACCGGAAAUAUAUUUUUGCUAAAUAUAUUUUAAUUUAAUAUAAAAUAACAUCUAUAUUUUAAUUUUUAAUUUGCUGAAUUCUUUAAUUUUUAGUGAUAUUUAUUUAUUUCAGAUAAUAUAUUUAUAAAUUUAAUUUUUUAUUUGUUAAAUGUUUAUUUUUAAUGUAGGUGUUUUAUUUCAGAUAAUCUAUUUAUUAAAUUAUUAUAUUUUAACCCGUUAGCGAACAAUAUAUUUUAGUUUUUUCAUUCUUUUAACUCGUUUCACAGUGAUCUAAAUAUUUUGCAUGUUUGAUAGUUAACCCUGUAAUGGGUAUCAUUUCAUACAAAAAAAUAUUAAUCUCAACCCAUUUAUCAUAUUAUCAAAUAACACAAAUAUUAAGUAAUUUAUUAUAUUUAAAUUUUAUUAAAUUAAAAAUACUUCUAUUUACUUCUAAAUAAGAAUAAUUUGCGUAUUAAGUUAUUUUAUUUACAUUACCAUUUAAUUUAAUUAUUAAACUAUGCUUAUGGAAUAUAUAUAUAUAUAUAUAUAUAUUAUAGGAUUUUUGUUUUUCGUUUUAUAGAUAAAAUUUUAAUUUAAUAACUAGGCUGCCCUAGGUUUUCUUCACUUCUUUUUUUUUUACGGUCGUUUAUGUUUAGUUUAGUUCAUGGUAGUUAUUAUUUCUAGGUUUUAGAUUGAAAUUUUUUUUGGGGGUUGUUUGUUGUUGUUGUUCCUUUGUUCUCUGAAUUUGCUAUGAAACUGAUCUUUUGGUUCAAUUUUUUAGGUUAUCGAGCAAAAGACAGAUCUUUAGGGAGUUUGACGGCACAUCUACAUAUGAGGUAAUUGGUGUUAUUUGGUUAUAUUUUUUUUCUGCUUAUUUGGUUAUUUUGAUUUGCUUAUUACGUAUGAAUAAGAUGUAUAAAUGCUCUCUCUUUCUUAAUAGUUUCAUCGUGGAUAUGUCAAUUUGAGGGGAUAAAUUAUUCAUAUGUCAAUGUUUAUGGGUUUAUGUAAUUAUAUUUACCUAUCUUCCGGUGGGGAAAAUUAGGGUUUUAAUUUUACUGUCAUAUAUAAACAAGAUGUACAAAAGAAGUUUGUUUGUGUUCUGGAGGAUUCAACUAUCGACUACCACGGCGUGGCUCCCUCCUCUCAAGACGAUGGGUGUUUACACGGUAAAAUAAAUAUAUCAAAAUCUGACUUAGAGUUCUUGCAUAUAUCUACUUCCAAUUAUCAUACAGAUGUUAGCAAUUAACCGAGACAAAUCUGAUUGGAAAAGUUUCUUCCCUAUCAGGUUGUCGGAAGAGCUUUCCCGACGAGAAGGAGCUUCAACGUACAGGAUGAAGCUUUGGGCCCCGAAUGAGGUUUGAGCUCAGUCCAAGUGCAGGUUAGUAUAAUUAUUUUAUUUCGCACUUAGUUUUGCAAUUAAGGUGACAAACAUUAGGUGAAGAAUCUUUAAGUGAAGCUCAAGAUUUACCUCCACCACGCAGGAAUGCGAAUGUGAAGAGUUCACGAGACUCAGGUCUUUCUUCUCAAAGAAAAAUUGUGUUUCUAAUUUUGAAAACUCCCCGCCAAGGAGACCAAACAGAGAAUCACCGCCUCCUCAAUCAAGAAAGUGGCAACGGAAGUCGGGAUUAAUUAGUGGCGAAGGCAUUGGAAUUGAAUAUCAAAAGAAAAAGGAGGACGAACAACGGAGGUAAUAAUUCAAAAGCAGACUAAUAAGACUGUAUUUGCUGUAUUUUAUUUAUAGGCAUCAGGUUUGUUUCAGUAGUGUCUUAUAAAACCUGAGUUUCAUAUUUACUAUCUGUUUCUAUGUUUCUAGGAUAGCAGGAUUGCAUCAUUACCUUUCCUGGUUUUUUUAGGUUCUCCAUUCCUUUUUUUUUAAAAGGAUUUUGUCUUUUCUAUCCCUUCAAGUAGGGAUUCAAAGAGAGAUCAGUCUCCACUUUACGACUUAGGCUGCUAUAUUUUUUUAAACAAGGUAUAUACUCUACCUUCUACAGGUUUAAAGAUAUGGAUUCCGAGCUAACUGGUCAGAAUUCAAAAGCAGUGUUCCGUGACAAAAGAUCACAGGUAAUGACUAUAGUGCCUUAGUCAUUAUAGGUUGCAGUGACUGUAUAACCACAUGAUUCACUCCCAUAUAUAUGGUUAUUUAUUGAUACUGUAGGGAAGCGUAUAUCAAAAGAAGAAUAAGUCAUUUGCUCGGACCAGGUAUUGUAUCGGUUUCUUUCUCAUGAGCCUGAGGUUGAGCCAUAGUUGUUAUUCAAAUGGUUUGUAUUUCAUUCGAUUGAAAGAGUAGAGGUUCGAGUGUUCUUUGUUUAAUCGCUGCGGUUUUCUGAAAAACGGAUGACUGUUUGAUGAAAUUUAAGAGAAUGCUAAUUAUUUUAUUGCUUUGUCUGGACACGCGUUGUGGAAAAAGAAUUGGCAAAUAGCAAAUGGAUCUCACUGAUAGUUUUGUUGCUUUGUCUGGACAUGCGUUGUUAAUAAAGAACUGGUAAAUAGCAGAUGAAUCUAAUUUGUCUAUGUUACUGUGUAUAUUAUUUUCAAGAAUAUCAGGAUGUCGGUGAUCACCUUCAUCGUCUGAAAUUAUAUAUUCGGUUGCUGAAUAUACUAGCGGGUAAAUGACUUUUAUUUGUAGUAUAUAUAAUGUACGUUCCUUGAUUACCAAAAAUCCAAAUAUAUAUAAUGUUCCUGUGUAUAUCCCCGUUGAGAUUUGUUAUUUACUGCAUAUAUAUAUAUAUAUAUAUAUAUGUGUGUGUGUUAUGUAUAUCUGUAAACAUGGUUACUUGGCUUUAGCGUUUAUUCUAGAAUGUCCGGGUUUUUUCGUUUUAUAUAUCGUAAAAUUUCCUAAACAUAUGACGUUUCGGUAAAAUCCGUAUCCAAUUUGUUGAUACGUCUCUAUGGUUCGUGUAUAUCUUCUAAUUGGUGAGGUCUAUAUAUACCUAAGGUGUGGACGAGUUUGGUUUCAUAGCCGAUUGGACGUGCGUUCUCUCAACCCUAGCGCUUGGUUAGUUUGUGGUUUGUCUAUCUUUGAUUAAUGCAUUUUUCUAUGUUGUUGCGUUUCUCUCAAGUUUAUUUUUGCUGUUACGUAGAGUCCUCUGCUUUCUGGCGAGCUAUGAACAUGGACAUGCUACCUUUCUUUCUUCCGCGUCAGCAGUCUUGCAUCUUUAGAGAGGAAAACGAUCCUUCGAGUUAUCCUGGAAAACAAUUUACUGCUUGGAUGGAGACUAAUAGAAAUGGUGCUGAGACUAGAAAUUUGAUGUAUAUGGAAUUUCAUUCUAAAUGGAUUUGGGAUGGAAAGACGAGGAAGUGGUGUCCACUUCUAAAAGGAACUAGGGUUGGGGCUCAGCGCGAUUUAUUUUGAUCCAGAAUAUUAUUGUUACCUAUUCUAACAGUCUUCCAUAAAUUUAUUGAUUACCUUAUAGAUUUAAGUUUCUUUUUUUUUAAUGUCAACCGAUAAAGUUUAGUCAUUAGAAUGCAUGCAUGGUUUUGGAAACGUAUGAGCCUACACGAGAGCGGUAAAAUACGAGCGUUUUUCUCGGCAUUAUCGUUAAAUUGGCUCCUUGGAUCAUUGGGCCCAUUAGAAAGUUAUUUGGUAGAUGAUCCCGUAGAAAAUAUUUAUAAUGUAUAUGUGUAUAUGCUGCAUAGCGUAAAUAAAAAUAUAUAUAUAUAUAGCAAAACAUAAUUAAAAAUACGCGGGAAUGAUAGAACACAGUAUGCGGAAUUUUGAAAAAAAAAAGAGUAAUUGAAAUCGGAGCUCAGUUUAAAAAGGAUAAUGAUGUUGAUUCAUCAAAAUGGGUGAAGAGCAUUUAUCUUUAUCCCUAACUAUUUAUAAUUACUUGCCUUCUCACUUUUCCUUUUCAAUUUAAUCACCAAGUAAUUUUCCUCUGAUUUUCUGAUGUGUAUAGUUGAUUUGCUGUUUUGAUUUUUUUUUUUCACAUCAUUAGAUCGAUCGGUGAAUGUAGGAUAUCUGCCUUAUAAUUUAGAUUUAUGCAGCUUUUAUCAGAUAAGAGUAAUGGCUAUAUAACUAUUUUGGGGUAAUUUUGUUUGUAGUUGAUCUUAUUAGAAAAUAGAAAGAUAUAAAUAGCAAGGUUUAGUUUAUAAGUAAUGACAGAGGCCACUAUCUACAAUUGGGGUCACUGUCGACUUUCAUCACUGUCGACUGUCAUAUAUGCAUUAAAAAGAGGUCUUCCUCACGCUCACAUAGUCCUUUUCAUGGCGCAUGAUCACAAGCUCCGGACGGCCGAGAAGAUCGACAAUAUAAUAUGUGCAGAGAUGCCUGAAAAAGACUCGGAACCGCAUCUAUAUGAGGUUGUUCGCGACGUGAUGAUUCAUGGGCCAUGUGGUGCAGUAAAGAUUGUAUGGGAUGAGGCAUUGAUGAUGAAUAAAGAUUGUUUCGAGACUCUGGAUAGGACGAUGCGUGCUAUUUUAAAAUGUGAUAAGCCUUUUGGUGGCAAGGUGGUUGUUUUCGGAGGAUAUUUUAGGCAGAUCUUGCCGAUCAUUCCUGAUGGUGGUCGGACAAAGAUAGUUUUGGCUGCAUUGAACUCUUCACUUCUUUGGUCUCAUGUCAAGGUGUUGAAGCUAACAGGGAAUAUGUGCCUUAUCCCUGGAGGCAAUAGCCAUGAGAUGAUUGAACUCAAAUAUUUCUCUAAGUAGAUCAUGGCAAUAGGAGAUGGGAUCAUCGGCAAAAAUGAUAACGGUGAAUCAGAGAUCGAGAUUCUCGAAGAUCUGUUGGUUGUGAAUUGUGGUAAUCUUGUGAAAACGAUUGUGGCCGAGAUUUAUGGGGAGGCAUUUGACAAGGAGGGUGAUCCAGCAUUCUAUCAACGGAGGACCAUACUUAGUUAGUGUCACCUCGACGUGACUAUAAUAAACGAUUACAUACUAACGCGUUUAUCAGGUAGAUGUUUUUAUAUAUGUGUGCUCAGUGUUUUAGUAGGCUUUCGUCUGAGAUCCUUUUAAAUUUUGUAUUUAAUAUGCAAGAACCCGAGAGGAUCUUUCGGAGCUGCGACAGUAUCGAUACUACUGAUCGAGAAGUUGAUGAUAUCAAUGAGCCAUCGGAGAUACCGUCGGAGAGUGUUGAGAUUCCAGAUCAGCCGAAUACCAAUAAUAUGAUCUUUACCGAUGAGUUUCUGAACAGCCUAUUAUGAUGCUGAGGAAUAUCGAUCCUCCGGGAGGACUAUGCAACGGCACCAGACUGCUUAUUACUGCGUUAGGUGGACACGUCAUUGGAGCUAAGAUCAUAACUGGUGAUAAGGCCGGCAAAAGGGUCCUCAUUCCUAGGAUAUUUCUAAUGCCGACUGUAGGAAAGUUCCAAGCAGUUCCCGAUCGCUGUGACAUUUGCAAUGACUAUAAAUAAGAGUCAAGGACAGACGCUAGAUAGAGUGGGUUUAUAUCUUCCAAGACCCGUUUUUACUCAUGGUCAGCUUUACGUCGCCGUUUAUAUGGUAACUUCUAUGUCAGGGUUGAGGAUUCUGAUUACCGAUGAAAAUGGUAGACCACAGCGCAAGGCAGUUAAUGUUGCAUACAACGAGGUGUUUCAAAACAUAUAAGGUUAGAUCGAUGGUUGGUGGACAAAUUUGGUUUGGUGAUUUGGUUGCGACGAGACGUUGGUGAUGAGCAGAGAUUGUCGAGACUCGAGAUCUGUUUCUUCCUAUUGUUUUUAUUUAUGUUUGAGACCUUGGUAUCCAGGUUUUUUUUAUGGAAUUUUUGUUGCAAUUUUAGACUAUAUUUUUGUUUAAGACUUUGGUAGGAAUCAUAUGUUUAUCGUUCUCUCAUAAAAAAUGAUUUAGAACCGUAUAAGCCCCGGUUUAAAGAUUUGCAUGGAUUUGAUUUCGAGGCUCUUGAAAUACAUGGGAAAAAUAAUUGGACUGGAUCCACGUUCCAAUUUAUAAUGGGCUCUUUUCAAAAUUUGUAUAGUUUAAUAAUGAUUUUGGGCUAAGCGGUCCAUAAUUGCAUGGGCCCGCGAAUGACAGCCAAUCUAUACAGUAGCCAUAUCUAGAAAUGUUAAUAUAGGCUUUUUCGCCUUUUAAAUGAGUUUUUAAACUUGAGUUAAAAUCCCAUUUAGUUUAGAAAGCUUAGAUAAAAAAACAUUUAAACCCCAAUCAUUAAAUAGGGGUCCGCGAAGCCCAUGAGGCGAAAAUUUAGAGAGAAUAGUUGCAAAGAAUUGUCGUUCAUUUUAGGCACUCUAACUCAUUUGACUCCAGCUUUCUAUUCACUCAUCCAGAUGUUCGAAUGAUUGUGACUGCAAAUGUCGUCGACUCAUGGGACAAUUUACGUGAGCAUCCUCGAUCAUCUCGAAAUCGAUAGCAGCGUCGUUUAUCCUGCAUUAUAUUGCACGGCGAUCCUGAUUUAGUAAAUGCUAAACAGACACAUGGUACCAUAAUUAAAAGUGUGGCUCAUCGAGAUACAAGUUCUUGGUACGCCCAACGCAAUGCACCUCAUAUCCUGGCCACUGAUCGACGAGGACCGAAAAGACAACAAUAAAUAGCACAUUGUGUAAAAGAAUUAACUAUCAAUGUUAUAAAAGAUUUUUUGCCAGAAAAACAAACUCAGGACGAGAUCAUAUCGAAGAAAAAUGGAUGGCAACAGGUUUCGAACAUGGAUUUAGUUUUGAGAGUCUCGAAAUACGUAGGGAACAAGAUUGGGCUGGAUCCACAUUUUGGUUCGUAUUGGGUCUUUUUCAAAUUUUGGAUCGUUUAAUAAUGUAUGGAGUUUCGACGUCCAUCUAAACGUGAAAUUUGAGCUGAGAGGCCCAUAGUUUCAUAGGCCUACGAUUAACAGCCAAUCUCUGUAGUAACCACCUCUAGAGAUGUUAAUAUGGGCUUUUUCCGUGGGUUUUAAAUGAGAUUUUAACUUGAACAAAUUCUCAUUUGGACCCGUUUAGCUAAAAAGGCUUAAAUAAACAAGCAUCUAAAACACAUCCAUUAAACGGGGGUCGCAAAGCCCAUUUACUUUACACCAUUAAUAAUAUUAAAAAAAUAAAUCCAAAUGUUUGCAAAUCAUUGUAAAACCAAAUGUUUGCAAGACAUUGUCGAUCAUUUUAGGCCCCCUAACUCAUCUGGCUCUGUCUUGCGAUUCACUCAUCCAGACGUUCGAAUGAUUGCGACUAAGAGUAUCGUGGACGCAUUGGACAGUUUAUGUAAGCAUCCUCGAUCAUCUCGAAAUUGACAGCGGCAUUAUUGAUCUUGCAUUGUAUUGCACAGCGAUCCUGUUUUAAAAAAUGCUAAACAGACACAUGGUAUCACAAUUAAAAGUGUGACUCAUCGAGAUACAUGUUCUUGGCGCGCUUGGCUUCUUCUAUAGGUGGAUCGAGAUCAGUGUCUUAUAACUCGGGUCCAGACGUGCUCAACCAAAUAUUGCCUAUGAACAGGGUUUAAACCACGUGAGUUGAAAAAAAUUCCUUAGUGAGUGAUCGGUUUGCAUCGUAUAUUAAGUUGUGGUACCUUCGGAGACCAUGACCCUCCAGAACCGCAUAACACAUAUGCAUUUAUCUGCUAUGUACUGAUUAUACCAUAGAGUCUCGAACUCGAUAGCAUAUCUCCCCAGCGCAAUGCACCUCAUAUCCUGGCCACUAACCAACGAGGAUCGAAAAGACAACAAUAAACAACACAGUAUGUAAGAGAAAAGACUAUCAGGAUUAUAAAAGAUUUGUCACCGGGAAAACAAACACAUGUCAAAAUCGUCGCGAAGAAAAACAAAUAGCAACUGUUCUCGAAUGUAGAUACAAAAUAUUCACCUAAAAUCUCUCAGUGUAAAUUCAAGUUUAUACUUCAAAUCCAUAUCACGGUCCGCUGUAAGUGUCUCAUCAUUAGAAAAUUUACCAACUCUAACGACAACACCGAGUACAUCAACUACAAAAACAGGGAAACAUCUAGAUUGUCAGCUACAUCGAAAAAACUGUAUACACAAGACAGUAUAGAACCAAGAUCAUAGAAUCUGCCUGCAAAUAUACUAUGUGGUGUAGCGGAAGCUACGAUAGAACAAGGAUUCGUUGAUCCGAAAAGGAUAUCCGAAACACUUGUGAUCUUGGGAUCGUUGAUUCCACAAGGAAUAACCGAAAACAAGAAUAAUGGAGAAACUCUCUCUCUUUUAUUAAUUCAAUCAAAAUACUGACUAAUAAGAAACAUAUACGAUCCUAUUUAUAAUAGGAUAGAGAUAAGCUUAAAUCUAACUAACAACUAACUUGAUAAUAUUCUCUUUGCUAUAGAUUAUCAAUAUAGUUAAAUAAAACCAAAAAUAGAAUAAAUCCUAAAUCAAAUCCUAAUACUUGAAACCCACGUAAAAUAUCUCUUCUGACGCUACAUCAGGUCUCCCGGUGUAAGAGAAGAUUCGCCCUCGAAUCUUGAACCUCCAAUGCGUCCACAAACUUAAACUAUAAAAAUUGCCCAUUUACGAUCUCGAGCGUCAAACUUCUUCGAAAGCUUGAAAAUAUUUGUAAAAGCUUUGCGUGUAUUGUCGCACUGUCGAGAUGUCAAGCAAUGAUUUCUUUGAAGGGAAAAACAAUUACCACGAGACUUCAGUGGAACGUUUGCUAAUAUCCACCCUCCACGUGGUGCCUCUGUCAACGCAUUAGAACACGUAAUGUGAAGAAACAAUGUUGAUCCGGUGGAAGUUUCAAAAGCUUCAUCACCAAAGACAUAAUCGAUGGCUUGGACGUCUUCUCCACCGUAUACCUCACUAAGCGGAUCUACCUCAUCAAGGAAGUCAAAGAUUGGAUCCACAGCAUCAAUGAUCGGAUCUGCAUCAUCAUAGACAUCAAAGAUUAGAGGACCAUGUAUCUCGAUAUAGAGAUCUUCACCACCUUCUUCAUCUUCUUUGUCGAAAAGUGGAUCAUCACGUUGGGGCAAAACCAAUGGUUGUUGGUUCAGCUGGAGUACCAUACGUAAGGCAGCUUCCACGGACUGCUGCACCACAACACAUAAAUUUUGUUGAAACUCAGCCAAUACUUCUAGCAAGGCGUUAGCUUGCUUGAUCCUCCGUCGUUGGAGAUUCUUUCUUGGCGGCAUGAUAAAAGAACCGUUUUAGCUCUGAUACCAAAUGGUGUAGCGGAAGCUACGAUAGAACAAGGAUUCGUUGAUCCGAAAAGGAUAUCCGAAACACUUGUGAUCUUGGGAUCGUUGAUUCCACAAGGAAUAACCGAAAACAAGAAUAAUGGAGAAACUCUCUCUCUUUUAUUAAUUCAAUCAAAAUACUGACUAAUAAGAAACACAUACGAUCCUAUUUAUAAUAGGAUAGAGAUAAGCUUAAAUCUAACUAACAACUAACUUGAUAAUAUUCUCUUUGCUAUAGAUUAUCAAUAUAGUUAAAUAAAACCAAAAAUAGAAUAAAUCCUAAAUCAAAUCCUAAUACUUGAAACCCACGUAAAAUAUCUCUUCUGACGCUACAUCACUAUGCAACGUCGAGCUCUUCGAGAUCUCUUCAAAUGUCGAGAAAGAGUAGAUACUAAACCAUUUUUUUUUUCUUUGUGCGCUCGAUCGAAAUUUUACGGUCGAAAUAGAUACAGAGGUUAUGAAGAGUCAGUCUAAACGCACUCUGUUCUUUCAUCACUCUAAAACGACCAAUAUAAAACCAUCGUCCUUGGUUAAUCAUCUCUUUAAAAGAUUCCCACAGUGAAUCUGGUACAGAGGCUACAAUCCUUGAACCCUACACAAGAGCUAGCAUCAAUCGAAAAGCUCCACAUCAACGUGCAGUUAAUUCUUUUACGGAUGGGAAUAACAUUAUACAUUAUCAUCGGAAAGCACAAUUGAAUACUGCUUCUCGCAUUUCACCGAUGAUUCGAUAAAAACUUUGACAACGAGUGCACAUAUACGCCAGUCUAUGUUGUUGAGUUCAAGCUUGGAAACCAUUGAGCACGGCGACAUGGCAUGAUCACCCUCUAGGAGCUCAGCACAAAAGAUAUAUCAGUAAAAUAGCAUGAUUUAGCACUCUAGAACUGGCAGUUCGGAUAUACCUGUAAAAUAAUUCUUGGAAAAUAUGUGCCGCAGUAAAUCGGGUACACGCCAAAAAUGUCUCUACUAAUCAAAUCAUAAAAAGACGUUUAAUAAAGUAACGUUUCAGAUACCUUCAUGCAGCGGUGCGUCGUUUCAAACCGGAGGUUUUCUAUCUUGAUCCGGUUUAAAUCAUCAUUAAUAUAAGCAUAAACUGUUUUAAAUCGUGAUAAUGCAAGAAUAUCUUUUUUUUUAGAAUUGUGUUUGGGUUCUGAUUAAAAGGAUUGCAUUAUAAUUAAAUUUAGGAUAAUAAAGAAUAUGGUGGAUUAGGAUUAAAAACGUGGUUUAGAUUUCUUGGACUAGAGCGAAUCUUUGUUGAUGUUCUAUAUGCUCUCCUCUUGAUCGCUUAAAUUUAUAACUUUACAUAUUGUGGAUAAUUUUGUGAAUGUAUUAUGUAACUUAUAUAUUCUGAAUAUGACAGAUGAACACUAUUGAUAUAAUAUUGACUAUAUGCGUGUCUUUUAAUUGUAUGGAUAAUCAUAAAUUUCCUAUAAAAUAUUGUCGAAGAUGAGUGGUUUUGAUUUUUGUUCCUUUUCUGUAUAUAUCAGAAAGGAAUAUAUACAAAAGAUAUAUUAAUAAUUUGGGUAUAAAUGGUUUUUAGAGAUUGGGAACAUUGGUAUACAUAUUGUUAAUCAUGGCACAUCUUUUAUGUUGUGUUAUUCAUAGGACCUACGAUAGGUAUCUUGGCGGUGUUUCUGACCUUGAUCCUGAUGUUUACGUGUGGAGAAUCAAGGGAAAGGUGAUACACAAAUUCAAACACUGUUCUCACCAACAAAGGUUUGUUUCUGAUUUUCCAUAUUUCAUGAACUGUUUUGUUAGUCGCAGGAUCUAUGGUCUGUGCAGGUCUAUGAGCAGUUUUUUUUUUGACUCCAGGGUGAUAGAAUUCAUGCUUCAAUUUUGAAUGGUGACAUUGAGUUAUUCUCUACGUGUUUCCACGUGGGAGAUUGGGUUUUAUUAGUGAAUUUUGACCUCUUGCCCGUUCAAAGAGAAUUUAGACCAGCAAAACAUAAAUUUAUGAUUCAGUUAAAGAAAGAAACACCGUGCACCAAAAUCUUCUCAAUGGAAUCCAGUAAAUUUCUUAGUUUGGUUGAUUUGGAGGACGUUUUGGAGAAAGAGUUUAAUGCAGACCACUGCAUUGGUUAGUCUUCUUUAGCUAAUUCUCUGCUUUACACGAUGGUUUUAACAUUUGGUAACCUGGAUGACGUUUUUUUGCUCCAUAGAUCUCAUGGGCAGAGUGAUCAAUGUUGGAAAUCCACGUAGUCAAAACGAGUUUCUCGGAAUUUCUAAACAAAGGGUCAUACAAUUCUGCAUAGAGAAUGAGAGGUAUGGUUUGGUUCCAGUUUGGCUUCGAAUCUGGAUUAUAAUUUUGAUCUUUAAGGUGUGUGUAAUAUUGCAGGGGUUGCCGAUUGUUGUUCCACCUGACCGGUUGCUAUGCUGAAUCUUUUCUAGGAGGCAUAGAUUUCCAUGAGGGUUGUAUCGUUGUGUGUGUGCUUAGGUUCGCCAAAAUGAGAGUACAAAAAGGUAGUUGUGUCGAGUUAAGAUACUAGCCGAAUUUCUUUAUGUCUAUGGUUGCGAUGUUGAGGUAUAUGAUUUGUUGUUUGCUUGGGUUAUUAGGGAGUUUAGUGGCUACAACUGCUGGAAAUUUCACGGAGAUUUUGUUGGAUCCACCACUACUUGAAGUCGGUGCUUUCAGAAAUACUCUAAAGAACGUUAUGGAGAAUAGAGAGCAAGAUGAUGAGAACAGUUUAGGCACGUAGUUCUUUAAGCAAUAUUUAUCUUUUGUGGUCGUCCAUAUUCUCGAGUAUUAAUAACUUUUUAGAGAAUUCUCAAGUAUUAAUAACUUUUUAAUGAAAGCACGGCAUUAGUACUAUAGAUUGUUGUCAAAUAAAUUUGUAGUUUGUAGUUUUUAAAGAAAUCACGGCAUUAGUGAUUUGUAGUUUAUAGAGAAAAUUCAAUUUGAGAUGGAUGAUAGUUAUAAUUUGUGAUGGGAUAGAUUCGCCUGUAGCACUUUUAUUUGUUCGGUCAUUUCGGCUGCGGUUUCCAAAAAAGCUCGAGUGCUUAUUGUAUAUUUGAAAAACGUGUGAAUAGACAAAAGGAGACAUUACUUAACCGUGUCCAGACAUAAGAACUGAAUCAACUUUUUGUCCAAAAAUAUAAAUAGGUAAUUGGAUCGUAAAUAUAAUAUUUGCACGAAAAAAUAUAUAUCGCACUUUCAAUUAUACUAUUGGAGUUUUUUUCUCAGCUAUAAAGAGCAGGUUGUUUACUGCCAUAAGAAAUAAUAUUUUCACGAGCCGUGUUACUGGCUCCACCUUCUACAAUCCGGGCUAUAGGACAGUGGAGGACCGAUUGGAAAAUCCAUGUUAAGAUUCACCAAAAAUGGUUUUGUCAGAUCUGUACUGGUGAAGAUGUGCUUCACUUUAUAUUCGUCGAUGAGCAUGAAAGUGUUCUGUUUCAUUUCUUUUCUUUUGAGUAGUUCGGUUUGUUUUCAUCUGAAAUUCAGUCUUUGUAACUCAAGGGAACUAAGAUCCAGACCACUAUAAAGUUUAGAGCAGUAGGUAGCAUACCUAUCUCUUUUUCAAAAACCCAAAACCUUAACAGACAGACCGUGUCAUGUUUUCUUUCAGAGAUCCACUUUUGAUGGAUCCUUCGAGCAAUGGAUCCAUGGUCCCGUGUGAUAGAAAAAUGUAUUUUAGACUCAUGAUGACUUGUGUGUCUCCGGACGGGAUGAGGGUCUCUACGGGAUCAAACUGGCUGCGGAUGGUGGAUUUGUAUACGUACGUUAUGCUUCGUAGGGCAUUGCACGAUGACGGUGUUUGCUUAUCCCAUAUCACUAAAGAAUUUAUCCAGCGUAUGAGCUCUACUAUCUUGGUCCAUCGGAUGGGGCGUAUUCAUUUACUGCAUGAUUUAGCUACAAAGAGGAGCGAGUUUCUAGAAUCUGUACUACUGGAGAUUAUGGGUGCUCCUCACGUAUCUUGGUAUUUUUGGUUCCGUAACGGCAUAGAAAACUGUCAGCUUUGCAACAAUUGUUUUUGGUCGAGUCAUUUAGGGAUUUUUUAUAAUUUAUUUUGUGUCAUGAGGUAUCCAGAGACUAGACUUUGGUGAGUUGGUUAAGCAUAUUUGCUCUAGAGAUGUUCGGUUUUCUUAAGUUUUGGUCUUUUAAGUUUGGUUAUAGCAUUUUCCUAUGUAUGGUCUAAGCAUUGCGUGAUUUUAAAGAGUGUCAAUUUUCGAUAAGAAAUAAUAAUAAAAAAAAAUUUAUUUGGUUGAUUUUGGUGAAGGAGCCUUUCGACCUAUUUUAUUGAUCCUACGUUUGCAUGUUUCGUAACUUGAUAGCUUGCACGUGUUCUUGCAUUUGUAAACAAAAGCUACAUGCACAAAUACGGAAGGACGUCUCUUAGUAUCAUUGCGAUUUGGGCUUACGAAUAGUAUCAUUGGUGAUUUUGGGCUCGGUCCAAGUACAAGUGCUAAGAACUAUUAUGUAACGCAUUAUACUAUGAUGAACUGAACUUCAGGAUUCUAUAGAUUAAAUUUAUAAUAACCAUUAUAAUUUAAAUUUAUAAUUAUCGAGAUGUAACAUUAAUGCUGGUCCGCGUAGGGCGUGGGCUCACCUCUAGUUGUUAUCUAAUUAUUCGCAUCAGACCCUUUGUAGCAUUUUUCUUAAGCAAAAGCUACUCCGAUCAAUAGAUCAUGCUAAAAAAAGAAUGUUGUUUUAACGUUUCUAACCUAAUUCACCAAAAACAUGAAUUCAUCCUAAUAGCAAGUCCUCACUCGUACAAUAACAUUAUCGUGACACCGAAAUUAUAUGAAUCACUUUUAUGGGUCUUGAAAUUAAGAACUUCAUUUAUUUUUUGGUGCCAAAAUAAUGUACCAAGAACGACAAAACACAAAAUCAGCCCACAAAUAAUGACAAACAUAAAGUGGAGGAGUUAGAUAAAAACAAAAACAGCUCAAUUAUUUCAUAUCUUAUGUUUGUACCCUGAGAGAUUCUUUGUCUCGAAGUCGAAGAUAAUGAACAGUGGUAUUGUGGUUGUUAUCUCACUAUUUUCAUGUGUAACAUUUUCUUUAAAAACUAAUUUUACAUUUUAGGUGAUUUUUUGAAUUUGCUUUACCAUUUUUACAAUUUAAGGAACUUUGUUAUUUCCGAGAAAAUGAUGAUAUUGACAUAGAUAUGAGGAUUUUAUUUUGUGUGUCAAAGGAUUUAUGUUCACUAUAUGUUAUAGACGUCGUAUGUCGAAUUUAAUGUAACAUUCUUUCGUAUGCAUGGAUGCAUGUCCACAUCUAUGUGUUUUUAUAGUUCGUAACUAGAUGGUUAUUCACGAUUAUGUAUCUACGAAAUUGCUAAAUAUCAUUGAAAAUGAUUAUUAAUCUGGAAUGUGCAAAUUCAUGAUUGUGUUGAUAUCCACACGGAAUCAUCUAUAUAUAUUAUCUUUACAAAAUAAAGUUAUCAUAUCAUAGACAUGUUUUAAUGGAUAAAAUAUGGUAUUUUCAAUUGAUAAAUUUUGAAUAAAAGUAUAGACAAAUAUGAGUGGACAAAAUAUAAUAUACUGAUAUUAUAUUCUUAUGCAUAAGUUUUUAUUUAUAAAUACUUAAAAUAUAUCAAAGUAGAUAUAUCAAAAUACAGAGAGAAAAAGAAACUAUAGUUCGUAGUAUUAAAAACAUUUUAGGGAUACAGUCAUAGAGCAUUAUUCCAUUUCAAUAACCAUAUAUACAUGUACCUUUACUAAUUCCUUAGUUAGUGGAGUCUCUCUCAUUCACGUACCAGAGAGUCGAAGAAAUGGAAGAUGAAAGCUCCGAGAGUAGAAACAAAGCUCGCCUUGCCAUCAUGGAGCUCGCUAACAUGAUCAGCGUUCCGAUGUCACUCAACGCCGCCGUGAGAUUAGGCAUCGCCGACGCUAUCUGGAACUCCGGAGCCAACUCUCCUCUCUCCGCCUCUGAGAUCCUCCCUCGCCUCCUUCUCCCAUCCCGAGACAGUACCAUCGGUGGCGAUCCCGAGAAUCUCCAGCGUAUACUUCGUAUGCUCACAAGCUACGGCGUCUUCUCUGAACACCUCAACGGCGACGCCGGAUCCGUGGAGAGGAAAUACUCUCUCACGAACGUUGGAAAAACGCUCGUAACCGACUCCGGGGGACUCUCCUACGCCGCUUACGUCCUCCAACACCAUCAGGAGUCGUUGAUGCGAGCAUGGCCACUGGUUCACACGGCGGUGGUGGAACCGGAGACGGAGCCGUACGUGAAAGCAAACGGGGAGGCGGCGUACGUUCAGUACGGAAAAUGUGAAGAGAUGAACGGUCUUAUGCAGAAGGCAAUGUCCGGAGUAUCAGUGCCGUUCAUGAAGGCGAUAUUGGACGGCUACGAUGGUUUUAAAUCCGUGGAGCAUUUAGUUGACGUGGGAGGGAGCGCAGGAGAUUGUCUCCGUAUGAUCCUUAAGCAGUUUCCUAACGUCCGUGAAGGGAUUAACUUUGAUUUGCCUGAAGUUGUUGCGAAAGCCCCCAAGAUUCCUGGUGAAAAUAAUAUUGCUUUUAUUUUUAUCAUUUAAAAAAAAAAAUUGGAAGACGUUAUUUUUGGAAAGCGUUAUGAUAUUUUCAGUUCUUUAAUUAAUGUGUUGAAAUUGUUGAUAUUGUUGAUAUUGUCUGAGUUAGGAGUGACUCACGUGGGUGGAGAUAUGUUCCUGUCAGUUCCUAGUGGUGACGCAAUCUUCAUGAAGGUUCGUGGUACCAUUGUGGUCACGUGAAUACUGACUUCUUUUGUUAAUAGGACGGAUUUUAAUUUAUAUAAAUAGUUUCGGAGUUUAUUGAUAGGUUGAUCACGAAAAUUCUUAGUUUAGGUCCGGUACAUAAGUCGCUACAGACAAAUUAGAGACUUAGAGUUAUGUGUGGACCUGGUAAUAUAGGCUAAUGAUCAUGUGACUGGUCACUUUUCUUUUGUGAUAUUUUCAUUGUUGUAGACUGAUUACAUAAAUUCGACAUUUGCAUAUGCACUAUGCAUAUCUCAUAUUGGAAUCUAAUAUACAGCUCUAAUUUUUGAAAGCAAUGCAUUUGCUAGAAAUAGAACCAUAUGGUUAAAAAAAAUCUGAUGUUUAUAGAUUGAACAAUACAAACGGUUACAUAUUUUUUGCAUCUGUCCCAAUUAAUAUCUUGUAUACCGUUAUACGAUACAACUGUAAUUGUUGAAGCUAUGCAUUUGCUAGAACCAUAUGGAUAAUAAAAAAAAAUCUGAUGUUUAUAGAUAGAACAAUAGAAAUGGUUACAUAUUCUUUGCAUAUCUGUCCCAAUUAAUAUCUUGUAAUGUUGUGUUGUCUGAAUGCACAGUGGGUGUUAACGACAUGGACGGAUGAAGAAUGCAAGCAAAUAAUGAAAAAUUGCUACAAUGCUUUACCAGUUGGAGGAAAGCUAAUCGCUUGUGAGCCAGUCUUGCCUAAGGAAACCGAUGAUAGCCACCGAACCCGUGCCUUGCUAGAAGGCAACAUCUUUGUCAUGACAAUCUAUAGGACCAAAGGUAAGCAUAGGACCGAAGAAGAGUUUAAAGAGCUUGGUCUCUCUGCUGGAUUCCCUUCUUUUCGACCUUUCUACAUUGAUUACUUCUACACCAUCUUAGAGUUUCAGAAGUAAUGUUAAAGCAUUUAUCCUCUUACAGUUCUAAAAGCUUUGAACUUUUGAAGUUAUCAUAGACCAUUUUAUCUCUAAUGAAUACAUUUUCAUCAAUAUGUAUGCAACUUAGAUUUUUGAAAGCUUCAGUAUUAUCAUAGACCUCUUUGAUGAUCUGAUCUCUAAAUCUCAAAUGAAUACGUUUGUUUGAUACAUUUGUUUUGCUAGCAGAAGUGCAGAACAAGAAUACGCUAAAAAGCAUUUUCAUGAUGGCAAACUUGCAGUUUUCCUUGUUUUAAACGAGUUUAAGAUUGUCUUUUACAUUAGCUUAUAGUACAUUAGACUUUUCUAUCGACACUCAAUUUCUCUAAAACAUCUUGGAUUAAGAAUGAAACGUUAGUACUUGAAGAUCCUUUCAAUUCGACAGCCUUUCUCGCCACUACUGCAAGUUCUUGAAUGUGUAUUCUUCGUCUCAAGAAUUCACCAUCUUUACCAUCAUCUUCAUUUCCGCGUUGGCAAUCUUCGUCCAUCAAAACCUUUAUAGCUUUCACAACACUAUGUUUCUUGACCAAUACUCCAAGUCUUUCCUCGUCUCCCCAUCUCACCGGAAUCUCCACCCCAAUCCUAACCCCAACCUUCAAUACCUCCACGACGAGUUUCUCAUUGAGAAACUGUUCAGCGAAUUACGGCCAUGUGAUCAUUGGUACACCAAAACAUAUCCCUUCGAUCGCCGAGUUCCAACCGCAAUGAGUCAAGAACCCUCCGGUCGAGCCAUGUGAGAGUAUCAUAGCCUGAGGACUCCAACCCCUUAUUACUAUCCCUCUACCUCUAAUUCUCUCUUCGAACAUUUCACGUUUUAGCCAUUCAUUUAGCACAUUCAUGUGUUUUUCCUCGGUCUUGAUCAUCCAAAUAAAGGGAUUUCCAGAUUCUUCUAACCCUAACCCUAGUUCUAUCAAUUGAUUAGGUAUUAGUCGACAGAGGCUACCUAGACAAACAUAUAAGAUAGACCUUGGUCUCAUCGAAUCCAGAAACUUCAAGCAUUCGGUCUCGCUAAUCGCAAUGUUACAGUUGUUUCCUCUGUCAAAUAAGUCUACCAUACGAUCAUUGCAUAAAGAAACGGGUCCAACGAACCAUACCUUCUUCUUGAUGGCCUCAGCGUAGGCCUCUGCAUAGCCAGGUUCCAAUUCUUGGAAGCUAUUAACAAUAACCCCAAAGGCUUCUGAUUCAGCUUCACGCAUCUUCUCACGAACGUCAUCCAUAUUUUCUAACUUCUGAAACGCACCCGGUAACUGAGAUCUAGCUAUCUCGAUCCUAUGUGGCAUUGCUGGUAUAGAAAAAGGCUCUGUGUCUGAAGAAACCGAGAGGUGCGGGCUAUGAAGAUGGACGUUGUGAGAACUUAAAAGAGAGAAACAGCACAUUCCGUGGAACACAAUCCUUGGGAUCUUGAAACUUUUCGCGGUUUUUGACGUCCAAAAAGGCAUUUAUCGGAGUUUAUGCAACUUGGAGAGAUUUCUUGCUGGUCAAGAAACCUUUCCAAGGGCUCCUGGAGCUUAUCCACAGCGUCAUAGAAUUUCCGUAAGAGAUCUUUAGAGGGCAGAGUGUCGAGAGACUCACAAUUUUCGGGAAGAUCAAAUUCUUUGUAGGCAAUUGGAAAUUUCACCACGUUAAUUUGGAGACCCGACUCCGAUUUUGCGCGCUCAACUGUCUUCUCAAACCUAGAAGCAUUUUGAGGAGUUGAAACUAUGGUAACGAUAUUCCCUUCUCGCGCAAGAAUCUUGGAGAUAUCAACCAUGGGGAUUAGAUGCCCUUGAGCCAUGAGAGGGAUCAAAAUAAAGUGAAGCCUUUUGGCUUUUGAAACCAUUUUAGUUUCCAUUAUUUUGGGUUUAUCAAAUGUUUACAGAUAAAGGGCACAUAGUAUAUAGAGGAUACCCACACAACCUGCUAAUAUGUAUUAUUAUAUAUACACAUGUGUGAAGGCAUAUUUGAUAGAUUGCCCUUUAUUUAAUUGGGUAAGUCUUCGAAAGCUGUAUAUUGACUUUGAAUAAGUCACUAAAAACUAUUAUUUAGAGAACCAAACACGCAUAUUUAAAAUCUUGAUCGAUGACGAAAGCGAGCUAGUCAUUAUUCCAUGACAGUGAUAGCGACGUCAUUUUAUUAUGAAAUAUAUGAGGAUAUUGAAAUCCUUAACACAGCGACGUACAUACAGUUUUAAAUGUGAGUUAGUUUUAUUAUUUCUAUCAAACAUAUAUGAAAUUUCACUAACAUGUACGUAAAGGUAACUUAAGAAAAACAAAAACUUAAUUUUAUAAUUGUUGAUUAUGAUAUUGGUGUAAAACAUACGACAAGGUCAAGCAUCUGGCCAAAUAAGAAGUCAAUGAGCGUAUCGAAUAAGAUUGUACAUAAUUGUAAAGGCCAUUGGGGGCUGUUACAGCCAGUUACCCUUUUAUGGUGUUGUCCCUUCCCAAAGGUAGAUAACUGCUCUGGUCAUUACAUCCUUUAAUUUGAUUUUCUUUGUGGUGUAGUUCAAGAGUGUUCAAGAGAGAUUUGCUAACGAAACUAAAGUUUAGACUGAUCCCUUAGGUUACCAACAUGAUUUUUAUUUUGGCGUAGUUAUAUUUAUGAAUUUCAAAACAUUGAUUCCAAAUAAAUAAAUAAAUCACAUGCAACUGUGCAAGACAUAACUAGAUGAAUUACCCGAGGACGAUAAAUAAUCAAAGGCUAUCUCAAACUCAAGAUAGAGUGAACGAGAUUGUCAAGAUCAUUCCUUUUUUUCAGUUCAUGAAAUAAAGUUCUUCGAAAUGUUAAAAAUAAAUUUAAAACUUUAGAUACUGUAUGCAAAAUGCUUUGAGUUUACCUAUAUGUCUAAGAAGUUUCUGCCUAACAUAAUAUAGGGACAAAUUAUAUAUAUAUUAUUUUUUUUUUCUUUUUCUUUUUAAUUUUUGGAUGACUAACAAAGUAUCAAGAAAAUUAUGAAUGACAACUUGUUUAUAUAUAUAUAUAUAUAUAUAUAUAUAUAUGUAUUGAUAUUUAUGGAAUAUUCGACAGCUUGAUCAUUAUCUAAUGAUCAAAAUCAUCACUACCCAUAUUAGUUUCAUUCAAUCAUUUUUGUUGAACUAGCGGAAGUGUCACUAAGUCGAAGUUAAACAAAGCUAACGCUAUUACCAAGACAAUUUAAACUAGCUUUUAAACAAAAUAAACCCCAACAUCACGGCAAAAGUUGUUUCAUAUUUGUUUGUCGUUUGAAAAGGACCUUAAUUGUUUAAAGGAGAAAAGGGAUACUUUGAAACGUUCAAUUGUGCGUCGGUGGUGAACAAAUUAACCAACGUAGACUAGUUCAACCCUUUGGAAUAUUGGAUCAUUGACGUAUACUUGCCUUUUGGUUAACCUUCUCUAGAAUAAUAUUCGAGAUUUUGGCCGGGUUAAUCUCAGGGCCAAUAGUUAAUGCUUUUCACAUGGCGUAUCUAUAAUUAAGCGAACGUUUUAGCGUAUUGCUAUUAUGUUUUGCUUUUAGGUACAUACGUGUAAGUUUGCCUUUUCUUGAAUUGAUUGUUUACAGGAUCUUCAUAUUUGACUAACUACGACGACUUUAAAUUAGUAAACUGACUUUUAAUCAUAAAAACUAAAAUGCUAUUUUUAAUCUCAUGAGAAAUGCAAAGCCAUAUGUCCAAAUGUCAAAACUGAACUACAUCAAAACAACAUCAGAAGUUUCGGAAAACACUUAUGCAACAUUUCUGAAAAAGAAUAUGUUUGGAAAAUUCUCUUUCCCUAAGGACUACGCAUUAUAUUACCAUAGCGCCAAGACUUGAUUUUUCUAUAUUUUUAUAAAUACUAGAAUUUUUAAUUACGACCAACAAUUCUAAUAAUGGUAAUUAAGAUUACUGACCAUAAUAAUAGUCAACAUAAUACUAACUAACAUCAAUAUAAUAAAAUCCAUUAUAUUAUUACAUCAAUUAUCAUUAAAAUAAAUAUAAACAUAUCUUAUUGUUAUAUAAUCACUAAUUAAAAUAAAUACAUACAUAAAUAUUAUUAUUUUUUAGAUAUUUAUAUAGAGAUGACUUUAGUGAUGUGAAAUCGAGAAAGAAAAAAUUGUAUAAUUUUCUUAUAAAAUUAACUCUUAAAAUAUUUAUUAGAAUAAUCUAUUUUAAAUUAAAAAUUAUUGUAUAAUUUUUAUACCUAAGUUUUAUUUUCAUGUGUGUCAAAAUUAUAUAUUUUUGUUCUUUUAAAGUAUUAGUAAUUAUUGUAUAAUUUUCUUUUUUAUUUUUAAAAUACUUUGGUAUAUAAAUAUAUAAAACUAAAAGUGAUAUAUAUACUCUAUACAUAUAUCAUUUCCCCUUAAUUUGUUUUGGUAUAUAUCAUAUAUAAUGUCGGAUCUGAAUUUUUUUGAGUUAUAAACAAAAAGAAAUUUCUAUGGGCUUAGAAGUUAAUAAUUGUAAAUAGAAGAGGUAAUAACGAGAUUAGAAGCUCAAAUCUCCAAGAAUUCCAUCCUCGACAAAUCAAUUUCAAAUAAUAAACAUCUGAAUUACUGAAAACUUUGGAGAAAAAUAGACCAGAAAAAUGAACAUUUUGUAUAGGGCGGGAAGUUUUUGCAAAAAAAAAAAAAGGGAAUCAUGUGUUUUGCCUGCUUUGCUCUAGAGGUCGGGCAUGAUCGUAUACGAGCCCACACAAGAAAACUGAUCCAAGUGGCUAAAUGUACAUUAUACUUCUAAAUCAAUGUACUCACUCACUACUCACAUUUCUUUUCCAAUUACCUUAUUUAUUUUUAAUUCUGUUAUUGAGCCAUUACAUAAUUAGAUUGAGUCCUCGUGAGUGACUUAGGCCAGUAUCUGUUCCAACAGAUUUUAGAAAGAACAAGAAAAUUGGACUUUUUUGUCAACAAUAUUGGGCCUUAGUUAGAUUAUUUUAAGAAGAAUUUAUUUAUUAUAUUUUGGAAUUUCUUUAGUUUUCUUACAAAAGUCUAAACCUAGUUUCUAUUUCUCUGGUUGGCAAAAAAAAAAAAAAAAAAUUUCUAUUUCUCUGUAAAUUUGGUCUACAUUUUCGAACGCAUGGGCUUUAAUUAACCGGACUAGAGACCUUCUCAAUUCCCCAUCAAAUUUGCCGUGGCUGGUAAUACACUUUCCAUUUUUGUUCAUCACUCAUAAUUUUUUAGAUUUGUCAUUGCUGAACAUAAAGUACAAACAUUUAUGUAUUUAUAGCUCUGAACUGAACCCUUAACAAGCUAAAGUCCAAAGCCCAGGUCAUGGCGGUUUUGUAGCUCAAAUUCGUUAUUUUGUUAAUGAUCAUGAAAAUUGAUUAAUUAUGAAGGUGACCUUGGUACGACUGAAUGGACUAAAUCAACAUUUGGACCAUGUCUCGAAAUGGGAAUACGAUGUUUUCAUCUUGCCUGGAGAUCUGUUGUACGCUGAUACGUUGCAACCCGUGUGGGACACUUUUGGUCGUUUGGUGCAGCCACUUGCGAGCAAAAGACCAUGGAUGGUCACUCAAGGCAACCACGAACUCGAACAUAUUCCUAUUUUAUAGUGACAUAAAAUGAUUUUGACGAUGUUUAUAACUCAUAUAUACAGCUACCAAGAUCCAACUCCAGCAAUAUCAUUGUUUAGAGAAGCAAGUUUCGGGCAUGGUCAAUUGGUGGUGGUGAAUGCGACUCAUGCACAAUGGAAAUGGAAGAGGAACGAUGAUGAUGUGUCGGUACAAAAGGAUUCGGUUUGGUUAACCAGUCUUUCAGCCGAUUCAUCUUGUCGAUCGGGUUUAGACCGUCUCGGUUCGUCUUUCAAAUGAUAUGCGCCUCCUCAUUGAUUACAUGUUAAUUAUCAGUGAUGAUUAUAUGUUAAUUAUCAGUGAUGAAUCGAAGAAAUCGAAAUAUUUAGUGUUUUGAGUAUUGACAACAGUAUCAAAAUAGGAGACAACAAUGUUCUGUUUAAUAGAUUAAUAAAGACAUUAUGAUUUUUCUUGGUUGUUUUCUUUCAGAUCCUUAUCAUUUUUCGACAAAAUGAAAAUUUCAUAUGAAUUGAAAACUUAUAUCAUUGAAAAUGAAAAUGGGAACGGGUAUGAGACGGGACAGGAAUAACUUAUGCCCGUCACAAACGUAAUUAUAGCUCAACUCAAGCCCAACUCAAAAUUCCUUUAAGGUAUGGGCUUAACAGAUAAAUUAGGUUAUAUCUCAUCGCAUCGGCAGCCGGCAGCCACAGAUGUGUGUAGCCCUAAUUUAUUUGUUUGUUGCUCUUUUAUUCGGUGUUUCCUCUCCUCUCGCCUCUCGAUUUUCCACUACGUCGGAACCAUGGGCACGCGCGAUAGAUCCUUGAGCGGUAAGAAAUCGAGAAAUCGAUCUCUUUCUCUCUCUCUCUCUCUCUAUCCUUCAGUUGAUAUCGUCGAUGUAGAUGAUUUGUUUAAUUGAUUUUUUUUUUUUGGCAGAGUAUAGGACAAACAUCUUGUGGAACGCCCACCGUUGGCUCCCCAGUAACUAUAAGAACCCUAUAUCGUUGUUUGGGUCUGUCUCUGAUUCUCUUUCAAAGCGUCGUUUUUGCAAUCCCCGUUUUGUGGGUUUUGGUCAUCAGGAUGUCUUCACGAGUGAGGUGUUGAUUCGAUAUCAGAUCUAUGACGGAUACUACGGAAUUCGCAGAUCAAGAAGUGCAGAGGAGAUACUUUAUUUGAUGUUGGUGGAACUCGUUUUGAAGGCUUCAAGUGAUACUCUUCGCGAGUGCAGAUUCUUGAUCUUCACAAGAUUGGAAGAAGAAGACUGGGAGAUGAUCUCUUCGGUUGCAUCUUCUUUGAGAAGCAGAGGCCGCCGAGUUAUGUUUGCAGUGCCUGACAUUCCUUCAUUCAUUGGCUCCUCCAAUGUAUUCCGGGAGCAAAACGAUGUGGAGGGGAGAAUCCCUGUAUGGAUUUGUCCACAUCUGCUUGAGCAAGGGUCUGGGGAACAAGUUGAUGAUAUUGCUUUUAUAGAGCCUCCUCCUUCAUAUACCAUGGAGAAAUUCCCCAGGUUCCAGAAUGUUGAUACAUGCGUCUUCUGGGACGUCCAUGAUUACCCACUUCCUCAGGGUCUCCAACUCUCUACGUUUUCUGAUAAUAUCAGAUCAGCUCUUGGUUCUCAUCUUCCUUGUGGUAACCACUCAAUCUACGCCUAUGUUGUCAAGGGGGAGGAAUUUGAGUAUGACGAGGAUGCAAUCACGGUACGCAAAGCUCCAUCAGACAACUUUGCAAGAUUGGCUCAGUUGAAAAUGGACAUUCUUCUGUGGACAAUUGACAAUCCUGGCGACAAUUCCAAUCUCAAUCCAGGCGGUCCUAAUUUGCUUAUAAUUUCCAAACAGAGUUUUGGACGUUCUAUCCUUGAUAGCUUGACAUAUCGGGGUCACAAUGUUUUCAUGAUUGAUUUCGAGAAAACCGUAUUUGGCCCAAAUGUUAUCUCACUGCCUUGGGAAGACGUAUCAGCAGAAGAAGAACAGCGGGGCCCAGACUGGCAGAAGAGACUCCGAUUCUCUAGUCGUUAACUUUCUGUCUGUCUUGCUCCUGUGUAGCGUUUGGACCUUUUAUCAUUCUCUGUUGCUGUCUGCUUCUGUGUUACGCGUUUGGACUUCUAUCAUUCUCGGUUGCUUUUGGACUUUUAUCAUCCUCUGUUGCAUUUGGACUAUUAUCUUUAAUCAUCCUCGGUUCCUUUUUGGUAUUUGCUGUUUGUUUUUCGGUUGUUGCAACUCCAAAACGCUUAAUUUGAUUUCAUAAAGUUUUUGGUCCAAGUAGUUUGCUUCUUCUUAUCCCUUUCAACUCCUAUAAAGUUUCUGUACAUUCCAGUCGUCAUGAGAUCUCAUAAUCGAAUCUGCAAAUCAGGCUAUUUCCCUUUUUUGUUAUAAAAAGAACAAAAAAUUCAACUCAAGUGUGAGAAAUCAGAAAUCACAACUCCUUUUGUUGUGGUGGACGACGAGGAGUACGGUAACAAACGUAUGUAUCACUCUCUUCCCCUGCUUCUGUUUUCGUCUUCCUUUUCUCGGAUUCAGAGACUUCCCUUCUUAUUCAGCGUAUUGCUUGAAUUCUGUUUUUAGAUUCUCAAAUUGAGGCGAAUUCAACUAUAAGGUGGAUUUUCUGUUCUUGUCACUACCUACCAAAGCUAACGUUCUAGUAAAUUUCAAUUUGAUUUUUGGCUUUAGUAUCUCAUGAUCAGGCGCAAUUGAUCAGGCGUCAGGUGGUUUCUGAAACUAAGGUUGGAUUGAAUAUUAUAGUAUUCAGAUUGCUGAUUCUGUAAGAGGACUUGCGGAGACAGGAAACUCCAACGCUCAAAGUUUAGAUUUUGGCUAUGGGAAGUUUUCAAAUGGAAAUGUGCAUGCUUCUGAUGACACCAAUACAAGUACAUGUACAUCGGGUAAUAGGGGAAAUGGCUUCUCUGAAGAGCCUAUUGUUGUGCCUCCAAGUGAUAUCUUAAGUCGCACUGUAGUUUCAAAACCUGCUCGAGAGUCUCAGAGAAACAAUAGUACUUCUUCGUCGGGCUGGGGCUAUUGAGGGAAAUAUGUGUGCUUCUGCCACUGGUGUAGUAAGGGUGCAGUCGAGAAAGAAAGCAGAGAUGUUCUUAGUCCCAACUGAUGGAGUCUCUUGUACUAGGGAAAAGGUUACAGAGUCCUCGCUAGCCUUCACACAUACAAGUACUCAACAGUAAAUGCUUCUUUGGAAAACUACCCCAAAAACCGCGUCUUACUGCUGAAGAAGCUAGUGCUAGAACUCAUGGAGGAAGCUAAAGAGGUAAACGCUUUCAAGAAGAUUAUAUAAAUUCUCUCUUGUGUAUUGAAGUUGCCUGUAAUUCAGGAAGCCGGUGAAAAGUUUUUCUUCUUUCGAAUUUGUUUCAGGCUGCAUCUUUCUUGUAUCACCAAGAGAAGAUGAAUGUAUUGGUUGAACCUGAGGUGACAUGACGUAUUUGCCAGGAUUCCAGGGUUUGGCUUUGCCCGGACCUUUUACAUACAGGACACGAGGUACAAGAAUAAGUUAAGUGGACAUCAGCUAGACUACUAAUCCACGGCUCAAUUGUGAUCGACUUUAUUUGCUUUUGUUUUAAUUCAGCGAUCUCCAUGGAAGGGUUGAUUUUGUGGCAUGCUUAGGAGCGGAUGGGUUGAUAUUACAUGCAUCAAACUUGUUCAAAGGAGCUGUCCCUCCCGUUGUUUCCUUUAACUUGGGGUCCCUUGGAUUUCUCACUUUACUAACCCUUUCGACAUGUUCUAUUUCUUAACUAUGUCUUACUAUUCUUUUUCUUUCGACAGCCUUCUUAUUAUUUUUAUUUUGUUUCCAUUUAGUUUGAGGACUUCAGACAAGACUUCAAACGAGUCAUCAUCCUUGGGAAUAACUCGCUUGAUCUCUUCGAAUGUUGUAUAUAACUCUUCGAAUGUUGCGAAAUCUUUGUUAAAGUGUUUGAUGUUCUGAACGAGAGUGUUGUUGAUCAACCCAACUAUACCUUUCUAAGAUUGAAUGUUAUGAACACGAUCGUCUCAUCACCAAGGUCUGUACCCAUUUGGUUUAAUUUCUUACGUGAGACGAAGUCUACUUAAUCUUUAAGCAAGUGAGGAGUCUCAGUGCAUGUUGUAAAAAUGACCCCUACAUUGAUAAAAUUUUACAGCUUUUGUGUGUUUAGGUACGAGUUAUAGUACCGACUCCCACAGGAAGAACUGCUUAUUCUACAGCAGCCGGAGGCUCCAUGGUAAACUUUCCAACUUAACUCUGCAUUACAUACUAAAAAGAAUAAACCUCAUUGGCAUCUCAGAGUAAUAUCAUGCCGUUUAUAAUAAAAUUUCAGUGUUCGCAAAUUAGACAUGUAUAAAAUUCAAAAAAUUGCAGGUGCAUCCAAACGUUCCUUGCAUGCUGUUUACUCCGAUCCGCCCACAUUCCAUGUCGUUCAGGCCAGUUAUACUUCCAGAUUCUGCUAAGCUUGAACUGAAGGUCAGACUUUAGAUCUUUAUAGCAAUACACUUUCCAAACUCUCUGCGCUCAUAUAUUUGGAGACCACGUAAUCAAAACCUUUGGGCUUUUUCAUAUUUGCUGUUUCAAAUGCUCACAAAUCUUCUCUAAACAAAAACCGAUUCCAGAUGAUGCUCGAAGCAAUGCAUGGGUUUCGUUUGAUGGAAAGAGAAGGCAACAACUUUCGAGGGGAGAUUCAGUGAGAAUAUACAUGAGCCAACAUCCACUCCCAACUGUCAACAAAUCUGAUCAAACCGGUGAUUGGUUUAGAAGCUUGAUCCCUUGCUUAAAUUGGAACGCCUUGAUCAAAAGGCUCCUUGUUGACUGAUUCAUUCAUCAACGCAUACAAGUCUGUUUGUUUCAGCCAUCCCUCUUCUACUGUACAGAUUCUUAGUCUUUAUAAUUCGCACUAUAAUUCACAAGGGUUUUGUAAAUUUACAGCAGAAAAAAGGUGGUAUUUUAUUUUUUCCUUUGUCAAUUUUGACCCCUCACAAAUUAAAAUGAUACAGUAGAUUAGUCUAUCUACAAAUAUAUAUAUAUAUAUAUAUUAUUUUAUUUUUUUCUUUUGGGAUAAAAUAAGAUUUGCCCUCAUUCUUCUUUUGCCGAAAAUACAAAUUAACUAAAUGUAUUGUCCCAACUACAGUAGAAGGAUGUCGUCCGUUUCAAAUGUACGGCCGUGUUCGUCUUCGGUUAUUCUUCUUGAAAUACGAGGUCUUGUCUCAGUGUUAUUACUUCCAGUUUCUUCCAGGUCUAAAACAGAACAUAUAAUAUGGGAUAAUAAACAAAUUGCAAGGUGCAUAUAUCUCUCGUUGGGCCAGACAAAAUGAGAAUAUCAUGGAUAACGAACGACUCAGUCAUGCCGACUGUUGUGUACGGCACAACCUCUGGAAAAUACGAAGGCUCGGCUAACUAACUAACAUCAAGUUGAUGUUAGUUAGUUUUUUUUUCGGUUUUAUUUAUUUUUUAAUGAUAAUUAAAAGAAAUACAUACAUAAAUAUUAUUAUUUUUUAGAUAUUUAUAUAGAGAUGACUUUGGAAGGAUUAUUAUCUUAAUAGCAUUUGACGCGUGAGACGGACGCGCCCGUCUUCUUCUCUCCCAACCAUCUUCGACUGGUUUUUUCUUUCACAGAUCUGUUUUUCAGGCGCCGGCGGUUUCUUCAACGCCGGCGUCUGCCUCUGCCUCCUCUUCUUCUCUCUUCUCUGCGUUUGUUUCCUCCUCUGUUCUCUUUUGCCGUCGAGCCGGUUCUGCGGAUCUAGAGUUCUUCGGUGUUUGGUCUGUCGAUGGCGGAGCGAGCUCAGCGGCGUCGCUGGGUCCGCGGUGGCGGAGAGUCGUCUACUCGAGUGGUCGGUGGUCUCUCCUUCGUCGCCUCGUCUCUUCUUCGCCGGCAUCUCUUUCUCCGUUCCCGGCGUGUUUCCCUUUUGGCGGUUCGGCUUCCCGUUAGAGCUCUCGAGCCGAUGGUGUGCUUUCCGGCUUGCUUCGGUGGUGGUGUGGUAGUGCUUUGCUUCUCCUCCUUGCUCGGGCCUCGCCUUGGCCCAGACCAUUCAGAUCUGAGUUGGUGGUUUAGGUCUUGGUAGCUCGGAGCUCUUAACUCCCGAUGGUGGCGACAUAUCCUUGAGGACGGGUUUUUUGUUGUCAGCUUGUGGUGUUGAGGCUCGUCCCGUGGCUAGUUCGGAGUUGGCGCUUGUCUUCUCUCGGCUUGUGUGGCUCGGCCGGUGGUGUCUCUUCGCGGUGGUCUAGGCGUGUGGCUCGUCGGAUGCUCUCCCCAUGGUGCUAGUAUUCUGGCGGCGUCUGUCUAUCGGUGUGGCCGUAGUAUACCUCCGGUUUGUGUUUGUCUUCCCGGCUAGAUCGUCAUUGCUCUCGUAACUUGGUUUGGAUAGGUUAGGCUCCGACAUUGGAUCGGUGAUGUUGUGGGCCUUUGCUAGGCGAUUAUUGUUGAGGCGGCGGUUCUGUUCUCUUGGCUCUCUUGUCGGUGGCAAGUAGAUCUGUUUGACUGAAUCGGAGAUCGCGUCAGUUCUCGGAGAAGCUGUAAGCAUCUCUUUCUGUGAGGUUUUGAGGGCGGACCUCUGGAAGGGAUCUCGCGGCAACUACGAUGAGGAUUUCAGCUCUUCUGAGUUGUGGCAUAAACGGGAUGGUCUGCGCGUUUGCGUUUGAUUGCUGCUUUGUCGUUCGGCUUGGCUCUGUUUUGCUCCUGAUUUCCUUUCCAUUUUCUUGUCGUGUUGAGCUUGGUUGUAUCUAGUUCGGUUUUCGUAUUGUUGUUUGUAGUUUUGGUCGUUCUGUUCUCUUUGUUGUAUCUCUGUAUUCUGUCAAAAACAUAAAAUUGGUAUAAAAUUUAACAUUUUACCGAAAAAAAAAAAACUAACUAACAUCAAUAUAAUAAAAUCCAUUAUAUUAUUACAUCAAUUAUCAUUAAAAUAAAUAUAAACAUAUCUUAUUGUUAUAUAAUCACUAAUUAAAAGAAAUACAUACAUAAAUAUUAUUAUUUUUUAGAUAUUUAUAUAGAGAUGACUUUAGUGAUGCGAAAUCGAGAAAGAAAAAAUUGUAUAAUUUUCUUAUAAAAUUAACUCUUAAAAUAUUUAUUAGAAUAAUCUAUUUUAAACUAAAAAUUAUUGUAUAAUUUUUAUACCUAAGUUUAUUUUCAUAUGUGUCAAAAUUAUAUAUUUUUGUUCUUUUAAAGUAUUAGUAAUUAUUGUAUAAUUUUCUUUUUUAUUUUUAAAAUACUUUGGUAUAUAAAUAUAUAAAACUAAAAGUGAUAUAUAUAUAUAUAUAUAUACUCUAUACAUAUAUCAUUUCCCCUUAAUUUUUUUGGGUAUAUAUCAUAUAUAAUGUCGGAUCUGAAUUUUUUUGAGUUAUAAACAAAAAGAAAUUUCCAUGGGCUUGGAAGUUAAUAAUUGUAAAUAGAAGAGGUAAUAACGAGAUUAGAGGCUCAAAUCUCCAAGAAUUCCAUCAUCGACAAGUCAAUUUCAAAUAAUAAACAUUUACUGAAAACUUUGGAGAAAAAUAGAUCAGAAAAAUAAACAUUUUGUAUAGGGCGGGAAGUUUUUGCCAAAAAAAAAAAAAAAAGGGAAUCAUGUGUUUUGCCUGCUUUGCUCUAGAGGUCGGGCAUGAUCGUAUACGAGCCCACACAAGAAAACUGAUCCAAGUGGCUAAAUGUACAUUAUACUUCUAAAUCAAUGUACUCACUCACUACUCACAUUUCUUUUCCAAUUACCUUAUUUAUUUUUAAUUCUGUUAUUGAGCCAUUACAUAAUUAGAUUGGGUCCUCGUGAGUGACUUAGGCCAGUAUCUGUUCCAACAGAUUUUAGAAAGAACAAGAAAAUUGGACUUUUUUGUCAACAAUAUUGGGCCUUAGUUAGAUUAUUUUAGGAAGAAUUUAUUUAUUAUAUUUUGGAAUUUCUUUAGUUUUCACACAAAAGUCUAAACCUAGUUUCUAUUUCUCUGGUUGGCAAAAAAAAAAAAAAGUUUCUAUUUCUCUGUAAAUUUGGUCUACAUUUUCGAACGUAUGGGCUUUAAUUAACCGGACUAGAGACCUUCUCAAUUUCCCAUCAAAUUUGCCGUGGCUGGUACUACACUUUCCAUUUUUGUUCAUCACUCAUAAUUUCUUAGAUUUGUCAUUGCUGAACAUAAAGUACAAACAUUUAUGUAUUUAUAGCUCUGAACUGAACCCUUAACAGGCUAAAGUCCAAAGCCCAGGUCAUGGCGGUUUUGUAGCUCAAAUUCGUUAUUUUGUUAAUGAUCAUGAAAAUUGAUUAAUUAUGAAGGUGACCUUGGUACGACUGAAUGGACUAAAUCAACAUUGGACCAUGUCUCGAAAUGGGAAUACGAUGUUUUCAUCUUGCCUGGAGAUCUUCGUACGCUGAUACGUUGCAACCCGUGUGGGACACUUUUGGUCGCUUGGUGCAGCCACUUGCGAGCAAAAGACCAUGGAUGGUCACUCAAGGCAACCACGAACUCGAACAUAUUCCUAUUUUAUAGUGACAUAAAAUGAUUUUGACGAUGUUUAUAACUCAUAUAUACAGCUACCAAGAUCCAACUCCAGCAAUAUCAUUGUUUAGAGAAGCAAGUUUCAGGCAUGGUCAAUUGGUGGUGGUGAAUGCGACUCAUGCACAAUGGAAAUGGCAGAGGAACGAUGAUGAUGUGUCGGUACAAAAGGAUUCAGUUUGGUUAACCAGUCUUUCAGCCGAUUCAUCUUGUCGGGUUUAGACCGUCUCGGUUCGUCUUUCAAAUGAUAUGCGUCUCCUCAUUGAUUAUAUGUUAAUUAUCAGUGUUGAAACGAAGAAAUAGAAAUAUUUAGUGUUUUGAGUAUUGACAACAGUAUCAAAAUAGGAGACAACAAUGUUCUGUUUAAUAGAUUUAUAAAGACAUUAUGAUUUUUCUUGGUUGUUUUCUUUCAGAUCCUUAUCAUUUUUCGACAAAAUGAAAAUUUCAUAUGAAUUUUUCGAAUAUGUACAAACUUAAUUUUUUUAUAAUUAACGACACAUUGUACGUGGGAAAAACUAGCUGUGGGUUUAAGGUUGCCACUUGCCAAUUUGUAACAAACUUUAAGAAAAAUCUUAUAGCCAAUUAUAGCAACAUAUCCAGUUACCAAUGGCUAAUCUCAUUCGUACGUGUAGGUGAAAAAAUAUAUUGUUACUCCCUCUGUUUUUAUUAUAAAAACUUCUCACAUUUCUAUGUAAAGUUAAUUAUUAAUAGUUUUGAUAUUAUCAUAAAUCAUUUGUAUUUCUCUUCUUAAACUCAUUUUAAUUGGUAACUAAAUACAGUUAUGGUAGUAUUUAAUAUUUUAAGUAAUAAAAAAGAAUUCUUUAAUUCUUGGUUUUUUAAGAAAAACUCCUUAUAAAAAACAGAGGAAGUAUGAUUUUUGAAGGUGCAUAGUCAUUAGACUCAGUCACUUCAUAAGUAUGAAGAAUGAUUAAUUAAUGUAUACAUGUGUAAAGUAACAUUCGAAAGUAUUUUAAAGCAAAAAAAUAUUAUAAAAGACAAUAUGUUAAUUGGAGAAUGUUGUUGAAAACAAUUUUCUAAAUCUCUUUUUUUUUUCUGAAUUCAUUGAUUUGUUAAAUUGUUUAUUCAAACAUCAUUUAAAAUUUUUUACCAAAGCAUUUUUAUAUUUAAAAUUUUUUGGCAAUAACUAAAUUAUUUUAUAUAAAUUGAUGAAAAUUUAAUUGAAAUUUAACCAUUAUCAGACAAGUUUGAAAAACAUUAUACAUUUAUCAUUUAACAAUAGUAGAAUCGUAUAUCAUAUAUCAUUAGUGUUAAAUAAACUUGAAACUGUAGUUUCUGCGGACGCAUGUUAACUGAAACACAUACCUUAGCCUAGUUUAGCGACGAAGAUGACUCGGUAUGAUCUGAAAACGGCUGCAGAGAUCAGGAUGAGAUCACAGAUAGAAAUCAACCACUAUCCACUGUUCAAGUGCCCUCCGGUUGAUCUCUCAAAGCUUUCUCUCACUGUAACGUUUUUUUUCUUUAUUUAGAUUUCUCUCCUUGUCUCAAUAGUUACUUCAUAUUAUGUUUUGUAUUACCCCAAAAAACAUUACUCUUCUCUUUGCAAUGUUUCAUAUAUAUACACAAUCAAAUGGACACAACACAGAAAUACACAACCGUACGUAGAGACACAACCAUAUGUAAAGACACGAGUUGUUACUUAUGGAAUAACUACCGGUUAACUAAACCGGUUUGAUAUGUUCCUAAAUCAUGGGCUUAAACCGAUCAUUAACCAAUAAACUCGAUCAUUUUCUUCGUCAACAUUCUUCGUUGUUGCUGUGUGGCUGUUUUUUUUUACUUUUAAAGAUUUUUUUUGGGGGGGUGUAAUAGAUUCAUUUGAUAAUUGUUGGAAUUCACAAAAUAAAAAAAUAAUAUAUGAAAAUAAAAAUAUUGUCAAAUAAGAUAUGAAAAUAAAAAAUAAAAAAAUAAUAGUAACAAAUUGUUAUUUUUAGAUGGCUGCUGGGAACAACUUCCUAAUUCUAUUGCUUGUCCUAUAACCUUUUGUUUGAAUGGUCGACCUCUUUUCUCUUUAAAUAUUAUCAGGUUCAUUUAAUUCCAAAACAAAAUUUAAUCGUAAGAAUACUCACUUUUAACUUUUUUUAAGAAUAUACUCACUUUUCAUUUUUUUGGGGUAGAUAUUGCUAUUGUUUGAUUUUUUUUUUUUAAUCACCAUCUAAACACAAUUGAACUGUUAAUAAUAUAUACAUAUAUAAACCAAUAUUCAGAAUUAUCUAUUAAAUUUUUUUUUUAUAAAAAAUGGAUGAAAAACUAUUAGGUGGAGAACAUUGUCAAAAUGUUUUAGUUAAAUAAAUUGAUAUUCAAGAAUUCAUUGAUUUCAUAAAUUUUAUUAAUUAGAUAUCAUUAAAGAACAUUAAUGGAUUUAGCAUCAUAAAUAUUUUUAUUUGAAUUUAAACAUUAUCACAAAUGUUAUUAGCAUCAUAACUAAUGGAACUCUAGAUAUUAUGUCAUUAGUAUUGGAUGGACUUGAUAAUGUAUUAAACAAUUCAACUGAAGUGUGUUCUAUUGAAAAACUGCAUGUUUGAUGACUAGAUCCUUCACCCAUAUAUAAAUUGUUUAAUAAAAAAAAUAAGAAAAAAAUCUCACAACAACAUACUAUAUAUAUAUAUAUGAUUUUUGAAACAUCUAAACACAAUUAAACAAUUAAUUAACAUAAAUAUAUAUAAACUAACAGAAAAAGUAUAUAUACAAAACAAAUUAGUAAAAAUGAAUGAAAAACUAUAAGUUGGAGAACAUUAUCAGAAAUUGUUGGAUCAAUAAAGAAUUCAUCAAUUUCAAUAUUUUUAUUGAUCAAAUAUCAUUAAGAACAUUAAUGGAUUUAGCAUCAUAAUAUUUUAUUUAAUUAAAUUUUAACAUUACACAAAUUAAAAGGUGAACAAUAUCAUACCUUCAUUAUUGAAUACUAAUGAAAUUAUGGUUUUUCUGGAAUUAGAAUAAGAUGAACUUGAUAAUGUAUAAGAAAAAUCUGAAUUUUUUUGUUUGAUUGAUACACUGUAACUUUGAGAAAGGAAAAUUUCUCUUAUAGUCAUUCUUUAACUAAUAAAUUUUUUUAAACAACUUACUUAUGUAAUAUAUAGGGAAUUUAAUAGAAAAUUGUUUCUUUUCAAAAGAGUGCAAUAUAAACAAUCCUAAAGACACAACUCUUAGAUGAAUUAAUUGGUAAUUCUUCGCUUUGUUAUUAUAGAUAGAUUUAGUCACAUGGAUCAUCACUUGUUUCAGUUAGCUCCCUUUAGGAAUAAUUAAAAAUGUAAAAUAUAAAUCAAUUGAAAACAUAAUAUUCUCACAAUCAAAAACAAACAUAUUCGCAUUUAACACACACGGUCCUAUGGGUGCCCAACUCGUGUCCACCAAUUUUGGCCCAAUCUUCACCUCAUCAAAGUCUCCAAAGCGACCAAAACUUGAAACCCUAGUUUUCUUUCAUUCUCGCCUCCUUCCUCUGGAACCUUAAUUUAUCCAUUUUUCCGCCUCCUUCUCUUAAACCCUAAUUUUUUCUCAAACUCUUCUUUCAUGGCACAGCCAUUUACAAAUCUGCUUAAGUUUGACACCGACUUCUGGAACUCGGUGCCAACUAAAGUACCUUUUAAACCAGCCCAUGUAAUUUGGGACUGGGAUAAUGCUCCACUUCCCUUAGGAUAUGAUAUUGAACUUUUGUUGCCCAAGAUUCAAACAGCAUUGACGAUCUAUGAUACGAAUCUUAAGAUCAAGACUUUCGCAGCCUGUGGGAGCUUUUUCGGUUUAGGCGUAAAUGAAUUACCUGAGGAUCAAUCUUUCUUCAGAGAAGAAAGAUUAAGCUAUCUCGACGCAAACAACCCACCUUACCGAUCCUUUAGAACGCCGGUUAGGGUAAGAAAGUGUGCGAAAUGUGGUCACGAGUCUACAAAUCUCACCUGGAUGAAUGACGCUCAACUUGAGGAACACUACAAGAAAAACCAUCAAGACGAUUACUCGAGAGUCAUGGACGUGGGAGAUGCGAUUUUAGCUCGCGAGAUAAAAUAUCUGAAUAUGACAGAUCCACCUCCAGGUUUCUUUUUAGAUUUUUUUUUUAAUUUUAAUUUCUUUACUAGAUUAUGAGCGCCGGUUAAUUGGACUUUUUUUAACUUAAAAUCUCGUGCAUACCGAAUUAAAUAAUUGUAGAAUUUAAUAUCAUGUUCUUAUUUGGAAUUUGAUUAUUUUUGAUGAAGAUUUAAUAAUAUAAAUAGAUACUAUCUUUUUGAGUUUGAGAAAGUUUGAGCAUUUGCUUUGUGGUUUGGCGUUAGGAUACUAACGGUUGGAAAUUUUUUGUGACCUGUACCAGUAGCUGGUAUGUGGUGUGCUAGGUUGUAUCAUGUCGAGCUAGUCUGUGUUUUUGCUCGUGUUGGUGUAUGUGGUUCGUUUGAUCUGUUUUUUGACAGAUCUUCUAUUUAUUUUAUAGGUGUUGUUCUGUUAAUUUCCGAAGAUAAAGACUUCGCGAAGUCUCUGAAGUUCGCGGUUGAGCAAGGUUAUAAAGUAUUGCUAGCAACACCCCACGAAGCAGAAGAUCUUGAACCUUUUGCUAAAGCUGUCUGGACAUCGUCUAAGCUGUUUGAAGGAGGAGUAGAUGGUCCUUUUAAGUCCCGUUAAAUCUGUUUAGGAUUAGGGAGUGACUUAGUUGUGUGAUCAGGGAUUGUGCUCCUUUAUCUCCAUUGUGUAUCCGAAUUCCAAUCUAAUCUAUGUAUGAUUACUUCUUUUUUUUGGACAAAAUCUAUGUAUGAUUCCAUUAUCUCCAUUGUGUAUCCGAAUUCCAAUCUAAUCUAUAUAUGAUUUCACGGAAUAUGAUUGCACAUCACGUACUGGUUUUUCACACUUUACCGCAAAUUCAUACUUGAAUGGUUUACAUUACUUGCGGUAAAGAAAAGCAAACCUUUCCAGAGUAACUUGACUCUCUAUAACCGCAAAUUCACAUUGUUUUCAUCAACGAGCUUAUACUAUCCCAUGAUCUUAUCAUGGUACAUCUUGCUUCCUAUCUCACACAUCUCUUCUGGAAAUCUAUCUUUUUAAAAUUGGUAAGAGAACAGGUCUACUUAAAGUUUCUUCAUUGGUGAACAUUCUCUAUCUUCGGCGGGCCGGGAACAAUGAAAACGUUUCCAGUUUUAAGCAUAUCCAGUUGAGCUUGAAUAAUGUAACAACAAAGGUUUUUACAGUCCAAAGCAAUCACAUGAUGCGGUUUGAGUUCUAACUCGAGAUCUGCUGCCAUUUCCAAUGUGUAGAAUCCUACUUGUUGCUCUCCUCUGUCAUCAACCGUGUACAAUUCAAUUCACUGUAACACGAAAAGGAAGAUAAGAUUUUGAAGGACUUUGGGUUUCUCCGAUGUCAAAUGUUUAGGAAGAAAACAAUGCUCGAAACAGCUUGUGGACCAAACAAUUCCAUCUCUCUCGAGUUUGUUGAGUUUCUUUUCCAUGAACUUCUUGUUCCUCUCUGGCAGCUUUUCCAUUAUAUCAGCUGCGUCUUUGAUUUCGUCUUCUGUAAUCCAUCGGUCCAAGUCUUUUCCCACGUGUCUCAUAACAGCUUUCACUUCUGGAUCAAUCUCUGCAUUGUACAACUCCAAGAACCCGCGUGACCAUUUCUUCGUGUGCUGCCAAUACUCCUUUCCUGACUUUUUCCCGGGUCUAACAGGUCCGUCACUUCCUUCUACAACAAUCUUUGGCUGGCUUGAGGAAAUGUCAGAUGAAGAAGUGAGAAGGUUCUCAGAGGAAGCAGACUGUGAUGAUUCUUGAAGAAGAGAACUCUCUUCUUCCUUUUUCACAGGAGACACAGACGCAGCCUUUCCGGAAAACAUUGCCUCUCGCUGUUCAGAAGGCAGCAAUCAAGUGAAACGGAUCCCUACCAGCCAGCUCAUUAUCUCGAUCAAGGAAGAUAAUGUCUCAUCGUUAUCCUCAUCGCGGUAAAGUUCUGCAAUUUCAGCAAUCGUACCUGGCUCCUGAGUUUUCUUUCUCUCUCAGGAACUGUCUCAGAAGAUAGCCGAAGACAGUGAUGAAAUCUUCCCAAAGCAGAGCUAGGAAGGGAGUAAUGCAGCUAUGUUCGGUAGUCUCAAGAUUAGAUAAUCAAGAACUUAAAUGUAACUAUAAAGUUAAUUGAAUUAGACUCUAUGUUAUGUAGUCUAAAGACUCUAAACACAGCGCGCAUAGUACAGACUACAGAGGCUAUAUUACACACUAUUAGAUACCGGUGAAUCAAAAGAAGACUGCAAAUAAAGAGUGCAAGAAUCUGAUAUGAAAAUAUCAUUCUAUGCUCGUAACUAAGCUCAAUAAAACCCAUAUAUACACAGUCCACCGCCCAAAUCUAGUCUAAGAGUGUCUCUGAGACGUAGUAAGGUUCUAGUUAGUCUCAUUUCUAACCAAGGUAAGAUAGUCAACACAAUCCCACCCGAUCCAUAGGUUUCUUUUCUAUGAUAUAUAUUGAUCCAACUUUAUUGGUAGACAUGUUUCAUCCUUAUGUUCUCUCUCUGUUUCGCAAAGUUAUAUGUUUUGUAAUCUCCACAAGCAUAUAAUAAAGCACUCAAAACAUAAUAUAUAUAUAAAGAAAAACUUUUUUAUUAGGGGGUUUUUGGAACCUAGUCUAAUUCCAAAGGUUUAUAAAAUCUGAGGUCUUGCCCAUUCAAGACGUCUAUAGUGGUCAAGCAGAGCGGUUAUAUAAUUCGUUUACUGACUUUGAUCAACAUGGUGGCUCCUCAAUAAAACUAAACGAAUUUCGCCCACUACCACUUGAUUCAUAUAUAGCUUUUAAUAAAUUUCAUUUGCUAUUUUGGAUAAAUGCGCUAUAAUAGCUAACUAAUUUCAAGUAAAGGUACAUUUGGAAAUAUCAUUUGUUUUUGCAUGCAAAUCUGGAAAACCAUUAAUCUAUAUCAACAAAAAAUUAAAACCUAAAAAGAAACUAUUUAAAAAGUAGUAUUUCAUACCUUGUACCAGGUCAAAGGCUGCUUCUUGGCCACGAAUGAUCCUUCUAUCCAUUCCACACAGGAACUCCCAGUUAUGGUAUGAAGGCUCAUAGCAUCACCUUUAGUACCGAUCUACUCGAAUCACACACACAAAAGAAUACACAUUUAGUUUAUUAUUGUUAUGGUUGGUAUAAAGAUUCAGAGACAGUUCAAACUCUUGUUGAAGAUACCUUAUAGGACCAUUUCCAUUUUGACAUAUCCCAUGUUCCAGAGUUAACUCCAUACAGUGUGGCUGGACCUAGAACUCCAGUAUUGCAAGUCUCAUAAUGCAAACCAGCCUUCUGUGAUGAAUUGGAGAUAACAAAUCUCGUUAACUAAGUUAUAUAAAUUCAUAUUUUGAGGAAAAAGAAAACGCAAUAACCCAUCGAAUGAAACAAGAUCAGAACUAACCGGAGUCGUACUUAGCAGAGCAAGUUUAUUGACGCCUACACGCAAUUUGAUCUUUUGGCUAAAUGUGAGCUUGGGGCUGCUCAAUGCUCCAUAACUAGUUCCUAAAAAAAAAAAAAAUUGAAUGUUUUUAAGAAUUUUUUUCAAGUAUAAGAUGAGUUUGACCUGUGUUCAAAAAAAAAAAAAAAAAAAAAAAGAUGAAUUUGACCUUUGAUAUUUUAAGUUCAUAAGUAUAUCUUAUCUUACCUGCAAGCUGACCAUUGACGAAUACAUGAAGAGCAUGCCCAGGUGAACAAAUGGUAAGUAGUGGACCAUCACCAGUCUUCAAGAAUCUCUCAUUAGAAAUAAUUGCGAUGCUGAAAAUAAACAAGAAACAAACAUAAAACAGAACCAACUGUGGAUCAGCAAUUAAUCAAUCAGCAAGAUAUAGAGAUUUCAUUUGUCAAGAGAAGGUCAAACAUUACUUACUCUGUAAGAUACCAGAAAUAGUCUGUUUUAUCUCUGGUCAUGCUUAUUUGUUCCAACAGACCAUCUUUAGCAAACGUACCAUAGCCAUUUGAAGAAGGGAUUGCUUCAUUGUAUGAUUCCCAUGAAAAUCGCGUUCUAGUAAGAAUCAUCUUCAUAAGUAUGCUCGGUGAACGGAUCUAUGUCACGUUACGUACAUGACAAAAUGAGGAACACAUAUAUAGGUCAAUCUCAAUAACAAUAAUACCAUUCUUACGAGAUUAACAAAAUUAGGACGUCUUAAACUAUUGAAAUCAUAUAGUAUUCUUACAGUAUAAAUAAUUUUCGAAUCGGAAUCAUGUGUCAGAAGUCCUCUUUUUGUAAUUAGGGACUAAAUCUAUACACACAUAUUCGAAAUUUUCUUAAACAUAAUUAUCGAAUUGGUAUCCUAUUUAAAUGCACUAGUUGCACAUGUCAAAAAAGGAUAAUGUUAUCAAUAUAAGAUUUUAGUUUAUUAACCUUUGCAGUGUUGUAAUACUGGGUUUUGCAGUCGGGUAAAAUACUGACAGACCAAGGAGGCAAAUCAUAUGGAAAUCCCCUAAACAUAACUCUUGAUGCAUAGCUCGUGUCGUAGUUCGAAAGAAACGCAGCGCACGAAGUCUUGGACUUGAACACAUGAGCCGCCUGAAAAUAUAACCCAAAAUAACAAAAUGUAUGAAUCUUUGAUACUUCUUUUUUUGGGAACAAAUCUUUAAUACUUUUUCUCUUCAAAGUUACAUUGCAUACUCACUUCUUGCUUAUUUCCGAGCGAUGUAAUGAUGUGAUCAACAGAGACCAACGCAGGUUCACAUAGUUUGAUGACUUUAUGCAACUCUUUCAGGUGACUAUACUUGGGUUCUCUCGGUAAUCCUUUUCACAAACAAACAAAAAGUUUCCAAAAAAUGUUUAUCAAAUCGUCGAUCAAAUCAAAUAGCUAGAGAGGUCAUUAAUAUUUAAUUUUUUUUUUUGACUGAUUAAUUAAUAUUUAAUUUUUCAGAUGAUAAUAGCGUUGAUUACCAUAUUCAUCGAGAGGAGCAUCGUAGUCGUAGCUCGUGGCAAUGAACACACCAGAUGUUCUAUCAAAGUUCUUCCCGCCGUGGUACUGAAACAACAUUCUCUUAAUUAAUAUACUCUUUCACAAGUUGAAACAUUUUCUAUUUUAUUUUUUCUAUUUUUCAAUUUAAUCAAACUGUAAUACCAUGUAAUAAUCCAAAAAAAAAUCUACACUAAAUGAAAAUCUACACUUUGAAUUUGUUUUGCAGGUUAAAAAAAAUGAUCAUGACAAUAGAACCAUAUCGCUUUUUCCUCAAUGCACAUAUGUCUUAACUCAUCGCUCAUAUUUUCUCAAGAGAUGUAUGCCACUACAUUCCACGUAUGAUCCACUUUCCUAACUUUAUCAUCUCUUGAUAUCUCUGGGUUGCUCACAAAGAUGACUGUUUUAUAAUAUUCUCAUUACGAGUCCGAUCCACAUUUAACAGAUUCUUUUGUUGGUCUUGGUUUUAUUGUCUUGGAUUUCAGGCUUGAAGAUUGGAUUUAAAAAUCCCCUUCCUCAGAUGCGGAGUAACUUCAAUUCUCAAAUUGGGACGAAGGUACAUAUUGCACAUCAUGAUCCUGUUUUUCCUAUACAUAUUUUCGUUUCAUUUCAUUUUGACUCUUGGUAGUUUUAAUCUAUUAUUUGUUCGCCUGUAUUUUCCUUUUUUCCCUAUUCCAUUGAGAACUUAAAAAGCAAAACAUUAGUUUGGCUUUGAACCGAACGAAUUCUAAUUUUAUAUUAUAGUGGUUUAUCAAAUAUAGAGAGAUCGUGAGGAAAACAAUUGUACGCUUAUCUAUGACGAAACCAUUAUGAACACAAUACAUAAAUGAAUUAAAUUUGCAUAUACAUUUUAAAUGUUUAAGGCUGUAUAAUUGUAUGGCAUAUGUGUAGAGUAUGUUUUCUUAUGCUCAUUCCCCCAACGUUCCUUCCAUUGACGUAGACGCAUCCGAUGAUACCUCUCCAACUUUCGUUUUUGGCUUUGCUUGGUUGUUAAAGAACUGCGUGUUCCCUUUGUGUGAAACAUUCCGUAGAACAAGCUUUAUCUACUUGUGAUUUAUUGGUUUUAGGAAUAGAUUUUUGAAACAAUGUUGGCUCAUGGAAAAGAUACGAAGGAGAAUAGCUUUGUUUAUGUGAGUUCUUCAAUCGUACCAUGUCUCAUUUUCUUCCAUAUUGUGGUUUUCAAAUCUGGAUGAAAGGACUUAGGUAUGGUAAUGUUUAAGUAGAUUUCAUCUUUGUGUUAUGGAACAAACUUUGGUUUCCAUAUUUGUCAAUCUAACUGGUUGACUCACUACGGUUGAUGAUAUGUCAUGAUAAGCUAAUUUAAUUGUUGAAUCUUUUGUUUAUUAGCACAUUGAAUCAUCGGAGGCAAGCCAGUAGACAGUUCAAUGCUAUGAACCUGUCACAUUGAAGUAUCUGGGAUAUUUCCCUGCUUAUUCUGCUACUGAGGUUAGUAGCUUCUGUCCUUUUCCUGAAGUUAUAUUUAGUAUAUUGUAUAGUUUUAAGAAAAAUGUUGUUAUAUUACUCAAAAGGUUUCUCUCAAAGCGAUCCUCCUUAUCAUGAAUGAGAUAUGAUUUACACAUUGGUAUUUCAAGUUAAGGAGCGAGUAACACUAUCAAGGAACGGUAAAAAGACAUGGGUUCAAAGUAGCUUCAAGGUCAGGUGGCAGUUCUUGCGAAUUCUUCUCAAGUACAUUAUUGAACACCAAGAGCUUCUAUGUGAGUAAGGAUUCAUUUAUGUGCUACUGAGUGAUUUGUUAUACAGGUUUUGAUAUUAAAAACAGACAUGCAGCCCAUAAUGUCUCAGAGAGAGAUAUAGUGUCGGGUUUUGGGUUUUGACAAGGAGGUGAUCUCAAAUGUAUGCGGUUAGGUGAUUUAAUAAAAGGUUUUAAGAUUUACAAUCUUUUCGGGAGGCGAAUGUGGACGGACAAACUAGAAUCAGACCACAAAUUUUGGUUAAAGAUGUAAGUUCCAAACACGUUGAAAUCCGUGCGGGAUUGUAUAUACAGAAUAUUAAUGUAUUCACAAUUCUAACUCUUAAAAGUAAAAUUUAAUAGAAACGUAUGAAUCAAAAUAUAUUUAGAUAAAUUUGUAUGUGAAUUUUUUUGCAUUGUGACUGCUUACCCACAAAAUCAAUUUACAUAUAGAAAACACUUUACUUUUUAAAUGUUGUUUACUUUGAUUAUUUGUAUACAAUGGUAAAAACCAGGCUUCAGUUUUUCAAACGUCAAAACUUCCUAAUAUCGUUGAACAAGCAUGUGUUCUUUCUUAAUUGAUUUUUUAAUAUGUAUGAAAAACCUUAAAACUGACACUUUUUGUAAAACAGGGGAGUAUAAUUUUAAAUCUCCAAUCAAUAUUUUCUCUUAAAAUGGAUCUUUUUAAUUCCAUCGAAAAACAUGGUUGUAUAUUUGGAAAACAUAGACAUUGUAUAAAUGUGUCGUCUAUAUUCAAAUGCAAAUAGAAAAAUUAGAUAGUAAACUAAAAUUAAUGAAAAAAAUUAUUAAAUAACCCGGGCGUAACCCGGGGAUAACCCCUAGUACCAUGUAAUAAUUCAUAAAGGAACCACCGUUCUGUAUGAAACGAGUCACGUUGUCACAAUGUCUUCGACUGGUCUAUUUGGUAUUGGACCUCCAAAUUCCGUGAACCUACAAUCACCACAUACAUUUUACUAUUUUGUGUAUCUUAUAAUAAAUGAUUUAUAUUUAAAGACAAGCUCAAAAAAAUGAAACUGUAAUACUAAAGAGCUUAUUGACUUACAAACCAGUCCAGGUCUCUGUCCACAACUUGGGCUGAUUAACUGAGUUCGGUUUGAAACCGUCACAGUAAAACCCAUUGCAUGUGUUUAUCUAGUAUACAGUGCAAGUAAGAAAAAUACAGUUAACGUUCAGUAUAAAUUUCACUCCAAAGUUGGAUAAAUUUGUUGACAUUUCAAAGUUAAAAAAUGUUAGAGAAAAAUUGUCCCCAUGGAUUGUCUUUGUUUUUGGUCGGUGGUCCCAUGUACGUAAUUUAACUAGAAAAAGACGUCGGAGGCAAACAACGGGGAAGACGAUAUUUUUUUUUUUUUGUGGUAAAAUGUUAAAUUUUAUACCAGUUUUUAAAUUUGUGACAGAAAUACAAAGACAACAAAGAAAGCAGAGAUACAAAAAAUAAACUACAAACAAGGAAUAAGUGACAACAGAAACUAAGAGAUGGACCAAAACCAACAAGUUAGACACACAACAAGCAUACCCAAGAGAUACUUGACGAUAUUUUAUUUUGGUUGUAACUAUCAAUAAGACAACAAUAUCUAACAGGAAAAAGAGAAAUCCAUCAAGGAAAUUUGAAGGCAAAAAAAAAUACAAAAGGUAACCCACCAAAGGGAAGAAGGAAUGAUAAAUUCUAAAAAGAAACAAUAAAGGCCUUGAUUGGUAAUGCAAAGAGUAAAAUGGUAGAAAAAAAGAAGUGGAAAAGAGAUAGAAAAAAAAACAGGUGGAAAUAAGAGAGAGAAAAAUAAAACAGGUGGAAAAGAGUUACUCCAGCAAAACCCAGAGUAAAAGUUAGAGUGUACUUUUCUCUUUAUCUACAGUAGCUAGCGUAAAUAUUAAAAAAUGAUAAUCUACUUGAUUGGUGAAUAUUUGGCUGAACUUGGAGUAAACAUGGAUCUAGAGUAAAAAUAUUUACGCUAAAAUGACUAUCCAGUCACAGCCAAAGAUUCUAUCUCAUAUAAAGUAAUAAUAAAAUAAAAGAAAAUGCACUAGAUGACCAUGAUACUGUACCAUAUUUGCAAGAAUAUACAUCGCACUAUUUCGACACUGUUAGCAUUUUAAUAACCCGACUAUACCCCUAUGCUCCCUACUUACUAGCAAGCAUCGCCGAUCUUGAUAAGAUUUUGGCGUCAGAGAGAAACAGUAAUAUAUUACACAAUAAUUUGAAAUUCAAAAAUCUUAUUAAUAUUACACAAUAAGCCUCAUCGAUCAAAGCAAAUGUCGAACACUGGUAAACAAUAUUUUUAUUAGGUUAUUUUAUUAGUUAGACUGAACCCAGAAGCUUCUUUCUCUUGUUUUCGCCGCCGUUCAUCCCUGGAAUCCAUUUUCAUCCAAUUUUACAGUUUGUAGUCGCCGAUUUCUGUAAGUAAGUUUUCGUUACACCGUUCUCAAUUUUGCACAUGAAUUUUUGCUUUGAUAUAUGACUAAUUGGUUUCGUCUGAAAUAUAUUAAAGGAUGCCUAACAUUCAAUUGCCUGAGAGAAUUUUUGCUGCCGGCCAAGAGCCCGUCGGAGAGAGGGUGAAUUCUUACCAAAAAUCAAAAUCGGUACAGGCUAUUAUGAAUUCUCUCGACGAAGAUGAAGCAAAGAGGCUUCGUGAUUCCCAACUUGGACGGCUCCUAGAGACGAUGGAGAAGCCUUCAUUUUCCGGGAGCUUUGGCUAUUACAUGCUCGCUCGUCUCUUGCGUGUGAAGAAGAAGCAUGAAUUAUGGUUUCUGUUUGCUGGUCGGCCAGUGAGAUUUUCUCUCAGAGAGUUUGCUCUAGUUACAGGGCUCGAGUGUGGGAAAUUUGCUCAGACGAGGAAGCUUAAAAAUCUUGUGGCCCAGAAACCGUACUGGCCUGAGCUCUUUGGGUUGCUUAAGACAUGCACUGUUGAUUCCGUCAUCCACAUGUUACAGAAAAGAAAAAUUUCAGACAAAGAGAAGAGAUUCAAAUGCGCCUGCCUCGCUGUAACUGCCUCUGUUUUGGUUCCUACCUCGCAUGUUACCAAGAUUGUCCCCGAGCAUGUCGAGCUCAUAAGGGACAUUGAUUCAUUUCUUUCAUACCCUUGGGGUAGAGUUGGGUUUGAUUUGCUCGUAUCUAGCAUCAAAUCCAAAGAUGAAUUGGAACUCUCGCAGAAGACAAUCGCCGUAAAAGGAUUUUUUUAUGCCAUCCAGCUUGUAAUGAUGGCUGCAGUGCCGACGCUUACCGAGGUAGUUCAAGCUCCAUCCGGUGAGUCUGAUAGUGACUACGAAGAUGAAUGUGACACCGCCGCCGAUGUAUCCACCGGACAGGAGGCCAAUCUCGGCUGCGAUGCCGCGGAUCUGGCUGAAAGAGCCACAUCUUCCGGCGUUGUGAAAAUGAUGCUUAGUCCCAGCCAUGCACGAGAAAUCGAUGAGGAGGAGAAGGUAAAUUACCUCACUUAUUGAUACUGUUUACAAUCAUAGUUAACGGGUACAUAAUCUGAGCGUUGACAAAUUAAUAAGUAUCCUUGGGAAUAUCUGUCACUUAUUAUAAUAUCAGUUACAUUAUGUUGUUCAAUGAUACAAUUUCCUGUAACCUAUAACUUUCCCAUAUCAGGCAUUGGUUUAUUCCAUCAUCCCUACGGACGGUGUCUGUGCUAUCGAAGGGAUGGACUUACGUUGGGCUGACGAAGUUGGUGAUGAGUCCGUAGAUGUUAUGGUCAAGCUUAUCGGCGAAGGUUAUCGUUUUUCAGGUGAUAUGUUCACGGGUGGUCUUACAACUUCUGACUUGGUCCGUAUGCGAAGUGAUAAGGCUCUGAAAGAGAAAGAAGCUAAAGACAAGAAGAAAAAAGACAAAACCGGCGACACUUCAUCCUCAUUUGCUACGGUUGAUCAGGAGGGGAUCGCUGAACUGGUGCUUGAUAAAUUGAAGCCUGAGUUGCAGUCCUUCAGUAAUAGGUUACGGGAUCUUGAAGCAUCAAUCCUUCUGCAGGAUGGGAAGAUUGGACAAGCUAUUACAGACGCCUUCAAGUCAUUUCAUCACUCCAUUAUCCAAAGUAUAUCCGAAAACGUUAGACACGCAACUAUCUCGGCCGAACUUGGAGAUCCUCCUACACGAGAAAGCGUUCCUGAGUCUGAAAAUGAGCAUCAAGCACAUUCCAUCCAUUCUUCAGGCGGGAAGUCAGGUUUUGACAAUGUCGCCAAUCCGAAAACCUCUUUGAAUUGUGGCCAUCAUCCGCCGCCCAGUCCUCUUUUUCAACCUUCUGCAGUUGCGCCGACACAGAUGCAAAAGGCUCCCUCCCUUGCCAUGAGUAAUGAAGAUUUCAUUCGCAGUCUAACGCAAUCUAUAAAUGCCCAAGUAAGUGGUCAUUGUUUACUCAUCUUCCAUUUCACUUCCGCAGCUCUAUUAAAUUUCCUUUUCCUAAUCCAGGCCAAGGACCCUUCACCCUUUAGUUGUGUUUUCCCUGCCAGUAAUGUGUCACAAUCUCACCUGACUCCUCCGGGAGCAAACACCACAUCCCAAGACUUACCGACCCAGCUUGCUGAGGUUAGCUUUUCAUCACCCAUGUAAAAUUAUAGUUGUCUACAUAUACUUGUAACAUAGUUACAAUAUAUAUUAACGACCACAAUUAGAUAUAGAGAAGUAUUAUUAUUUGUAGAUGUUUACAAAAAAGUAUAUCACCAACUUCGUUAUUGUUUGUAUUUGAUGACGUCCCUCUCUAAUGUCUCUCUACCAGCUCGCGCCCCAACAUCAAUCUUGCUCCAUUGGGGGAAACACGAAAGCGGUAUAAGCCAAUCUUUAGUAUUUGUUCUGUUGUUAGGGACGAAUCACUAAUUUUCAUAUAUUGAAUGUAGAUGGAUUUACUGUUGUCCGUGUCACCAUCCUUUUCUCUCGGUUUAACGCAAGACGAGCAAUUAGUGGCCCAGAAGCCCGAUGUCGUCAAUGAAAAUGUCUCUGACAAAGAUGAAGUUCUACCACGCAAAAGCAAACGAGUCAAGACCUCAUCUGUUGUUUUCAAGGAUUAUCAAUGCGCUUUCAACCGUCCAGCAGCUGCUAAGUGUACUUUUAUAAUGCCAUGCGACCCCUAUGUCAAUUAUAGUGCUCGGUUUGUGGAUCUCAAAGCCAAGCUCACGCACGACAAGUAAUACAUACAGCAAAUUAUCUUUAUAAUAAACGUUUUACCGGAUAUAUAUAUUAUUAUCCGUCAAAUUUCGUGUUAACGUAAUAAACUUUUUUUUAGACGUCCAAUGGAGAUUUACGAGGGUGCAUCUGUUAGUAUCGAAGAUGUUCUUGCUAUCGGCGACCGCAUUCGUGUGCUUGAUUCUAAGGUAACACUCUGGAGAGCUAAUCCCUCAUAUUUAACUUUCUUUUCUUCAGUUUUCAACACUUUGUUAACAUAUAGUCGUUAAUGAUUUUCUAGAUUGUGGACGCCUUAAUGUUCUACGUCCGUCACGUUUCCGGCCCUCAGAUGUAUCCGAUGAAUCACUCAAAGAUAGAGUUUUUUGAUACGCUCUUCCCAAGUCUUAUCAAAUCUCAAUAUGCUAAAUUUUCCAAGACCGCUGUCAAAGAUCGUUCGAAGUUUAAAAUCGACGGAUCGCUGCUAUCGUACUUCGAGUCAGACAACCCGCGGCGUCCUCUUCCGGAGGCAAUGUACUUCCCCUUCAACUUUGACCAAAGACAUUGGGUUGGUGUAUGUGUGAACAUUCCUAGGGCUGCUAUUGUUGUCCUCGAUUGCAACGUUGCUUUUCGUUCUGACACUGCCCUCAAGCGUGACUUCAACCCCAUCUGCAAUAUGUUUCCUUUCAUUGUCAGAGCCGCAAGCACGAAGGCUUUGCGUGACGAGAAACCAUUUUCCCUGGAGAGAGUUACGGGCAUUCCACAAAACGAGAUCAACUCAGAUUCAGCCGUCACCGCUGUUUUGCUUAUGCAGGCCCAUGCAAGUGCUGGAUUGGACGGAUGCCGAACCAUUACCCCUGAGUUGCUGACAUCGGAGGCCUACAAGUUAGCUGUUAUGUUUUACGAUGAGUUUGGGCCGAGUCCUUAGCCUUAGCUAUGAGAACAUUUCAUGUGAGAUGCUAACAUUGCUUUGUAUUUUACAAUUACUCGUUGGAUCCUUCUCUAUAUCGUAAUUCUUGUUGAAUUUAUUUUAGCAUGUUAGCAAUAAUAAGUAGUUGGUAAAAAAAAUUGUUCGAUGUAUAAUUAUUUUUAACAAGUACCAAUGUUCCAUAUAGAUUCCUUCUUAACUUCUUCUUCUUUCUAUUAAAUAACUUUAUUCUAUACAUCCACUAUUUUUUGCGUUAAAUUGAGUUAACUUCUUGGUUGUUAAAUUAUUCUAUACAUCCACUAUUUCUCUUAUAAUACGACAUUACUAUACUUAGCUGUUAACUUUGUUACUACCAAUGUUCUUGUUGUCUCCUUAUAAAUAUAUUUGGUAAAUCAAUAUUGACAUCAUGUUACGCUUACUAUAUUCUCUACAGAAUUUAGUUCACACCCAAUUCAAUUCUUACGGUCUAAACUCAGUCUUACCCUCUAACACAUUUACGUCUAACUCUCUUUUUACUUUCUAGCACGCUUUCUUCUAACAACUCCAAUUCACUCGCAUAUAUAUUUAUAAUAUCUAACUGUCUUUUUAGUCUUUAACAUUUUAAUUCAUAAACAUACUAUUUCACAUUGCUUCAAAGCAGAUACCAUAAGUUUUCAAACAUGCAUAUUACAAACGGGAGAAAGGACAUCUCAAACAUUCCGAGACUGUAUCACACACGAUUCAGUCUUAUCAAGGGACUUACGCUUAAUAUUAUACAAACACACCAGAUGAAAAUUUGGCCGGCCCUGAGUUCGGCGCACUUCCAAAAUAAAACACGAUCGCUUGAUUGAGUCCUCCUCCCACUACCAUCUUCUUAUAUUGGAUUCUUACAAGUGGCUCGGUUGUGGCUCCGACCACCACACCGACCACAUAUCGUAAGACGCCUCACAAAUCGCCCCUGCAAACUUAAGGGAUAAAUACACUUCGUUAUAAACUUACUUUUAAUGCUAACGCUUAUCUACCGUCCACACUUAUAAAUUCUUGUUAAAUGAUAACUUACCCUGAAUUCACCACGUGAGUAUAUACGCUGCUUACGUGGGCGUCCAGGAGGGCGCCUGGUGGCGGGUGGCAGUAGGGCAAAGUUUGAAAUGAGGUCACCUUCUUCGCUGGGCGAUUGAUAAUCUGGCACUGGGUAAAUACUCACCGCGUAAGCCAUUCGCCAAAACUUAGUCGUUAAUUCCUCCCCGACCAGCUGUUCAACAUUAGCAUUUGACCUUACGGCAGCUGUUACCGCAUGCGAACAAGGGAUAGAUAAGAGUUGAAACUCGCAGCAACUGCAACUCUUCUUGCAUAGAUCCACACGGAAAGUGAACCCUGCUUUGUCUAUCACUUCGAACUCACUAUCGUUGAUGCGCUUUAACACAUACCCGGUCCCUUUCUCGAAGUUAGAAGCCACGAUUGCCUGAACUCUUUUCGUUAGGACACCAGAGUCGUUUGUAGCCUUCUCCCGCCGUUCAUUAAACCAACCCAUCAGGGUGGUGCGAAUGUGUUCCAAUAGAGCCAGAAUUGGAAAGCCUCGAGCUUCAGCCAUUAUAGCGUUUAAUGACUCAGCUAUGUUGCUGGUCAUGACGUUGUACCUCACUCCACUAAAAUGUGCACGGGUCCAUUGCUCAAAUCCUAUGGCGGCGAGGUAUUCUGCACAAGAACGAUCGAUUUCCACUAUCUGGUUAAAGUGUGUGUUAAAAUCCGAGAUGUGAUAUGCUCUGGCUGCCUUGGAUAUCAGGUAUGCUAGUUGCCGUUUUUUGAAGAUGGCUUGGACGUUCCUUUGCAAGUGAACAACGCAGAUCCCAUGUUUAGCUUGCGGGUACACCUAUAGGUAAACAAUAUUUAUUACUAUAGAGGUCUAACUUAACAAGUUACACACAACCUAAAAUUUCCCCAUAAUCAUCGAUUGUAGUUCAUACCUUGCUUAAGGCAGCGUAUAUUGAGUUGUGCCGGUCGGAGACAAAGACCACGUCGUUUGCGUCGGGAAUUACAUUCAGCAGAUUUUGAAAAAACCAGGUCCAGGAUUUGUCAUUUUCCCCAUCCACAAUGGCGAAUGCCACUGGAAAGAUAUGAAAAUUUCCAUCCUGCGCGCUCGCAGUUAGCAUACAGCCUGCAUAAUUACCCUUCAGAUGCGUCCCGUCCACUACAACCACCUUUCGCAUAUACUUCCAUCCUUGCACACAUGCGCCAAAUGCGACGAAAAGGUAUUUGAAACGCUGCCCCUGGCCUUCUUGAAUGUCGGUCUCUAGAUUAACAAUCGUUCCAGGAUUUGUUAUCACCAGUUGUUGGAGAUAAGACGGUAACAACUUGUACGACCCGCCGUUACUCCCCUUCGCAUAAUCCAUUGCCACCUGUCGGGAUCGCCAAGCCUAAAUUUAAAUAAUCAAUGUCUAUCUACAUUAAUACCAUCUAAUAACUUAAAUAGACAAUUCAAGAUAUCUUGCCUUCCAGUAUGAGAUAGGUACAUCGUGGUCAGCUCUCAUCAUCUCCCGCACCUCAUUUUGUUUUGGUCCCGCCCCGCGUCCUGCGUACCGUGCUCGCAUCAUGUCUCCUAUUACCGUUGAUGUGGCAUGUCUUUGGAAAUUCCCUCUCUCGUCAACCGUGCAUAAAUGAUCAGGUUUCACCCUCCUCACUUGGUACCACUCCGACCCACUCAUCUUCACCGCAUAAACCCUCCAUGUACAGCUUUUGCCAACACACUCCAACACCAUAACAGUUGGUGUAGACUUCUUGUGGGUGAACCGAAACUUGUGGUGCAAUGCGUACAUAGCCAUGUGGAGCUUGAAAGCUUCCCUGUUUUUAAACAUCAUACCCACAUACACCUCGUCGUUCCUGCUUAAUCCGUCCCCUGCUUGUUAACACCAAAUGUUACCAUGCGAUUUACAUAUUCAACAUUCGAUUACGACGUUAUUAUUAUAAAUACCCGUUAUCAAAUUUCUUACCGACAAAAACAUCGCCUAUCAUAUCUUCCUCGUCGGUGUCUUCAGCUAUGGGGUCAUUGUUCUCCGAUCCUGAUGGACAGGCUAACGUCAAAGCCAGAUGAGACCCACUCUCUGAGGUGUUCUCUUUUGCCUUCCUUUUCCCUUUAUCUUCACUAAACGUCAGAGUGUGUGGCGUCACGGCACCAACUUCUCCUCUUCCAACAACUGCAUUGCAUGAGUCACCGGUAAAUGUUAUAGCUUUAACUAAAUUUCCUAGCCUAUUCUCUUAACCGUACCUUUCACUGGGGUCAUUAAGGCUAGAUUGGCCAGUGCAUUGUCAAAACUCGCUGGACCCAUGUUGGUGUCCUCUUCAUCAGUAAGCCUUACGAUUUCUUCGUGUUGUCCAUCUCCAUUGCCGGGAUUGUUGCUGGAUCCCGCCGAAGACUGGUUGUCACUCAGCUGGACAACUUGGUUCGUUGUGGAUUGCUGAUGGGCAGCCAUGAGCUGUGCUUCCAGUUCCGUCGACUUCUUUAGUAAGAGUUCUAGCUCAUCUGACGUGCAUACCUCUUCCAACACACUCUGGCUGCACCGAAUCACAUCUCGUGAAAAGAACCCUACAUACACAAUUUUAAGUUACCUAUUUUGUUAUACACUAUGAAAAAAUCUUUAUUAGCAUUUACCAGUGAAUCUUACCACGGUAGUCGAAACUCCCAAACUGGAUUGGUAACGGUUGCACAGAUACCGGAUUAGAUGUUCCUCCAACGUCGUACGUAGCACGUUUCUGAAACUUGUAACGGUUAACGGCAUCAUUUCCUACGGUCACACACAUCGGUAGUUCGGGAACCUCCAUGCGCACAGCCAUGAAAACCCCCACGUCUGCGUUGUUCAGCACAUCUAUCGGCGGAGUUGGAGGUCCGGUGGGUACCAACAUCCAGUCAGGGAAUUGGUAGCUCAAAGCAACCUCUGUGGCGGCGUCAACAUUGCAUCGCACCCUAAUACUGUUCAUAAGCCCGUCGAAGCUCGCGUUCUCCGAGACCAUCAUGCAGAAGCUUUCACCUUCGCUGUCGACCUUAAAACUCCAAGCACCGACUUCCGAUCUUUCCCACGACCCACGGACAAGCAUAACCAAACUUCCAACCAUCUAGCAAAUAAACCAAAAAAAAAUAUUACAUCUACUCAUCAAUAUAUAAUUUCUCGGUAACUUUACAGCGAAAUCAACAUUUAUGGAAGUAUUUAAUGUUGUAAAACGACAGAUUUCAGACUUUAUUGCUCCGGAGUGGUAUUUACUAGGUUACAAAAGGAAUAUAUUGAAGACAUCUGAGUUUAUUGUCGGCUUACCUUUAACGGAAGAAACGGUAGUAUCUUUCUUGACUUAUUCAACUAGAAGACAACUUUAACUUGAGGAUAUCUGUGUGUUCUUUUUCGGAGGUGGCUGAUAAAAGGGAAAUUGGGGACGAUACCUAUUUAUAUAGAGGGUAAAAAACCCUAAUAACAUACACAUACAUACAUACAUCCCAUGACAUGCCACAUAAAUAUACGAAAUCUCUUAGAUUUGGCAUUAAAUGCGUAGCUUCGGGAGAGAAGAUUUUCUGUGGACACCAGGAACCUAUUCGCAGACCUAUGAACCGCUAUAGACGUCUAAGUUUGUAGAUAAUAUCUGUACAAUAUCUUAAUUAAAUAAUUUUUUAAUUACUGCCUAAAUUACAGAGAUUGUCGCUAAGGGUUUUUCGGUCAUACACCACCAUUUCGAAAUCCGAAUUCUCCCUCGCUUCACUGUUUUUCCUAUGGACCAAAUUUUGACCAAAAUGACGAAUUUCUAGCAAAUUCAUUUCUAAAAUAAACUAUAUAGUUUAUUUUUGUAAAUUUCUGGGUCAUGUUUUUUAAAAUAUAUUUUUUUUUAUUUCUGUCUGUUUUUCUUUUUCAUUUCCUUUAUUUUUUUCCUUUUUCCCUUGAAAAGGUUUGCUUUUUGUAACAUAGAUGUUUAACAAUCUGUAAAUUUCAAGUUAAAGUCACUGUAUUAUAAAUAAUCACCUUAAUGAAAAAAAUAUGGGUUGGUUGAUCUGAUCGAUAAUAUUCUGGAAUCGUAG
Molecule: long non-coding RNA, 137827 nt
Filed under: Eutrema salsugineum
Lineage: Eukaryota; Viridiplantae; Streptophyta; Magnoliopsida; Brassicales; Brassicaceae
Description: long non-coding RNA (ESAL_LNC000163)
Source: RNAcentral